AACACAAUACCUUCAGACACUGUUUCGUAAGUUGUAAACCAAUCCCGAUUGGGACUCAUGUGAAAGGUGCAACCCGAAUCAAGGAUCCACUCAUCGCUCGCUUUGGAAUUGCUGACAGAAGCGACUAGAAGUUCACCAUCACUGUAAUCUUCUACAACAUCAGCUUUACCAGAAUUUUCUAGUUGUUUUCCAUUUUGAUUCGCAGCCACCCUUUUAAUCUUGUUCUGUAGCUUAUAGCACUCAGAUUUAAUGUGCCCUUUCUUCUUGCAAAAGUUACAAGUUUUACCUUUGUUUGAAGACUUCGAUCUACCCUUAGAUUUACUGCGAGGAUUCUGUUCCUGUGUCCUUCCACGAUCAUCAUCAGCAUUUCGAUCUUGUCUCCCACGAACAAUAAGACCCUCUCCCUGAGAGUCAGUUUUAACCACAAUAUGUUUCAGCUUAUCAUACGAGGUUAAAGAAUCAUAAACCUCAUCAACUGUGAGAGGCUCGCGGCCAUAUAAAAUCGUAUCUCUAAAGGUUGAAUAAGACAGGGGCAACGAACAAAGUAGAAUUAACCCUAGAUCUUCCUUAUCAUACUGAACCUCCAUGGCCUCCAAGUUUGAGAGAAUUUCUUUGAAUACUGUUAAGUGUUCGUGCACAGAUGCACCUUCCUCCAAACGAUGAGCAUAAAGACGCUGCUUCAUAUGUAGCUUACUAGUUAGAGUUUUAGACAUACAUAUCUGUUCCAACCUCUUCCAUAAUCCAGCGAUAGUCUUUUCCUUCAUCACAUCCUGCAAAAUUUCGUUAGACAAAUGCAGAUGUAACUGUGUUAUCCUUGCGCUUCUUCUCUUCUUCCGUCAAUGUUGAAGGCAUCUUAUCUACCCCUAGUAGGGCUUCCUCUAAGUCCAUCUGUGCAAGAACUGCUUGCAUCUUUAUCUGCCACAACGCAAAUCUGGUGUUACGAUCCAACAGCGAAAUUUCGUACUUCAAAGAUGUCAUUACUAUGAUUGAGAUGAACAACCCGGAAGCUUUAAUACCAAUUUGAGAAAAAUAUAAUGUCGGUAAUGACAAUAUAUCGCAAAGAAAAAUAGAAAUAGAAAAAUAAAGAACACACAGAUUUUACGUGGAAACCCUUUUGGGAAAAAAUCACGGGCAGAGGAGAAGAAAAUUCACUAUGUGGAAUUCGAAUUAUUUACAAGAGGAGUAGACUAUGCCUAUUUAUAGGCUUGUAAACCUUAUUCUAAUAAGAGUGAAACUCCUUAUUCUACUAAUAAUAUCAAAUAGAUGGAGUUUAAUAAGGUUUAAAAAACCUUAUUUUAAAAUAAAAUAAAAGAAGUAUAAUUCUAUAAGGAUUUUACUUUUAUUUUAUUUUACCACAGUAUUUAAUUUAAAUAAGGAUUUGUGUCACUUAAUUCUAACAUUAUUUUUCUCCACUAAUAACAGAAGGUUGAUAAACCGAUUGAUCAUUAUUGCUUUCUGACACCUUUUUCGAGAAAAAAGAUUCAAUCUUUUUGUUUAUCAUAAUUUAAUUGAAAAAACUGAAGACUAUAAUAAUAUAUUAAAUAACAACAUAUUAGGAAAAAAUAAUAAUAAUAAGUCAAAUAAAUAAAGAACAUGAUUUAUGCAAAAAUAUUUACUAGGAGAUCUUUUGUGUAAGGAGCCGAGAGGAGAUAAUUUGUAAUUUUUUUACUCUAUGCUCUCAGUCUAGACAUCAAACUCCUUUCUUUUUCUCUCGGCAGUGUUUGCACUUUAUCAGAGGAAGAUAAUUCCUAAGCAAGACAUAUAAAUCAAAAUAAAAGAAAGUCACUAACCUAAUAUGUAUGGGUAUGAACCAAAUUAAUUUAUUCUAGAAUUUGGGUUUAAAGUUCAUAUUGGGCUUCUAAGUUUAGUCUUUUAAGGCCCUUUAUACAUUAAUAUUUGAUUAUUAUUAUUUUGCCAAAGGGGCAAAUAUUGUACAAUGUAGAUACGAAAUCUAAAAUAUAUGACAAUUUAUAUAUAAAAGUAAAAUAUCUAAAAAUUCUAAGGGGAAAACCACCCCAGCCCCCUGGAUCCAUCUUUGAAGAUGACUUUGGUGUAGUAAGAUUUCAAAGCUUUGAUGGACUUUUUUUUUUCCCAGAUCAUUCAAUAUAACAAAAUAAAAAAUAAAUUAUUUUUCAAUUAAUAUAAAGUCUAACCCAUAAUUUAUAAUAAUUCAUAGGCAUCAUAAUUUUUCCCUCCCAUUUUACAAAUAAAAUAUUAUUUUAGUCCUCUAUUUAAUUUUUUGUCCCUUUCAAUUUUGGAAUUUGUAUUUUUUUGUCAAAUCACCUCAAAAUAAAUAGAAAAGUUAACGUUUUCUAACCUUGCUAAAUGGCACACAAGUGGUUUACCACGUGGAUGACACAUCAAUAUUAAUUAUUUUUUAAAAUAGAAAAAUAUUUUUUUAUAUUUUUAAUAAUUUUAAUUUUAAAAUUAAUUAAAUGCAUGUGUGUCAUCCAUGUGUAUGCCACAUCAACAAAGUUAUAAAACGUUAACUUUUUCAUCCAUUUUGAGGUGAGUUGAUAAAAAAAUGUAAGUUUACAAUCUAAAAGAACAAAAAAUUAAAUGGAGGACUAAAAUAACUUUUCUUAUAUAUAUAAAAUUGAAGGAUUAAAAAAAUUAUUAUACCUAACUAAUAUAAACAUGGAUUAAUUUUUUGCUAUGGGCUUUUAAUUAACUAAAUUUUAAAAGACAAAAGCUUCUAUGUUCUUCUUUUGAAAGGAAGCUUUCAUGUUAUAACAAAUAACACGAUUUAAGUGGAACAAUAAUUUUUUAUUUUAACAAUCUUCCAUGUUGAUUCCUAAUUCGUUCAGACAUUUGUUUUGUAGUGGCAUCCAUUUUAACUUUAUAUAAUUCUAAAAGCAGAAGGUAACAAGAUUGGGAUCUGUCUCUUAGUCUUAUAUUCUACUCAACCAUGAAUUGAAUAUAAGCGAAAGAGGAAAAAAAGAAGAAUAUAUGUUCUCCAUCCUAUAGUUUUGACUUUAUUUUAUUUGUACUUUGUAAUGGAGGAGAUAUUUCUAAGCUUACAAUUUUUUUAACAUAUCUUUCUAGUUUUAUGAGGCAUAAUAUAAAUGAUAAUAUUGUUAGAAUAAGAAAAUUAAUAUCUAAUAUAAAAUUUUAUAAAAUUAGGACCUGUCAUGUAAAAUUAUUAAGAAUAAAUUAAGAACAAACACUACACCAAAACAUGCUUUUAGCGGCACUUUUUUAGGCCUUUAGCGGCGCUUUUUAGCGCCGCAGAUACUUUUAGCGGCGCUUUGAAAAGCGCCGCAACAGACGCCGCUAAUGAAUGCCCGCUAACUUUAGCGGCGUUUUUAGAAAUAAACGCCGCUAAAGGUGUUGGUCUAUAGCGGCGCUUCAAGCACAAACGCCGCUGAAGACUAAGACCUUUAGCGGCGCUUUAGUGGAAGCGCCGCUAAAGACCCUGAUCUUUAGCGGCGUUUGUGCUAGAAGCGCCGCUAUAGAUCAGGGUCUUUAGCGGCGUUUUUUUUCUCAAAAGCCGGAAUAGACCCUGAUCUAUAGCGGCGCUUUGACUACAAACGCCACUAAAGAACCUAAUCUUUAGCGGCGCUUUCCCCUAAAACGCCGCAAUAGACCCUGAUCUAUAGCGGCGCUUUCCCCAAAAACGCCGCUAAAGACCAUGAUCUUUAGUGGCGCUUUUUCCACUAACGCCGCUAAAGACCCUUAUCUUUAGCGGCGCUUUGACCAAAAACGCCACUAAAGGUGUUUGACCAAAAACGCCACUAAAGGCCAACACCUUUAGUGGCGUUUUUUUAAAACGCCACUAAAUUUGGCAGAUUUGUAAAAUAAAAUUUUUUAUAUUUUCAGCCCUCCUGUAAAAACAAAUCAGAAGAAAUCAUAUCUAAACCAGCCAAAAGUAAUAAAUCUAUAUAUUAAACAAAUAAUAAAUAUCAAUAAAUAAAAUAAAUUUCGUAUUAUUCUUAGAAAAAUGUUAAAAGUUAAAAUGGUAAUUAAAAGUCAAAAUCGAAGUAUAUUUACACGAUAGUCUAAGACGGCGGCUGUUGCGACUGCUGAAACAUCUUCAUCAUGCUCUGAAGCUGCUGUUGGAGUUCAUCAAACUUUUGACGCUGCUCUGCUUCCCUCGCUGCAGCCUCUGCUUCCCUCGCUUUAGCCUCUGCUUCCCUCGCUGCAGCCUGUACUUCUCUAGCUGUCGCCUCUGCUUCUCUUACUGCCGCAUCUGCUUUAAGCUGCUGCUGGAGUUCUUCAUACUUUCGUUGAACCUCAGCUUCUCUCGCUGCUGCAUCUGCUUUCAAUUGUAGCUGGAGUUCUUCAUAUCUUUUUUGAACCUUAGCUUCUCUCGAUGUUGCCUCCGCUUUAACUUGUGUAAUUUUCUCAAUUGUUGUCGCUUGCAUCUGAGCCAUCUGGUCUCUAAAUCUCUGAACUUCAGCUUCGGCUCGACUCCCCGAAGGCAUAUAUUGUUGCGAGCUAGAUCCAAAAUAUUGGGAUGGGUUAACAAAAGAUCCUUGAAAUCGAACCCGAUCAUACCUUUCAGAACCCAAAACUUCAGUGAUAAUUCGGUUAUCAAUGUCGUCAAUAUGAACAGAACUAUCACUGGAAGCAAUCGCUUCGUACUCCGCCUUUUUAUCCUUUAAUUUUUCCUAAAAAAUAAAUCCUAUAGUUAGGAACGCAAGAUAUAUUAAAAAAACCCAAUGCAACAUAACUUAACAAUAUUUGCAUUACAAUAAAUGAAAUAAAUCAUUAGAAAAUAAACACUAUAAAUUAUUAAAACAAUUUAAAUUGUAUUAAUUAAGCAAACGUACCAUAAUUUCUGCAGCUUCAGGAGUCAUAGGGUUUCCAUCUUUCUUCCUAUGUGUAAUGUCAAAAAGUUGAAGGCGUCUAACUUUUUGACCGGACGACAGUUCCUACAAUACAAUAGUAAAAAUAUUAAUGUAAGUAAGUAAUAAAUAUCUGCCAAUAUUAAAAAAUUGAAAAUACCUCUGCAUGAGCUACACACGCAAAACUUUUCGACCCAGCUGUGUGAGUGAAUUUUUGUUGCUGCCUACUUUUUUUCCAACUUCUUCACGAUCCUACAUUAUGAAAUUAUUAGUACGUUAAUUAGGAAAUACUAUACACCAAAGUAAUUACAAAAUUUUAUAAGUUACACAUACCUCUCCUUUCUUCGAAGUCCAAAAUCUAACGACCUCUUCCCACUGGUACCUCAGCAUUCCCGGUGGGACAUUUUGUAAUCUCUCCUCGAGUGUUGUUUUUGUCUUAAAAUAGUCUUUCUUUAAAGUGCUCUUAUGGUCUCUCCAUCUUUUUCCCAAUGCCUUCUUUACAUAAGCAUCGGAGACCUCUAGAGCAAAUCUCGCCUACAAAAAACACAACUUAAGAAAGUAAAUAUAAACGAAACUUAAACCCAAGUAUUAUAAAUGACAUACACGUUUUGUUACCUUAAUGUUAUCCAGAGCUUGGUUCUUGUUACUCUCGGGCACUUUAUGCCAUGACUCGAAGUUAAUGGGUAACAUAUUUGCAUUCCGUGCUAGAAUGCCCAUGUAUCCUGCUAAAAGGCGAGCUUCUGAUCCAACAGGCUGACCGAAGCUAUUACUGGAUACUUGGACACGCUCGACUGGAUCUAGGUCGUAUAAAUCGCUCAGUACCGUACGUCCGCGACCUCUCCGCGUCCGACCAGUUUCAUCUGAAAAAUAAAAGUAUUGUAAUAUAUGAAAUUUAAAAAAAAACAAACAAGAAGUCAACACACAUGUAAAUUAAAUGUUAAAUUACUUUGAACUUCUAUAGGUUCCUCAGGUGUAACCGGAACAUUCGAAGAUCCAAUAGCAGUCUGUUGUUCAGUGCUGUUUGUUUCCGCCGAGUUUGGAGUACCUUGAACAAUGCGGUGCGAUCGCACUUUUCUUCUAGGCAUUUUAUCUGCAAUACAAAUAAAUUAGUUGAAAACUUAGUAUACAAUUACAACAAUAAUAUCACAUAUAAAAUAGUUGAAAUGUCAUCAUUCGUAGAUGUAAUUAGAUAAUCGUAAAAGCUUACUACAUUAUAAUUCGUAAAUCUCAUCAUUCGUAUCCUGGCGGACCCAUUGAAAUUGUGUACUAGUACUAGGGAUGUUUUCGUUUAAGUUCUGUUCUGGAAAUGGCAAAGUUUGUGUUCUGUCAUCAAUGUCAUCUUUACUUCCACUGCCCAUGUCAAACAAGUCUCUAGGGAUGUUACGGAGUACAACGUACCAACCCUCAUCAGUUGGGUCUUUUGAGUAAAAAACUUGUUUGACUUGAGAAGAAAAUACAUACGGCUCAUCAAUCAAUUGUUGUCCUGUGUGAAUCAAUCGAGCAAAGUUUACCAUUGUGAAACCAAAUUGAUCUUGCUUGAUUCCAUGUGCAGUAUUAACAUCGGCCCAAUCACCUCGAAAUAAGACAACUUUUCAUUUGCCGUAGUAAUCCAACUCAAUUAUGUCAGUAAGAAGUCCAAAAUAUUCCACAUUUCCCUCCACAGGAUUAUUGUCCCUAGCACUAGCAUAACUUGUAAUUGAGGAAUUAACCACUAUUCCACAAUUUUGCGUUCUCCUCAAUCUCUCGCGAUAUUUUGUAUGAAAUCUGAAUCCGUUUAUGAGGAACGCACUAUAUCUUUUAACCACCCGAUUUGGACCUUGGGAAAGCCUUUUAACUUCGUCGGUGAUGUUCUUCCCACUCCAAACCUAUUGAAUGGAAAGUAAACUGAGUAAUUAAAAAUGUUUUGAGUAAAUGUUAUUAUUUGUCGGUGAAAGCUCCAAUUACAUACCGUUUGGCUUAACCAUUCAUGAAAAGAUUCUGUAAACAACUUAUUGAUAUCUCGAUGUUGUGUUCUUCGGGAGCGCGAACGAGAUCUUAAUAUUUGUUUGUACUCACUAUGUUAAAAAUAUGUUCACUUUAUUAGACUAUAAACAAUUUUUAAAUGAUGAAUAUUUAUCAAAUUUCCAGAACUUACUUGCGUAAAGGUUCGAUUGAUUCGUGGUGAAACAGAACAUAUCGAUGUGCUUGAACCCACGAUAAAUCAUCUAAUUCUGCAAUUUCAACUUUACCGAUUGGUUCUCCAAAACUUUGGAACAAAUAAGUCUCGGCAAAGUUAUGAUCCGUGAGUCCAGCAUUUCUAUUUGGUCUGUUCAACCUUGUUUCAACAUCUUCCAAAUAUCUUGAACAGAAGGUCAUACAUUCCUCUACCAAGUAGCCUUCAGCAAUCGAUCCUUCUAGAUAACGCUUGUUGCGGCAAUAAGACUUUAAUUUGGAUAGGAACCUAAACACGGCAUACACAUUAUCAAAAGUUGUAACUAAAGGCAUAUAGGUGAAUGGAGGAAAAUUUUAAAAAUUGUAAUUAACACCUUUCUAUGGGAUACAUCCAUCGAUAGAAAACAGGUCCGCCAAGAAUUGCUUCAUGCGGGAGAUGGAUUAUCAAGUGAACCAUAAUAGUGAAGAAGGAAGGUGGGAAGAUUUUCUCCAUGUUGCAUAAAGUUAAAGCGGCUCGAUCCUGUACCUUCUAAAGUUCUUGAACAUCCAAAACUUUGCCACAAAUGACUUUCAUUAUAUUGGAUAGUUCAAUUAUACAAGAUGUCACCUUCUUCGAAAUACAACAUCGUAGAGAAACUGGCAGUAAAUCUUGCAUUAAGAUGUGAUAGUCAUGUGAUUUUAGCGAAUAUAGUCUUCGAUCUUUAACACUAACACAUCGAGAUAUAUUAGAUGCAUACGCAUCUGGAACCUUUAUAUCCUUCAACACCAUGCAGAACACUUCUUUCUCUGUCUUCGACAUUGAGAAAAUAGAAGGCGGCAACCGAUAUUUACCAUUCGGAAGUGGAUUCGGAUGAAGAUCAGGUCGAAUUCCCAUCUGAACUAAAUCAAGUCGACUCUGAAAAUUGUCUUUUUAUUUUCCGUCUACAUUCAAAAUUGUACAGACAAUGUUCUCGCAAACAUUUUUCUCAAUGUGCAUAACAUCAAGAUUGUGUCGUAAAAGGUGGUGCUCCCAAUAAGGCAACUCAAAAAAAAUACUUCUUUUUUUCCACAAGUCCGCCUCAUUAGGAUCAUCCUCUUCAUCGGAGUUAUCAUCAGCUUCAUCAUUUGAUCUUUUAUUUCUUUGCGUGUUUGCCGGUUGAUUCAUCUUCCCAUAACUGAAAUUCAUAUCUUCCAACAUUAACAAGAUUUCAGAUCCACUUGUCUGCGAAGGAGCUUCUCUGAACUCUUCAGUACCGUCAAAUGUCGAACUCUGAGAUCUAAAUCUAUGAUUUUCCGGUAACCACCGACGAUGCCCAUGUAAGAGAACUUCUUCCCAUUGUAUAACCAUUGCGAACAUGUUUGUGCAGCACAACAAGGGCACGCAUAACGACCCUUGGUACUCCAACCGGAUAAAUUGGCAUAAGCGGGGAAGUCAUUAAUGGUCCACAUCAAAGCUGCACGUAAAUUAAAGUUCUCCUUUCUCAGCACAUCGUAUGUCUCGACACCAGCCCAUAAUUGUUUUAACUCUUCAAUAAGUGGCUGUAAAUAAAUGUUGAUAUCAUUCCCGGGCCCUUUCUCUCCAGGGAUUAUCAUAGAUAAGAUAAGGGAAGAUUGCUUCAUGCAAAUCCACGGAGGCAGAUUGUAAGGAACAAGCACUACUGGCCAAGUACUGUAUGCAGUACUCAUGAUCUUGUAAGGAUUAAAUCCAUCAGAUGCUAGGCCAAGCCUCACACUCCUGGGAUCACUUGCGAAGCUUGGAAAUUUAUUGUCAAAUGAUUUCCAAGCUAAAGAAUCUGCCGGAUGCCUUGAUAGUCCAUCAUCAGUUCGUCCUUCAUGGUGCCACGUCAUUGACUCCGCUGUCUUCGACGACAUGAAAAGCCUUUGAAGCCUUGGUAUCAGCGGAAAAUACCGCAAAAUCUUGACCAACUUCUUUCUUGGCUGUGCAUCAUUUUCAUCGUCAUUCCCAUCUUCUGUGUUUCUAUUUAUCCAACGGGAUUCGCCGCAUACAUGACAGCACUGUUGGUUUCUCCGAUCGCCCCAGUACAAUAUGCAAUCAUUCGGGCAACUAUGGAUUUUGUUGUACCCAAGACCUAAGUCUUUUAUCAUUUUCUUCAUAUCUUUGCAUGACUGAGGGAUUUUUGCAAACGGAAACAUUUCUCUCAAAAACUCUAACAGCAUUGUCAAUGAGUUCCCGGUCCACCCUCCCAAACAUUUUAACUGGAAAAGACGAAUGCAGAAAGACAUUUUUGAAAAUUUCGAUCCCUCAUAUAGUUCUGAGUUCAUCUCAUUAAGUAGCGCAUAGAACUUCGCCGCUUCCCCAUUCGGCUCUUUAUGAGGUACACUUCUUCCCUGUUCGACAAAAGCAUUUCCACCGAGAUUACAAUCAUCAGAUGCCACAAAGUCGGCUGGGAACGACUGCAAACCAUGAUUGUGCAUAUUAAAUGCAUUUCGCAACAUCCCUUCCAUGUCAUCCCCUCUAACAGACUGAUGGUAAGCAUUACCAUCAUAAGAUACAUCCAUCCUUGAGGAGGAAGUACUAGGCGGGCAUUCUCCAUGAAAAAACCAUUGUUUAUAACCCCGAACAAAACCAUCAACAAUUAGAUGCUCGUAUACAACUUCACGAUAAUGCCAGUUUAUGUUCACACACUUCUUACACGGGCAAAGAAUCAUGUUCUCUUGGCUUGCAUAUUGAAAUGCAAAAUUUAGAAAAGCCUGUACUCCAUUUCGAUAAUCGUCGCUUACCCUUGACAAAUUCAUCCAAGAGCGAUCCAUUUCUUAAUUAUGUAUGUCUGACAUUGACAAUAAAUUGCACGGGUUUAAGAUUUAGGAAUAAGUGUAAUUAAGGUAUGUAAGUUAUUAUUUAAGUUAAGGUAUAGUAAAUAUCACGGUAACUUAUAAGUGUAUUUAACUUAUUUGAGUUCCACCACAUAAGGGAUAUUUAUGUAAGUUAUGUAAGUUAUGUAUUAAGUAAAUUAUGUAAGUUAUGUAUUAUCUAAGUUAUGUAAGUUAUGUAUUAAGUAGGUUAUGUAAUUUAUGUCUUAUGUAAGUUAUGUAAGUUUUUGAUUUUGUGUAUUAUGUAACUUAUUUAAUUUGAUCUGGUUAUGUAUUAUUAUGUAAGUUACUAUUUAGGUUAUUAUGUAAGUCAUUAUAUAUGUUGGUUAUGUAAGUUGUGAUAUGAUUAAUAUUUAUGUAUGUAAGUUAUGAUAUGAUUGAUAAAUUUAAGUUAUAUAAGUUAUGUAUUAUUACGUAAGUUAUUUAAGUUAUAUGAUUGAUAAAUUUAAGUUAUUUAAGUUACGUAAGUGGUGUAUUAUGUAAGUUAAGUAAGUUACGUAGGCUAUGUAUUAUGCAAGUUAUUUAUGUAAGUGGUGUAUUAUGCAAGUUAUUUAUGUAAGUGGUGUAUUAUGUAAGUUAUGUACGCUAUGUAUUAUCUAAGUUUUUAUGUUAUUAUGUAAGUUAUGCAAGUUUCUAUAUAAGUUUCUAUGUAAGUUAUGUAGGUUAUUAUUUAAGUUAUGUAUUAUGUAAGAAUAAAUAAAAAUUUUAUUUAAGUUAUGUAUUAUGUAACUGUAUAUAUAAGUUAUGAUAUGAUUGAUAAAUUUGAGUUAUCAAAUUUUAUUAUGUAACUGUAUAUAUAAGUUAUGAUAUGAUUGUUAUUAUGUAACUGUAUUGUGUAACAGUUACAUAUAUAAGUUAAGAAUAAAUAAAUUUUAGCAUUAAUUUGACUCUGUUUUUAGUAAAGGUUCAAUACACAAUAAUUUUAUGGAGAAAAAUUAGUUCAUAUGCCCUUAUUUUUUAAAGGUACAAAUAUAAUUAUAUCAAUAUUUGUGAUCACAAGUAAUUUAACUUAACAAACUAACCAAUCAACACGCAUACAGUUACAUUCGUUGUAGCACUCUAACCUAAAAUCUUCAAGUUUUCAAAGCUUCAACCUUGUUUGGUUAACUAAAGUGGGAACCUUUUAUUUUUAGGCCAACCAUCUUCAUAGAGAUAAUACAAAGAAUCCGAAGGCAUGGUGAAGGAUGAAGAAGGAAAGCUCUUUUCCGAGCUCUUCAAAUCCAUUGAAGAAUAUGAGAAAUCUCUUGAAGCCAAACAGUCCCAAAAUCCAUGACUUGAUUGAAAUAAAAAAAAGGGGGGCUUCUUCUUGCUAUAUUUGAAACUUUAUGUUACCCAUGUUAUUCGAAUUUUAAAUAUAUAUAAAUUUUAAAUAUAUAUAUAUAUAUAUUAAAAAAUUAUAAAAAUAUUAUUUAAUGUAAGUAAUAUAUUACAAAUUUAAAGAAAAUUAAUUACUUUUUAAUUAAUUAUAAAUUUUCAUCAAAGUAAACACUAAAAAUUAAACAACCUACUUUCAAACGUUAAAAUGUUCAUCAAAUAAAAAAUUAUAAAUAUCACAUUAAAAAAUGUUAAACUCGUUUUAAACCUUUCAUAAUUACGUACAUAUAAUCAUGUCUACAUUAGUGUUGUGUUUUAAUUACUCAUAAAAUGACACAUAUUUUGCAAUGCUAGUGAGGAAAAAACACCUUAGUUACAAAACAAAAUAAUGAAAGAAUAAAUCAAUGUCACUGAUUACAGUUAAAAAAGAAAAAAAAUUUGAAAAACUCACUCAUUUCUCUCGAUAUUAUAUCUGUUUAUAUAACCCCAUGAAGGAAGAGAGGUUUUUCCAUAGUUGGAAAGAGUAAAGAACUUGCUUUCUGGGUUUUCAGGCUCACCAACUCUCUUCCCAAGCUCUCGUUUCAGCCAAUUAAGAAGACAUGGAAGUGGCUGUUGAGGUAGAAGCCUGUGUAUUUUUUUGUAGAUUUAAACAAGCAAAUCUCUUUGCUUAUCAUGGAUGAUGAGCAAAUAAAUCGUCACCGACAAAAAAUUAAAAAUUGAAACCUCACCGACAAAACAUUACAAAUUGAAACCUCUGUGAAUAACAUCAUAAAUCAUCGCUUCAGCAAAAUAUUAAAAAUUGAAACCUCACCGACAAAACAAAAAAGAAAAAAGAAAAAAAGACCAUCUCAAAUGAAACAUUUUAGUCUGCAUAAACCCAGUCUUAUUUGUCUUGCAAUUAAAAGAAACCAAAAAGAAACAAAAACUAAGGGCAGAGGGAAAAACAUAAGAAAAAUAGAAGAAUAGAAUAAUCUUACCGAUUUCUCUGACGGCAGAGGAGUGUGACAGUAGAGGCCUGCGACGGUCCACGAGUGCGACGAUGUAGCAGAUUUGGGGAAGGUCUGUCUCGUCGAGGGCAGCAGGCUAAGGUUCUUUAUUUGGGGGAAUUUUGGGGAAAAUAGGGAGGGGAAUAGAACCAAGGUUUUCGGGUAUGGGGAAAUUUAGAAGCAGAAAUAAUUGAAAAUUUGCGGCGUUUCUAUAGUAGCACCACUAAUGCCCACAAAAACGGUGACGUUUUGUUUAAACAACAGCCCAACCUUGCGGCGUUUUUAUAAACGCGCCGCUAAUGCGCACAUUUAGUGGCGUUUUUCCCUAGCGCCGCUAAAGCCAUUAAAAUCGCAGACUAAAGCUACGCCGUUUUGUCUAUAAAUUAAGAAUUUUUGUGGCGUUUUUAUUCCAAACGCCGCUAAUGUCUCGUUUAUUGCGGCGUUUUUAGUGGAAACGCCACUGCGAAAUCAAAUUUUAUAUUGAAACGGCGCCGUUUAGGUAUUCCAUAGUUUUGUUAAGUAAUAUUUAUAAUAUAUAGUAGUAAAAAUUAUAAAUUUUAGUGUUUUAACUAAUAUUUAUAAAUUUUAGAUAAAAUUAUAAAUUUUAGUAUUUUUAUUUUUUUAUUUUAAUUUAAUUCCAUUUGUUAAUUUGGUCCUCUCCUAAAUUAUCAAAUGUUAUAUAUUAAUUUUUUAACUUAUUUAUUAGUUUCCUUUAAGUAAUAUUUAUAAUAAAUUAGAUAAAAUUAACAUUUUUAGUGUUUAAAUUUCAUUUUUAUUUUUCUAUUUUAAUUAUCUUUUAUUUUCUUCCACAUUUGUGGCGUUUUAAAGAAAAAACGCCACUACCUAAACUGACCCUAUUGAAAAAUUGCAAUACAUAUUUGCGGCGUUUUUACAAAAACGCCGGUAAUGUCUACCUUUUGCGGCGUUUUUGCUGAAAACGCCACUAAAAAAUUUAAAUUUUUCUACCCAAACGGCACCGUUUUAGGAAAUUUUAAUACAUAGUAGUGGCGUUUUUUGCUGAAAACGCCGCUAAAGCUCACAUAUUUUUUUUAUAUUCAAUUAUUGUAUCUUUCAUAUAAAUUUUACAUAAAGAAUUAUUAUAAUUUUAAGUAAUAUUUAAAAGAAUUAGAAAAAUUUUUAUUUCAUUUUUUUUGUAUUUUAUUUUUUCUUAUAAUUUGGUCCUAUCCAAUUUAAAUAAUUGCCUAUCUAUCCAUAUUAAAUAUAUCAAAUGGUUUAGAUUAAAUAUUUUUAAAUAUAAAAGCAUUAAUUAAUUGUAUAAAAUUGUAUCAUUUAACAAAUCUAAAAUAAACCUUAAAUCUUAAAUUAACCAUUCAAUAUACAUAAAGUCUAUCUAUUAUAUAUCUCUUAAAUAAUAUAAACUAUACUCAUAAUUUCAAUAUAUUAAACUUAUUAUUAUAUCUUUUACAAUUAUAUAAGAACAUAUUUAAUAUAUAAAUAAAAAAACUAAUUAGUCUAAACCUUAAACCUUAACCCAACCCUUGAAACCUUAAAUCCCUAGCUCUUAACCCCUAAACCCCCUAACUCCUAACCCCUAAACCUUAAACCAUAAUCCCUAAAUCCAUAUAUAAUCCCCAGACCUUAAAAUAGUAACUCCUAAACUGACCUUCAAUCUUAAAUUAACCAUAUACCUUAAGCCAUAUAAACCCUAAACUAUAAUGAUAAUUAAUUAAAUAUUUUAAAAUAUUUGUUAUCUUAUCCUUUUCAAUUAUAUAUGAAAUUUAAAAACAUAUUUAAAAUAUAAAUAAAAAAAUUAAUCUAAACCCAAAACCCCAACUCGACCCAUGAAACCCUAAACUAUAUAUCCUAAUUAGCUCUUAACCCCUAAACCCCUAACCCUAACCCCUGAACCUUAAAUCCUAACCCGACCCUAAAUCUCUAAUCCCUAAACCCCAACCCAAUCCAGAUUCCCUAACCCUAAACAUUAUUUAAUAUAUAAAUUAAAACACACUAAUUAAUCUAAACCUAACCCCUAUACCUCUAACCCUUAAAUCCAUAAACCCUAAAUCCAUAAACACCAUAUUUGGUGUUUUAUAUUUACUUUAUUUGAUUUAUUUAAUCGAACUAUCAAUUUAAGUUUUAUGAUAUUUUAUUUUACUCAUAAUUUAAUAUAUUUUUCUAGUAAAGUAGUUUAAAUAAACUAUAUGAUUGAAAAAAUAAUAAAUAGUUAGGAGGUAGGACUUCUCUUUAAUAAAAACAUUUUGUAUUAAAAAAUAUUAUUUGUUAUCAUUUAAAUAUAAAUUUCACUAUUAUAUAAUGAAUACAACGAAAUAUCAAUUUUUCAACUUAUAAUAAAAAAAUAUUAGCGGCGCUUUUUCAAAAACGCCGCUAAAGAUCUUAGCAUUAGCGGCGCUUCUUCAAAAAUGCCGCUAAAGGCCAGAGCAUUAUCGGCGCUUCUUCAAAAACGUCGCUAAAGGAUAGAGCAUUAGCGGCGUUUUUUAAGAAGCGCCGCUAAUGCUCUGGCCUUUAGCGGCGCUUACUCAAAAACGCCACUAAAGGCCAGAGCAUUAGCGGCGCUUCCUAAAAAACGCCGCUAAGGGCCCCAAAAACUCAGAAAACGGUGUCAUAUGGCUUAGGCUUUUUGCGGCGAUUUUCAGAAAACGCCGCUAAUGCUAAUUUUUAGCAGCGUUUUCUGUAAAGCGCCGCUAAUGCUCUACCUUUAGCGGAGUUUUUAUAAAAGCGCCGCUAAUGCUCGAUUUUUAGUGGCGUUUUUUGUUCAAACGCCGCUAAAAAUGCCGCUAAAAGCCUGUUUUGGUGUAGUGAAAAUUAGAAACGGAAGCAUACUUGAAUUCAUCAAUUUCUUGAAAUCUUUGGAUAUUAUGAUUUUAAUCUUUCAAAUUAGCACACAAGUAAUUCAGAUAAAAUGACUCUCUCUUUUCUAAAGAUGGGAUAUUAGAAAAGCUAGUUAUGUGUAAUUUGAGGACCAUAACCCUAAUAUAUAACUUUUGCAUAUUAACCCUAAUUUUUAAUCAGCCCUUCGUUAAUUAGAAUUAGUUCCUAGAGUAUCUACACAUAUUUGAGUCAUACUUUAUUUAAUAAGUAAAGUCUAAUAAACCUUAUGAUAAUAAAUAAUAACAUGUAAUUACUCUUAUCAUAUAUGUGUUGUCCAUACUUGCCAAUAAAUAUACAAUUAAAGAGUUAAUACUGUUUUUUUUUAUAAAAAUGACCCUAAGGUCAACCUCAUUUUAUUGUAUCAUUAAUGGCAAUAUUAUGGAUUUCCAUAGGAUAAUCCAUAUUGAAAUACAAAUUACACUUUUUCUUAAUAGCUAGAUUACAAAGUAAAUCAGCAGCCUUAUUACUGCAGCGGUCGGUCCAAUUAAUUUGGACAAAAUUUCUAAAAACCAUACAAGCCUUUUUCACACAGCAGCCCAAAAUGGUGAUAUCUUGGUCUCUCUUUUUUAUCGUGUUGACUAGCGUUGCAUUGUUAGACUCUAAAAUAAGCUUUGCCACUUUCAACGUUGAAGCCAAUGUUGGAAUUAAGAACAAAGAUUAAUGGAACAAAUAAUUUCUUGAGCUUGAAGGCUCGAUACUUGCUGUGCAAACAAAAAACAGAAUUGAGCUUGAAGAACUAAAGAAAACAAAGAAUUAAGAGAGCAUUAGAUGGAGAAUUCUUUGAUGAAUUUUCAUUAACUUGAAAGAUGGCAUAAUGCCAAUACAUAUACCAGACAUAAGCUAGUCAAAAGAAGAAAAAUGGUUACGUAAACAUUACCUACUACCACUAAGUACAUUGAAACUUGUUAAACAAAACUUGCACACUUGGUAAAGCUGAUUUAUCAACUCAAACAUCAACAAAUUACAUCAAGUACAUUAAUAACUUAGUUCUAAUCUAAUUAAGUUACAAAAUAUCAUUUGAAAGUAACAAAAUAAACAGCAGCAUGAACUUCAGCUGCGGCUACUUGGCUCAGGUAGCUUUGCUGCUUCUUGUCUGCAUGCAGGCCAGCUUCAACACUCCUCCUUGGCUUGCAUGCUGCAAACUUCCAUUUUGGCUCUCAAACAUUUGAACCUUGACACACAAAGAGGUUUGUCAAGAUAUCAGCAAGUUGAUUCUUCAAAACUGCAAUGAAUCAAUUUUACCUCUUGAGAUUGUUCCAUUUCUCUGACAAAAUGAAACUUAAUCUUGAAGUGCUUUAUUCUCCCAUGGAACACUGGAUUCUUUGCAAGUAGACCGGUUGUCACAUUUGUUCUUUGUUGCUUCCCUUUGGUGUAGAUUCAAACUGUCAUGAUUUUUCUUAGCCAAAUGGCUUGAUUAACAGCAUUGGCAGCUGCUACAUACUUAGCUUCAGCAGUUGAUUGAGCAACAACACUUUGGUUAUUUGAACUUCAACAAAAAAUGGCUAAAGCAAGGGUAUCUGUUUACCCCGAGGUGCUCUUCGUAUCAUCUAUCGAUCCAGCCCAAUCACUAUCAGCAUAACCAAGUAGCUUCAUACUAUCAACUUUGCUGAACAUCAUUCCAAAGCUCAGUGUACCUUUGAUGUACCUGAGAACUCUUUUGAUAGUUUGGAAAUACUUCACAUUACAACAAUGCAUGAAUCUUGAUAACAGACUUACAACAAACAUAAUAUCUGGUCUAGUAGUUGUCAAUUAAAGCAAACAUCCAAGCAAACUUCUGUAGGUUGUUUCACAAAUCUUCUUGAAAUCACCUUGGCUUGACAGCUUCUCUCCAACAGCAACUAGUAUCCUUGUUGCCUUGCAGUUCAGCAUGGAGAAUUUGUUCAAAAUCUUCAAGGCAAAUGCCUUCUGACUUAGAAAGAUCCCUUGCUGAGUUUGAGACACUUCCAUGCUAAGGAAGCAAGACAUUUGUCCCAAACCAGACAUCUCAAACAUUUCUUCCAUUUUGACUUUGAAAUCAACUAGCAUUGUAUAAUUUUCUCCUGUCACCAGUAGGUCAUCGACAUACAGGGACACUAUAAGCUAUGUUUCAUUACCUUUCUUCUUCAUAUACAAGGUUGGCUCACUAAUGCUUCACUCGAACCCCAAGCUAGUUAGUUAGCUAUCUAUUCUGUCAUACCAGGCUCUUGGUGCUUGUUUAAAGCCAUACAAGGCUUUCUUCAGCUUGUAGACACUAUCUUCCUUGCCUUCUAUUUUGAAACCUUCAGGCUGUUUAACAUAGAUUUCCUCAUCAAGAAAACCAUUGAAAAAGGUUGACUUUACAUCGAAUUGAUGAAUUUUCCAUUGCUUCUGUGUAGCCAAAGCAACCAGUAACCUGAUUGUGUCAAGCUUGGCCACUGGUGUAAAUGUCUCACAGUAGUAAAUGCCAUACUUCUGUUUGAAUCCCUUCACUACCAGCCUUACUUUUAGCUUGUUCAAAGUUCCAUCAGUAUUAUUCUUGGCUCGAAACACCCAUUUCACUCCUAUGACCUUCCUGUUGGCUGGUCUUGCAACUAGCUUCUAGGUCUAGUUCUUGUCAAUCAUGCUCAUUUCAUCGAGCAUAGCCUGUUUCCAUCUUUGUUGAGCUUCAGCUUCUUUAAAAUAGCUUGGUUCAACAACAUCCACUUCAGCCCUCUCAUAUAUCUCACUCAAAGGUCUGGUUUCCUUGUCUAGCUCAUGGUUAAUGUCCAUUUUAGGACCAUUUUGAUAAGCUUCAGUCUAAUCCAUUAUUAGAUCUUCAGUAACACAUUUUGGUUCAUUCUUAUCCUAAUUCUAGCUUGAUUUCUCAUCAAAUACUACAUCUCUGCUCACAAAGACCUUAAUAGAUGAAUGAUCCAAAAUCCUAUAGCAUUUCUUCGCACUGUUAUAGCCCACCAGGAUGCCAAGUUGAGCCUUUUUAGCCAGCUUGUCUCUUUUCACUACUGGAACAUGUGCAAAACAUAUGCAGCACAACACCCUCAGGUGAGCCACUGAUGGUUUAAACCCAAACUAGGCCUCGAAUAGAGUUUUAUGAACCAAUGCCUUGGUUGGUAACUUGUUUUGAAGAUAUAGAACAGUGUUAACUGCUUCAGUCCACAAGGUCUUGGGGAAAUUCUUUCCAAACAACGGGUAUCUUGCCAUAUCCAUUAAGCUUCUAUUCUUUCUUUCACUAACACUAUUUUGUUGAGGUGUGUAGGCGUUGGUGAGUUGGCGCUUGAUGCCUCCUUCAUCACAAAAGCCCUGAAACAUAGCUAAGGUAUACUCUGUCCCAUUAUUUAACCUUAAUAUCUUCAGCUUGCAACCUGCUUCUAUUUCUAUUGCAGCCUUGAACUUUUAAAAUACUUAGGCCACUUUUUACUUGUUCUUUAGGAAGUAAAUCCAACAGUACCACAAGUAAUCAUCAAUGAACAGAAUAAAAUACCUACUGCCAUUUAAGAACAUGGUUUUUAUAGGGCCACACACAUCAGUAUAGACUAGUUGUAACCUUUCAAAAGCUCUUUAAGCCUUGUUUGAAGGAAAUGGCAAUCUGGUUUGCUUUCCUAGCUGACACACCUCACAAACAUCUUCUUUCUCAACUAAUUUGGAGAAGUUUUCAACCAAGUCUUAUUUGGUUAGCUGACCCAGUAACUUGUAGUUGACAUGGCCUAGCCUCUUGUACCACAUCUUAAAUUCUUCUAAAAUAACUGUGUAAGCACUGUUAGAGCUCUUGUUCCACUCCACUACAAAACUUCUAUCAUCCAUGGUCACUGACAUGAGUUUGGAUUCACUUGGAUCACUGAUCAGGCAUUAUUUGCCUUUGAACACUACUGAAUAGCCUUUUUCUAGCAACUGAGCUAUACUAAGUAGAUUUCUAUCAAUUUCAGGCACAAACAAGACAAUAGUGACAAGUUUGUUACCUGUAAGAAUGCCUAUCAACACAUCUCCCUUGCUUUCUACUUUGAUGAAGUGUCCAUUUCUAACUUUCACCUUUGUUUUGAAGCUUCUAUCAAUGUUCUUGAAGAUAGCAUCAUUAGGGGUCAUGUGGUUUGUGUAACCACUGUCUAUCAGCCAUCCUUUUGUGGCUUUUCUUUUGGCAGCUGAGCAAGAGACUCCAAAGACUUGCUCUUCCUAGUCAUUGCCUUCUUCUACCACUUGAGCUUUAGCUCUUGACUGUUGAGGUUGGUUUUGUCUCAACUUGCCUUUGUUUCUGCAAACUUUCUCAACAUGACCUUUUUUUUACAGACUUUGCACUGCACUGCACCUCAGGCCUGAACCAGCAGUUUGCUUCUGGAUGACUGAGCCUUUUGUAAUAUGGGCAAGGUGGAUACCUUCUUCUUGCUCCAUCUCUUCUAGACUUGUCAGACCGGGCCUUCUUGCCUUUAUAGCCAGAAGAGCUCGAGGCAGGUCUACUUUUAGCUUAAAAGGCACCUUCUUGAUGCUCAUCCUGCCUGCUAGCCCUUCUUUGCUCUUGAUCAUAAAGAGCAUUGAUCAACUCAGUUAAAGAGAUGCUAGUCAGAUCUCUCGAGUCUUCAAGAGAAGAAAUCUUGACAUCAUAUCUCUCAGGAAAAGUUGAGAUAACCUUCUCUACAAUUUUUGCUUCACUAAACUGGCCCCCAAGCAAUCUGCUGUUGUUCACAAUAGCCAUGAUUCUGUCUGAAUAUUGCUUCACUGUUUCUUCUUCCAUCAUUUUCAAAAUUUCAAAUUCCCUUCUCAAAUUCAAGAGUUGUUGCUGUCUUGUUCUUUCAGUCCCUUGAAACUCCUCCUUAAGUUUAUCCGAAGGUUGUUUUGGAGACUCACAAGCCAUGAUCCUUAUGAAAAUCACAUCAGACACACUGUUUUGGAUGCAAAACCUGGCCUUGUGCCUCUUGAUUCUUUCAUCUGUAUGCUGCCUGAUCUGAGCCAUUGUGGGAUUGGCUCUUAGAGGUGCUGGUUCAACAUCUGAGUUAACAACCUCCCACAAGUCAAAUGCCUACAGGUAGGUCUUCAUUUUCACUACCCAAAUGUGGUAGCCUUCACCAUUGAACAUUGAUGGUUGAGCUAGAGAGAAUCCAGAUGAAGACAUGAUUUUUAGACUUAAAGAAUGACAGGUCCACUAAGAAAUAAGCUCUUGAUACCAAUUGUUGGAAUUAAGAAUAAAGAUGAAUGAAACAAGUAAUUUCUUGAGCUUGAAGGUUCGAUACUUACUAUGCAAACAAAUAUAGAAUUGUGCUUGAAGAACUAAAGAAAGAAAAGAAUUAAGAUAGCAUUAGAUGAAGAAGUCUUUGAUGAAUUUUUAUUAACUUGAAAGAUGGCAUAAUGCUAAUAAAUAUACCAGACAUAAGCUGGUCAAGAGAAGCAAAAUGGUUACCUAAACAUUACCUACUACCACUAAGUACAUUGAAACUUGUGAAACAAAACUUACACACUUGGUAAAGUUGAUUUAUCAGCUCAAACAUAAACAAAUUACAUCAAGUACAUUAACUGUAAAAAUUCCCUUAUAUAUUUAUUUUUGUAUUUUUGUGACACAAAUAUAUGAUAGCUUUAGUGGUUAUGUGUUCUGAGAGUGUCUGAGAAGUCUUUGGUUCAAGCCCUUACUUGGGCAAAUCUUUUUUUUGUUUUAAUUGAAUAAACCUCUAUCUCUAACCAUUAGGCUUAUAAAUAAAUAUUGGUGAAAUAUGUCAAAAUGGGUCUGCUGGUCUGGUGGUUAAGUGGAGUGCUUAUGUUGCAAGAGGUUUGGAGUUUGAGUCCUUGUAUGGGCAAAGAGGAUAAUUUUUACUCUUUAUUUCAGCAAGAGGUUGUUUUGACUGGGUUUCUGAGUAGUAGUGGCAUGGUGGAGGAGUGUUGGAGUGAUUUUAAGAGGGAAAUAUGGGAUUGGAGUGUUGGGGUGAUUUUAGGAGGAAAAUAUGGGAUUGUGGAGUUAUCUUUCUUCCAAAUUCGGUCAUUUGGCAUAGUUUUUUUCUUUUCUUUUUGCUCCACCAUUUUCUUUUGCUUUUCUUACCCAUUUUUUGUCAUUUUUCCUUCCUUAACUCCCCAUUGUUGCUGUUGAAAUUUUAAUUGGUAUUCUUUCUUCCUCUUUCACUUUUAUUUUUCCAUUCAAUUGUUCGGGAUUGCAUAUCGUUGUAUUGUGUGUGGUUGGUAAGUUUGGAACUAUUGUUAGACUAUCGAUUCUUUUGCUUAUUAAUUGAUUAAGAGGGGUUUCGACUGGUUUUAGGUGUUAAUCGAGAGGCUGAACUGUGGUCUUCAACGAUUUAAGUGUUUAGGAUCUCUGUUGAUUAACCGAAGGUAAGGGUUUGUUUUUAUUAUUAUAGUUUGGUAUACCUCACUGAAUUUUGAUUAAUUAUCGAUUAAAGAUAACUGAUUGGAAGGUUACUUUUUGUUUUGACAGCAAUGAAUUGGGUGGACUGGGGAUGUUAUAGCAUUGAUUUGUGGUUGGAUCGUUGAAGUGUUGAGGGUAAGUGAGCUUUUGUAUAAUUGUUGAUGUUACCUAUUUGACUAUAGCUUUUCGAUUGUGAUUAAAUCCGUUCUAAACUCUAGUUGACGUUUUAGGGUGCUAGAGUGAUCGUUGUGGCAUUAGCAUAAAAAACAUUUCAGGUGUGUAAUCACGUCACUGAAUACUCUAGUUGGCAAAAAUCCAAAAAAUAGGACUGACGAUGCCACGUGUAACUGCUCAAUUUUAACUUAAUUAGAAUAGUUGUUUUUGGACCAUAAAUUCGAGUCAAAAAAAUAUUUUAAUAUUAUUUUUGGUGUCUACUUCAUGUUAAUUUAUGUGUGUGAAAAUUUCAUGAAUUAAUUUUAUUGUUUGUGUGCCAAUUUGUGAAAAAGGAUUUAAUUGUACAAAAUGCAAAAGUUAUGUGCCAUUUGUUAAAGUGCUAAAUUGACAUGACUUUUUAAGUAUAAGGUCCUUAUGAUGCAAUUGGACCAUUGAAUUAGUGCAUGGACAAGUAAGGACAUUAGUUAGUGGGAUUUUAAUGAUAUAUGACCAAGGCUAAAAUGGUAAUUUUGUAUUAAUAUGUAUUAAAUAAAAUAAAACAUGAAAAUGGCCAUGCAUGUUCUUUAUUUUUGGUCGAAUGUUGAGAAAGAAAAUAAGCUUUUAAGCUUUUAGGUAUUCGACACUUUGGAGCUGAAAAUUUGGUAUGUUUCUUGUUCGGUUUUUGAUAAUUAAGUGUCAUUGUUGAUAAUGUGAUGAAAUUAUUGUUUGAUGAUGAAAAAAUAAAUUUUUGAUGUUAGAUUAUUAUGUUUAAUUAAGUGAUUUUUAGUAAAAAUGUGUACUAAGGAUUAAAUUUUGAAUUUUGUAAAUUGAGGGGUCAAGAUGUGAAAUCAAUUAUAGCAAUGGGUGGUUAGGGACCUUAAGUAGAUUCGGCCUAACUAGAGUGGGUUGAAAUUUUGAAUAUUUUGAGUUGUUUUGAAAUAGGGACUAAAGUGAAAAAAAUGUGAAAUGUUAGAGGCUAAAAUGCAAAUUGCCCAUUUAUGUGUUUUUGAAUAAAUUUGAACGAAUAUAUGACCAAAUAAGUCAAAUUUGUAUUAAAUUAGAUCAAGAAAAGAAGAAAUCGGAUUUGGAUCGGGGGAAAUCAAAAGUUGUUGAAUAGUUGUCCCUGUCAGUUCGUCUUCAUCCGAGGUAAGCUCGUAAGUAAAUUAUUAAAGUUUAAUUUAUUGUAUUUAUUUUAUGUAUAGCUGGAUCUAAAUGUGUAUAUGUACACUAUAAUGCCGAAUCGCAUUUGACAAAUGAUGAUUAAUUAUGAGUUUAAAUUGAUUGAUUACGACAUCCGAAAGUCAUACGAACUAUAGUAAUGCUGAAAUGUGACAUCGUGUAAGACCACGUCUGGGAAAUUGGCAUCGUAUGUUAUUACAUGUAAGACCCUGUCUAGGACAGUGGCAUCAUUAUUUGAUUACAUGUAAGACCAUGUAUGGGACGUUGGCAUUAUACUAGCUUUUGGAGCCGAUCGAGUAUCUUUUCUUUGAAUCCGCAAGGUAUAAUGGGAAAAUCAUAUGGUAAACCUGAAUGUGAGUUUGAAUUAAAUAAUUCACAUAUGUUUAAGUUAUAUGAAAUUGGAAGUAAAGGUAAGUAAUAUGUAUAAUAUGAAAAGAUGAAUUAAUCGUACAAAUAUGAUUAUAUAUGUAUGUGUACAUGAUUACUAAAUGUCUGGCUACUGGUGUAAUUUUUUUAUAAGUUCUUUGAAAAUUUUAUACUUACAACUUACUAAGCUAUUUAAGCUUAUUGUAUGUCUGUUCAUUCAUUUCUUUUAUAGAUUUUGGAAGCUAGUUACGAGCUCAGGGAUCUUCAAGGAAGUCCGUCACACUACCGACCUUUAUCUCGGUAUUUUGAAAGCUUGAAAUUUUGAACAUAUGGCAUGUAUAGGCUAGCACUUGUUUUGGUUGGUCUUGGAAAUUGUAGAUAUUUAGCCAUGCAGAAAUGACUUGAUUUAAUGCUAAUGUGCUAAUGUUUAAGAAAUUUUGGAACAUGGAAUAUUUGUGUGGUAUACUUAGUAUAUAAAUUCUAUAUGAUGCAAAGAUAUAUAUAUAUGGUAUGGUUAGUUCAUGUUGGUAAGCUUGAUAUAAGGAUGAUGGAUUUAUUUUGGUUGUGUUUUGUUAAUGAUGCUAUGAUCAUGUAUAAUCGCCCAUGAAAUAGCUCAUUUUGGAGGUAUGAUUUGUAGCAUAUCUGUGUGAUGAUUGAUUAUAUAGUUCGGCUUAAUUGAAGUAAAUAUUGUUGAUUAAAUGUUGUCCAAAUGUUGAUUAAAUUCUGUCUAAAUGUUGAUUGAAUGUUGUCCAAUUGUUGAUUGAAUGUUAUCCAAUUGUUGAUUAAAAGCUGUCCAAAUGUUGAUUAAAUGAUGUUCAAAUGUUGAUUGAAUGCUGUCCAAUUGUUGAUUGAAUGCUGUCCAAUUGUUGAUUAAAUGUUGUCCAAAUGUUGAUUAAAUGUUGUCCAAAUGUUGAUUGAAUGUUGUAUAAUUAUUGAUUAAAUGUUGUCCGAAUGUUGGUUAAUUGCUGUCCGUUUUUGAGCAUAUUAAUCCUAUCCAAAUUAAUGCUCAUAUGUUGUUUAUUUUUGUACAAAUCAAAACUAUCCAAAACAGGGUAGGUUACCUAUGUUUUGUCUUAAAUUUCACACAUAUGAAUAACAUAUAAAUUACUAUUUUUAUAAACUAUUAAUGAAUUGGGUUAGCUUAAAUUUAGAAAUGGCUUUGUAUUAGAAUGUUAUGCGCAUGUAUAUAUAUCUUAUAAAAUGAUAUGUUUGAUAAAUAGUUAGAGAUAUGGAUUGUUCUUACUUAGUAUGCAUAUGUGCAUAGUUUUUAUAAUGGCAUGGCUAGAAGUUUACUAAUUAAAUAAAUAUAUACAAUGAAUGAUUUGACAUAAGCUUCAUGAAUAUGAUGUAAUGAUAUAAGCUUGAAUAUAUAUUGAAUAUUCGAAUGGUACAAAUAUAAUAGUGAAUAGGUUCAAAUAAUAGACUUGUAAAGCAUGCAAUAUUUUAUUAAUGUGUGAUAGCUUGGUAAAAAAAUUUAUUUAAAUUGGUUAAUAGUAUUGAUUGAUUGAAUUUUAGAGUGCCAUGAUCUUUGGUCAUAAAGUUUGGCUAUAGGAGUUAUAUAGUAUAUGUAUUAUGAUAUUUUGUAUAUUCAUUUGGUUGAAUAGGUGAUUAAAUAAAUAAUAUUAAUAUGAUUAAUUUUUUUAAAACAUAAAUUGCUUAUAUAUUGUAAGUAGUAAAACAUGAUUAGUUUUAAUUGAUUAAGUAAUCUACAUGUGCAAAUGUGAUUUAUAUGAUUGGACUGCUAAUUACUAUUCGAGUUUCUUUUAAAAAAAUUGUGAUUGAGUUAGUCUAAUUUUUGCAUAAUUUAUAAUGAAAUACUGUUCUGAGUUGUGUUUUGAUCGGUAAUGCCUCGUAACCCUAAUCCAGUGAUGGACACAGGUUCGGGGUGUUACACCACACGAGUGUGGAACCACUAGUGUGGUAGGCCGUGUGAUCAAACAUGGCCAUGUGAUCGACGAGGCUGGCCAUGUGCGAUUCAUGGGCUGGGCCAUUUUGGGCCGUGUGGGCCACACAGGCGUAUGGACCCACAUGGACAAGCAACAUGGGCUUGUCGGCCCAUAUCCUCUAUUUGACUGCUAAGGUUGCAUGGGUCGUCCCGGUCGACUACGGAUCUACUGUAGGGUCGGUAAGCAUACCUAGACCCCUAAUUGACUGAAUGACUGUUAUAUCAUGUUGUUAGAAACUGUACUAAUUUUAUGUAUGAUACCAUGAUUUGGCAUGACAUGAUUGUAUGAUGCAUCGCAUGGGGAUUGGUUUUUAUUGACCGGAGGAAGUGUAAUGAAAGGCUUCGAGACUAAUUUACCGGUAGCUCAGCUGCAUAUUAUUAUACGGUGCCGCAUUCGGUACUACUUGGAGUGUAGGGAUGGGUGGGUUGAUUAUAUCCCCACAUGGAGUGUUAGGUUGGACAAAGAUGGAGUGUAGAGGCUGGCUAGGUAGGACCUGUAUAUUGUAUAGUCUGUUACUGUACUGAUUAUUGUUACUGUAAUGGGUCAAGGCCCAAACACAUGAUUGCUUCUGCGCUGAAAUGGGCUAAAGCCCAAACUGAUAUUGUCACUGAUACUGAAAAUGGCUUAGGCCCAGACUGUGAUUGCUUUUUGUCUGUUUACUUAUUAUGGGAUUACAUUCUGAGUUUCCAUAAACUCACCCUUCUGAUUUGAUUGUACAGGUUAUUCCCAGACAUAGGCGGAUUGGUACGACGAAGGACUCAACGGUGGCCAUACGACAUAUUUAAUACGAUUUAGUACUUAAUUAAAAUUUUGAUUCUAUUUUGGGGGUAUUUUAUUAUAAUUAUGGCCUCUUUGGAUUUUUACUUUUAAUUUUGGGUUUCUAUUGUUUGAUUUACAACUGCUAGUAGUAGAAAUAUUCGAGUUUUCAAAAUGAAACAAACGUUUUAACAAAAUACGCUCAAAUAUGCAAACUGUUUUAAAAGCUUUCACAUAGAAUAAACGUUUUUGAAACUUUCGACUAAUUAAUUAACACGACUUUAGAAUUAACAAGUAAUAAUGAAAAGUCUCUAAGUGGAAAAUGUUUUAAGCAAAGUUAUGGUUUUCCAACACAACCUACGGUUUUCAAACACACUAACAUGUGACAUCGCCAGAUUCAGCCAUAACGUCCAGGCCGAGUCUGGGGCGUUACAUUUAGUGGUAUCAGAGCCAAGUUAUAAAACUAGGCUGUGGAUUUGGGUUUAAAACUUGGUAUUUAAAGCACUGAUUUCUGAAUGAUAUGAAACAUUUUUACUAAAUGUGUGGCACAUCGAGUCUCUGGCACCGAUCCUGUAACUCCUCUGUAUUGAUAUCUGUUUAAAAAACUGAAAGUGCUAUAGAUAGUAUAUACUGAGCCUGCUAUAGAUAGAUUGUACUGAAAACAUUCAGGUUAGUAUAUACUAAUACUGUAGUAAAAUCGAUAAACACUGGUAGACACUGCGUCGUACGAAAACAAACUACGAACUACUAAAACUAUUUCUAUAAACCAUCUGCUAAUAACUAUUUAACUGUAAACUGAUUCAUAAAACUUUUAAUACAGAUAAGUGCGACUAGACGUUGAGCGCAAGGUAGAGGCCAAGGUAGAGGCCGUAGAGGGGCUCGAGCUGAGUCCUCUUCACUGGGCAGUAUGCCAAAUCUAGACACUAGCGAGACGCCAGUGUCGCCUGUCACUGCUAGGUCACAAGACCGAGUGACUAGAGACGACGCACUGUUUCAAGCCAUGUUAAGGAUUGUAGAGAAGGUCGCUAGGCCCAAUACUAGAGCUGGAGGCUGAAGGUCGACUACGGAAUGACCCCGGUCCAAUGGAACCGAGAAUUUUAGGGGUACUGCUGGAUUUACCCCUAAUGUGGCUGAGUACUAGAUAGAGGCCACAGAGAGAAUUAUGGAUGACCUAGACUGCACUCUUGCGUAGAAGUUAAAGGGUGUUGUAUCGUUGUUACGAGAUGAGGCUUAUCAGUGGUGACUCACUGUUAAGAGGGGCACUCAGCCUGAUCGACUGACCUGGGAGUUCUUUAAGACCGUUUUCCGUGGAAAGUAUGUGGGUGCUAGUUAUGUGGAUACCCGUAGGAGAGAAUUCUUGAAUCUGACUGAGGGGGACAGAUCAUUGGCCGAGCAUGAGGCCGAGUUUUUACGACUGAGCUGCUAUGCGUGUGUUAUGGUGGCAACUGAAUAUGAGCAAUGUGUUCGCUUUGAGGAUGGCCUCGUGGAUAAUUUGAGGGUUCUGAUAGCUCCACAGAGGGAGUGAGACUUUGCUGCAUUGGUUGAUAAGACGAAGAUUACAGAGGAAAUAAAGCGCGCUGAGUACUAUAAUCGAGAAAGAGGUAGGAAGAAGAGGGAUUUGGAGCCCUCGAGUUCUGUUCAGAGGCCUUAGAAAAAGGCCAGAGUUAAUGGGCCGAUCAAAGUUGGGGCUCCCAUUGCUGGUACUAGAUAGCCGCUGUGUAUUGACUAUGGUAGAUGCCAUCAGGGCGAGUGUUGGAAAAGAAUUAGGGCAUGUUUGAGGUACAGUUCUCUAAAGCACCGUAUUAGAGAGUGUCCAUGGAGGUCUGAUCAAAUGCAAGCUCCGGGUAAUAAUACUGUACAGCCACCAAUAGUAAUUCAUCAACCAUCGAGAGGCCGGGGUCAAGCUAGAGGUAGUAAUGGUUUGGGUCGUGGUCAGAGAGCACCGGGUAGAGGUGCUAGACAUACUGAGGCGAGGAAGCCAGCUCUACUUUAUGCUACUCGUCACCUAGAGGAUGGAGAUGCUCCAGACGUCAUUACGAGUACAUUCUUUAUUUAUAAUGUACCAUAUACUGCACUGAUAGAUAUAGGAUCCACUCACUCCUAUAUAGCUUGUACCGUAUCUAAAAACUUGGGUAUAUUGGUUGAGAGCACUACGAGUGAGGUCACUGUACUGAGUCCAUUGGGGCAGUCAAUAAGGGUUAACAAAAUGUUUAGAGAUGCUCCUCUAUAGGUUCAAGGAGCUAUCUUUUUCGUUGAUAUGGUAGAACUGCCUUUUGGGGAAUUUGAUCUGAUAUAGGGAAUGGACUGGUUGGUUAAACACCGAGUGAGCUUAGAUUGUGCCACGAAAAUGGUUAUUUUGAGAAUUGUGGAAGAUAGAGAGGUAGUCGUAAUUAGGGAGCGUUGGAACUAGUUAUCGAAUGUGAUUUUUACAUUAAGGGCUGAAAAGUUGGUUCAUAAGGGAUGUUAGGCGUAUCUGGCUUACAUCAGUGUUUUAGAUUCUAGGGGCUCUUCGGUUAAUGAUGUCAGGACGGUUAAGGAGUUUUCGGAAGUUUUUUUUCUGAAGAGCUACUUGGGUUACCUCUAAAUGGUGAAGUAGAGUUUGGGAUUGAGCUCCUUCACGGUAUAGCUUCAGUGUUCAUUGCCCCUUAUAGAAUGGCACCAAAAGAACUUGUGGAGCUUAAGGCCCAGAUUCAAGAGCUACUAGAUCGUGGGUUUAUCUGCCCUAGUGUGUCUCCGUGGGGAACACUGGUUUAGUUUGUGAAAAAGAAGGAUGGGUCCAUGCGUAUGUGUAUUGACCACCGGUAAUUGAAUAACUUAAGCAUUAAGAAUAAGUACCCCCUACCAAGGAUAGACGAUCUAUUUGAUCAGUUCUGAGGUGCUUUGAUUUUCUUUAAGAUUGAUCUACGGUCAGGAUAUCACUAGUUGAGAGUUAAAGAGGCUGACGUGCAUAAGAUGGCAUUUAGGACUCGCUAUGGUUAUAACGAGUUCCUAGUGAUGCCAUUUGGACUGACAUGCACCGACAGCUUUUCUGGAUCUGAUGAAUCGAGUGUUCCAGCCCUAUCUGGAUCGGUUCGUAGUGGUAUUUAUUGAUGAUAUAAUGGUGUAUUUGAAAACUGAGGAUGAACACGAUAAACACCUCAGAGUGGUUCUACAGAUUCUGCGAGAAAAAUAAUUAUACGCCAAGUUCAGUAAAUGUGAGUUAUGGUUACGUGAAGUAACGUUUUUGAGACAUGUGGUUUCUGCUGAGGGGGUUAGAGUCAAUCCUCGAAAGAUUGAGGCUAUCAUGGAUUGGAAGUAGCCUAACAUUGUAUCUGAGAUUCGUAUUUUUCUGGGACUGGCAGGGUAUUAUCGAUGAUUUGUGGAGGGAUUUUCUCUGAUUAUCGCACCCUUGACAAAGCUACUACGUAAGGGUGUGUCGUUUAACUGGACUGAUGCGUAGCAAGAGAGCUUUGAAAAUCUCAAGACUAUACUGAUGGAGGCCCCUGUUCUAAUACAGCCAAAGUUUGGAAAAGAGUUUACUGUUUACAACGACGCAUCACAUGUCAGUUUAGGAUGUGUGUUGAUGAAAAAGGGUAAGGUGGUAGCGUACGCAUCUCGUCAGCUUAAGACUCAUAAGGAAAAUUAUCCUACGUAUGACUUGGAGUUGGCCGUAGUGGUAUUCGCACUGAAAAUCUGGAGGUAUUACUUGUAUGGUGAGAAGUGUAUCAUUGACACUGAUCACAAGAGCCUCAAGUACCUCCUCACUCAGAAGAAGCUGAAUCUUAGUCAGCGUAAAUAGGUUGAGCUGCUUAAAGACUACGACUGUACUAUUGAAUACCACCCUGGUAAGGCUAAUGUGGUGGUUGAUGCACUGAGCCGUAGAGCUAUGAUUAACCUGAGGCCGAUGUUUACUCGCCUCAGUUUAUUUGAUGAUAGUAGUCUGUUGGCCGAAAUUUAAGUUAAAUCAAUGUGGAUAGAGUAUAUUAAGGGUAAAUAGAUAGAGGAUGAGCCCUUGGGUCUUCAUUUCUGACAGGUUGAGAGUGAGAAUACCAAGGAUUUUGGACUGAAUAGUGAAGGGGUGCUCUGUUUCCAUUGGAGAAUCUGUGUACCAAAAGAUACUGAGCUGAGGCAAUCUAUACUGCGAGAGGAGCAUAGUAGCCCUUAUGCUAUGCAUCCUGGCAGAAAUAAGAUGUACCGCGACCUUCGUGAGUUAUACUGGUGGCUAGGUCUUAAGCGAGAGGUUACUGAAUUUGUGGCUAAGUGUCUGACUUGCCAGCAGGUUAAGGCUGAGCAUCAGUUACCUUCGGGUUUGUUACAGCCAGUCAAGAUUUCGCUUUGGAAGUGGGAGAGAGUGACUAUAGACUUCGCUAGUGGGUUACCCCUAAAACCUACUAGGAAUGAUUCUGUAUGGGUCAUCGUGGAUCGAUUGACCAAGUCCGCCCACUUUAUACCAGUUCGUACCAACUACUCUCUACAAAAGCUGGCUAAAUUUUGUGUCUGAGAUAGUGAGACUGCAUGGGGUAUCGGUUUCAAUAAUAUCUAAUAGGGAUCCUCACUUCACGCCUUGAUUUUAGAAGAAGCUACAUGAAUCUCUAGGUGUAAGAUUGGACUUUAGUACUAUGUUCCAUCCUGAGACUGGCAGUCAGUCAGUCAGAAAGGGUGAUUCAAAUACUGGAGGAUAUGUUAAGAAGUUGUGUGAUUGACUUUCGAGGUAGUUGGGAGGAUUACCUGCCGCUAGCAGAAUUUGCGUAUAACAACAACUAUCAGUCUAGCAUUCAAAUGGUCGUAGGUGUCGCACAUCUUCAUGUUGGACUGAGUUGGGCGGACGACGUGUUUUAGGCAUUAAGCUAGUUUUUGAUACCGAGGAAAAAGUUAGGUUGAUUCGAGACCAACUGAAAGCAGUAUCUGAUAGGCAGAAGUCCUACGCCGACAUGAAGCAUCAAGAGAUUGAGUUUUCGAUGGGGGACUUUGUUUUCCUCAAGGUCUCGCUGUGGAAGAAGGUACUAAGAUUUGGUCACAAUGGCAAGUGGAGCCUUGGAUUUAUUGGACCUUACCGUGUGCUUAAGCGAGUGGAACCGGUUGCUUACCAGCUGGAAUUAGCUCUGGAAUUGGAUCAGAUUCAUGACGUGUUCCACGUCUCUAUAUUGAGGCGCUACUGCUCUGAUCACAUGCAUAUUGUUCCUGUUGAGGAGAUCGAGGUUAGGCCAAAUCUGACAUUCAAAGAAGAGCCAAUUCAGAUAUUGGAGCGAGAUGCAAAGGUUCUAAAAAGGAAAUCCGUCCCACUAGUUAAGGUUCUUUGGAGUAAUCAUAGCUCUGAGGAGGCCACGUGGGAGCCUGAGGAUGCGAUGCGAUAGCAGUAUCCUCAUCUAUUUUGAUUAUGUAAAAUUUCGAGGUCAAAAUUUGCUUUUAAGGGGUAGAGUUGUAAAACCCCAAAAAUCCCUUAUAUAUUUAUUUUUGUAUGUUUGUGACACGAAUAUAUGUAAGCUUUAGUGGUUAUGUGUUCUGGCAGUAUCUGAGAAGUCUUGGGUUCAAGCCUUAACUUGGGUAAAAAAAAUUGUUUUAAUUGAAUAAAUCUCUAUCUCUAACCAGUAGGCUUAUAAAUAAAUAUUGGUGAAAUAUGUUAGAAUGGGUCGCUGGUCUGAUGGUUAAGUGGAGUGCUUAUGUCACAAGAGGUUUGGAGUUCGAGUCCUUGCAUAGGCAAAGAGGAUAAUUUUUGCUCUUUGUUUUGGCAAGAGGUUGUUUUGACUGGGUUUCUGAGUGGUACUGACGUGGUGGGGGAGUGUUGGAGUGAUUUUAGGACGGAAAUAUAGGAUUGGAGUGUUGGAGUGAUUUUAGGAGGAAAACAUGGGAUUGUGGAGUUAUCUUUCUUCCAAAUUCAAUCAUUUGGCAUAGUUUUUCUUUUCUUUUCGUUUUGCUCCACCAUUUUCUUUUGCUUUUCUUACCCAUUUUCUGUCAUUUUUCCUUCCGCAAUUCCCCAUUGUUGCUGGCAAAAUUUUAAUUGGUAUUCUUUCUUUCUCUUUAACUUGCGAUUUUCCAUUCAAUUGUUUGGGAUUUUAUAUUGUUGUGUUGUGCAUGGUUGGUAAGUUUGGAACUGUUGUUAGACUAUUGGUUCUUUUGGUAAUUAAUUGAUUAAGAGGGCUUUCGACUGGUUUUAGGUGUUAAUCGAGAGGCUGAAUAGUGGUCUUCAACGAUUUAAGUGUUUAGGAUCUCUGUUGAUUAACUGAAGGUAUGGGUUUGUUUUUUGAUUAUAGUUUGGUAUACCUCACCGAAUAUUAUCGAUUAAAGAUAACUGAUUAGAUGGUUACUUUCUGUUUUGAUAGCAAAGAAUUGGGUAGACUAGGGCUGUUAUAGCAUUGAUUUGUGGUUUGAUCGUUGAAGUGUUGAGGGUAAGUGAGCUUUUGUAUAAUUGUUGAUGUUGUCAAGUUGACCUUUUAAGGUGCUGGAGUGAUCGUGGUGGCAUUAGCAUCAAAAACGUUUUAGGUUUGUAAUCACAUCCCUGAAAAUGCUAGUUGGUAAAAAGCCAAAAAAUAGGACCGACGACACCACAUGAGCUUAGAACCGCUCGUGUGGUAGGCCGUGUGAUCAAACAUGGCUGUGUGAUCGACGAGGCUGGCCAUGUGUGAUUCAUGGGCUAGGCCAUUUUGGGACGUGUAGGCCACACGGGCGUGUGGGCCCAUAUGAGCAAGCAACAUGGGCUUGUAGGCCCAUAUCCUCUGUUUGACUGUUAAGGUUGCACGAGUUGCCCCAGUCGACUGCGGACCUACUGUAGGGUCAGUAAGCUUACCUAAACCCCUAAUUGACUGAAUGACUGUUAUAUCCAUAUAUGAUAUUUAUAUAUAUAUGUAUGACUGUAUAGAGAGCAUGUUGUUAGAAACUGUACUAAUUUUAUGUAUGAUACUAUGAUUUGGCAUGACAUGAUUGUAUGAUGCAUCACAUGGGGAUGGGUUGAUAUUGAUCGGAGGAAGUGUACUAAAAGGCUUCGAGCCUAACUUACUGGUAGCUCAGCUACAUAUUACUGUAUGGUGCCGUAUUCGAUAGUACUUGGAGUGUAGGGAUGGGUGGGUUGAUUAUAUCCCUACAUGGAGUGUAGGGUUGGACAGAGAUGGAGUGUAGAGGCUAGCUGGGUAGGACCUAUAUACUAUAUAAUCUAUUACUGUACUAAUUAUUGUUACUGUAAUGCGCGAAGGCCCAAACACAUGAUUGCUUUGCACUGAGAUGGGCUAAAGCCCAAACUGAUAUUGUCACUGAUACUGAAAAGGGCUUAGGCCCAAACUAUAAUUGCUUUUUGUCUAUUUGCUUAUUAUGGGAUUACACACUGAGUUUUCGUAAACUCACCCUUCUGAUUUAACUGUACAGGUAAUCCCCAGACACAGGCGAAUUGGUGCGACGGAGGACUCAGCGAUGGCCACACGACCUAUUUAAUUUGAUUUAGUACUUAAUUAAAAUUUUGAAUCUAUUUCGGCGGUAUUUUAUUGUAAUUAUGGCCUCUUUGGAUUUUUACUUUUAAUUUGAGGUUUCUAUUGUUUGAUUUACAACUGCUAGUAGUAGGAAUAUUCGAGUUUUCAAAACGAAACAAACUUUUUAACAAAAUACGCUCAAAUAUGCAAAUGUUUUAAAAGCUUCCGCAUAGAAUAAAUGUUUUUGAAACUUUGGACUGAUUAAUUAACACGACUUUAGAAUUAACAAGUAAUAAUGAAAAGUUUCUAAGUGGAAAAUGUUUUAAGCAAAGUUACAGUUUUCCAACACAACAUACGGUUUUCGAACACACUACCAUGUGACAUCUCUAGAUUCGGCCAUUACGUCUAGGCCGGGUUUGGAGCAUUACAUUAACAACUUUGUUCUAAUCUAACUACGUUACAAAAUAUCAUUUGAGAGUAACAAAAUGAAUAGUAGCAUGAACUUUAGCUACAACUUCUUGGCUCGGGCAACUUUGCUGCUUCUUGUCUACAUGCAGGCCAGCUUCAACAGCCAAUUUUAAAUCGUCAACCAAAGCUUCAAACUCUGCCCAAACCGCGUCCAGGUAUUUAUUUGCAUAACCAUAGCUCCUCCCAAGAACGAAACCUUCAUGGUCUCUGGCUAUAGCCCCAUACCUGAUACUUCCAUUCAAAACUACAGCAUCAACAUUGAUUUUAAUAAAACCAAUUGGAGGCUUCGUCCAGCUUUUACGCACUCACGUUGGGGGAUAACAGUACUGUUGAAGAUUCUAAAAUCUUUGCUGAGAGUCUGCCUUCUUUCCCACACCGCCAAAGUCGUAUCAUCCUUACCUUGAAAGACCAUCUUGUUCCUAUCAUUCCAACAGUUCCAAAGGAGAGUAAAAAAGUCCACAGCAGCUUUGGUGUCAAGCUCAAGAAGGACGUCUUUCAGCCAGUCAAUGCACCUCUCGUUUCUACCACUAAGUAGCCUAUUGUUUAGGCCACUGAUCAUGAAGAUCUCACGGACCUUUGGGCAUUCUUUCAUGGCAUGGAUAAGAGUUUCGUCACCGUUUUUGCAUCUUGGAUAGGUUGUCGAGAAGUUGUGACGGAUGCGGGCAAUAUUGUCGUAAGUAGGAAAAACAUUAUGGCCUAUUCUCCAGUGAAGACUUUAAUAUUGGGGAGCAUUCAUAACUUCCAAAUAAUUCUCCAAAAUAAUCUGUGAGGACCGAAACCAAUUUUCCCAAGGGAUAACGACGAAGAAGUAGAUUUUGAGGUAUAAAAACCAUGAGGGUUUUGAUUCCACGUUCUACUAUCAUUUAUCCCAUUAUGGAGAAUAGGUAAAUUACAAAUAUGAGUCCCUAUUAUUUUGCCAUAUAAUUCAAUAACCCUCUCUAUUUUCCACUACCUAUGAUUGUGGUCCCACAAGUCUUUGACUUUUCUUUCUUCAUUUGUUAACAAUGACAAUCCCCAUUAAGACCCUCUAUACCCCAUUGAUCCCUUCGAAUGUCCAUAGUGUUGCCAGCCCCAACCUGCCAUAGAAAUCCAUCCUUGAGAACUUCGAUCGCCCUAGCUAUACUAGACCAAGUAAAAGACAGUUUAUCACAGUAUUUAGGCCCGAACACAUCACUUUCGGGGAAAUAUUUUGCACCCAGCACCUUAAGACAUAAAGUGUCCUUGAAGUUUAACAGCCUCCAAACUUGUCUACCUAGGAGGGCUAUAUUAAACAAAUGCAUAUCCCCAAAGUUGAUGCCUCCCAUACCUUUUGUGGUAACAUAAACGCUCUCAAGCCAUCAUAGCCCAACCCCUAGUCUUUUCAUUGUUCGUCCACCACAUUCGACCCAUUUUCGAGUGUAAGUCCUCAAUGAUACCUUUUGGGGCAAGAAAGACAGAAAAUGCAUAGGUUGGAAUAGACUGAAUAAUUGCUUUUAUGAAGAUCUCUUUUUCUCCAUAAGAAAGAAGCAGCUUCAACAAACUAUUGAUCCUGCAAGCACAAUGAUUAAUGAUAUUAGUAAAAGAAAAUGAUUUCUUUCUACUUAUAGGCAAAGGUAACCCAAGAUAAUUAUCGACCAUACACAUCCCGAGCAUGGAACAAAAAAGAUGCCUUUGAGGCAAAAGAGUUUUCGGACUAAACAUAAUCAUGGAUUUAUCAUUGUUAAUUUUUUGGCCCGAAACAUAAGUAAACUUCGUUAUGAUAUUGACGAUUUCUUCUACAUCCUUUUUUCUUGUUAGAAUAAAAAGUAGUGCAUGAUCAGCAAAAAAUAGGUGAUUAAUACGCGGUCCAUUAAUGCUAGCCCGGAUUCCUUUUAAAAUAUUAUUAUUUUGAGCUUGAAUUAACAGUUUAGAAAAAACUUCCAUGCAAAAGAGAAAAAAGAUAGGGAGAGAGAGCAUCCCCUUGUGUGAGGCCCCUUUUCGGCACAAUAGUUUCAAAAAGGGUCGAGUUGCAUUUGACCAAGUAACUGACCGAACGAACGCAACUCCUUACUUUAGUCACCCAAGCAUCCGUAUAGCCCACUCUUUUCAUAACCUCUUCAAUGAAAUUCCAUUCAACCCUAUCAUAUGCUUUGCUCGUGUCAAGCUUGGUCACAAAGCCUUUAUUUGGACCGUUUUUAGCAUUUUGAAGGUAAUGGACCAACUCAUGAGCGAUUAAGAUGUUGUCGUGAAUCAUACGUCUGGGAACAAAUGCGCUUUGAUUUUGACUAAUGCAAUUCGGAAGAGUAUAUUUCAGCCGAUUUGCAAGAACUAUAGCAAAGAUCUUGUAGACCACCCUACAAAGACUAAUCGGACGGAAAUUAGUCAUAUCAAUAGGCUCUUUUAUUUUUGGGAUAAGAACAAUAAUUUGUAAAAAUAUAUGCGCACAUGUCAUGGGGCUAGAAUUUUAGUCUAACAAACCGCGCGGUCUUAUGCGAUUUCUUGGGUUCAAAUCCUACCUAAGUUAAUGUACUCUCGAAAAUGAAAAUUCUUGCAGAAAUUCUACAAGGCACUAAAGCAAAGAAGCAAAGUCGAAAUGAAAGAGAAAAGAAUAGAUAGGAAAGCCAAAUAGAAAUAUCUUACACCAAGUGUUUGAGUAACUGCUUUCAAUAUAUUCUUAACUCAAUAAUGGAAUGAUUACAAAUGAAGGGGAGAACUUUAUUUAUAAUUGAGCUCUCCAAAGUUCAAUGGUAUAUGUUGAAUUACAUUAAUGGCUAAGAUUAGUUUCCAUCUACAAUAAGUGACUCUUAAGGGACUCAAAUUUUAUACAUUUUUAUCCUUUAGGAUUUACAAUAAUUACCCUGGUAAAAUACAUUGUUUACAAUUUAGCUAGGACCCAAGUAGAUGGGCCUUGAGUCCUUUCCAAGAAAUGGGCCAGUCUUGUCCAGCCGAAUGACCCGCAAUGAACAAGAGGGAACAUCAGAGUGUGCCUUGGUUGCAGGCUUCUUUGCACUGCUCAUGACAUUCUCCCCCACUUGUUCUCACGACUCCCUCAUCACAUCCUCGGAAUGGAACUGAUCUAUCUUCUCUUGGAACUACCAUAAAGCUUCGACAGGUUCCCAACUAGCCUCACUAUCAGGAAGUCCCUUCCAUCAAAAAAGGUACUCUUGCUUUGGCCUGUAGUACUUCCAUUGGAUUACUCGGUCUACCAUGAUGCAUUCAACAUCACGAUCAUAGGAGACCUAUCUCACAUUGGUGCUUUUUCGGGCUUGCCUCGAUUUGGAUCCUCCUGAUCCUCAUGGAAAGGCUUAAGCAUACUAACAUGGGACACCAGAUUGACCUUGAGUUUUGAGGAUGGUGGAUAAUAUUUUUAUCCAUUCUACCUCGAUUUGAUGUGAUUUAAGCAAACCAAGAUGAAUUAAAAGUUACGUUGUGAAUAUGGAUUCGUGCUCUAAAUAUAAAAUGCUUGUUCAACUUCGAUAGAUUUUUUUUUGUGUUGAGAAAAGUUAUUUUAAGUGGUUGUCGAAGUGCCAUUGGAAUUGGCCACUAUGGUUGACAUUACAACAAACAAAAUAACUUGUCAUUCUUGGAGUUGGCAAUCUUUUCAACAAAAUUAGUUGGACAACAACUUGGAUGAUUUUGUGGAUGUGUCUUGGCUCAUAUUUUCAAAUUCAUCUUGUAGAGUUACAAACCUUUGAAGAUUGAAUCCAUCCGAAUAAAGCAAAUUAGAUCCAUUGUUUUGUGGAGAUUAGCUUGAUUGAUUUGAAAACUUAUUUUGGAGAUCAUUGAUUUAUUCUAGAUUGUACGAGGAUACUUUUAAAGUAUUUUCUGUGAAUCUAUUUUUCUUAAGAUCUCGUUUUUAAUUGAUUUUUAUUUUAGUAAGCCUUAAACUCUUAUAUAUUAGAAGCAUAAUACCCUUUUAAAUUAAGUAAAUAGAAGCUUUCUUUUAUCUUUCAAUUAAAAUCUAAUAUAUAUUAAUAAAAAAAUUAGAGAUAUUUUUAGAUCACAUUUAAGUAUAAAAUUCAACUCAUAUUUUUAAAAAUAUAUAGUCUGAAUGCUUUUAUUCUAAUCAUUAUCUUAGACCCGUAUGUAUAUUGUUGGUGGAAUUAAAAAAAUAAGUUUUGAAUGUGGGUAGAUGCAGUAGCUGGAGAAAACAUAUUAAGUGAAAUAAUAAGCUAAUAAAGGGCCUUUUAUUUUUCCAUAAUAAUAUUAUACAAACAGUCAGCCAUGCAAAUGCAUGGCAGUGACAUAAUAUUGCGAAGGCCUUAACACGAAGACACUCAUACAUCUACUACUGGGUAUCAUAUUUAGUACAGUAGUGGUAUAGGCAAUGCACCCAGAGGGAAGCACAUUAUUAUUUAUUUUAGAUAGCCUUCAUUAUCACAACAAUUUGAUCAGCAAGCAAAACCCAGUUAUGCCUCUGACUCAAAUGAUGCCUUCAGUGUCGGCGAACGUUUCUUGGGAUCAAUUUCCAUUGAUGCAACGUACCCAAACUUUCUAACUUUAGAUUUUGAGCUUCCUCUUGUGUCAAGAUCGGUUUUGAUUUGCUCCCAACGAAUAGGUUCUUUGUGGAUAUUAGUAUAGACCUGCAACAAGCAUACAGUUAAUCAUAGACUAUCUGAUUAUAUCUAUGUAUAUAUACCCACUUUGAUUAAUAGUAAGAUUGAAUUGAAUGCAAUAUAUACCUUGCUGUCUUCACCUUGAGGGUUGCUCCAAGCAACAAUCCACCUAGUUCCAUCAUGUAGCUUGUACACAAGACCAACCAUGGAACCUGGAACAUCAUUCUGCUCAGUCACUGCAUCAUGCGUAAACUCACCCACAUAUCUUCAAUGGUUUCCGGGAAAUCCGCGUCAUGAGAGCCUUGCCAAACUUUCUUGCCACUCAGGGUUACAGUUUCGCUGGUAGAGUUCCAAAGCUUGCCCAUUGUGUAUUUUUGAGCUUUUUUCAUUUGACAAUUAGCCAUGGUAGCUUCGUAUGUGUUUUGCUUUGCUAUAGUUUGAUUUGGUUGUGUUAUGUUUCAAAUAUUGCAAUACACACCUACUUAUAUACUAGCUCAGAUCACGCAUGCAUGCAUGCAUACAUGUAUUGUCCAUAAGAACAAAGUGAUGUGCAUGGAAGUAGUAUACUACGUUCAGUGGCGGAGCCACGUUGAGGUCGAGGGGGCCAAAAUUUAAAAUUUUCAAUUUAGUCCUUUGUAAAUUAACACUAUGGCCCUCCAAAAAUAUAAGUAGGCCACCCCGAAGGUUUAAAAUUUUUUCAAUUUUUUCCUUUGUAUAUAUAUAUUAUAGCCUUCCUAAAAGUAUAAGUAGGCCCUCCAAUAUUUUUAUAGGAUUAAAAAUAAUAUUAAAAAAUUUAUUAUUGAUAAAGACAAAGAGAAAAUCUUCUUGAAGAAAAUAAAUUACUCAUGAUGAUUUUUGAAUGAUAUUUUUGCUAAAUAAUAAUAAAUUAAUGUUUAUUUAAUAGUUUACUUAACCUAAUAAUAUUUUAUAAGUAAUAUAAUAAUAUAUAUAUAUAUAUAAAAAGAAAAGAAAAGAUGAAGAGACUUUUAUCAUCUUACUUCUUCAUAUUGUUGCUUAGCAAGAAAAGAAGAAUAAAAAAAUUUCUUUAUCAUUUUUCCUCCAAAUUUGAAGUAUAAGGUAUGUUUUUCUUCAAACUUUUCAAAAAUGUUGAAUAUUUGAAACUUGUUUUACAUAUAUGUACCAAUAGUUUUUUGUUUUAUCAAGUAUAUUAAAAGUUGUCAUUAAAGGAUCUUGAUGGAACUUAGAAGCUUAUAAAAUUAAGUGAAAUGUGUAUGUUUUUGGAUGGAAAAAGAUUAGGAGACGGUUUCUAACUUGUUAGAAGUGUAAAAAUGAAACAAAAAUAGUUAGAUAAUGUUAUAGUAAGUUUCGGCCAAAGUGAAAGGGAGGAAGAAAACCUUGGUCACUUUGUUUAAAAUUAUGUCAAAUGAUAGCAUGUGAAGCAGUGAGCAUUCCUGUAAAAACGGAAAAAAAAGGUUAACCGAAUCAAAUGAUAGCUAUUUCAUCUUAAUUGUUGGAAUAUUAUUUCUUUUGAAAAAAAAAUUAUAUGUUUAAAUCGAUUGUCAUGUUGGAAUACUUCUUCUUUUGAAUCGGUUGUUUAUAUGUUUAUAUCGACAGUUACAUAACACUUCUAAUUUUAACUUGGGCCCAAAAUUAAAAUCCUAACUCUGCCAUUUCUACAUUGGUAUCCAAACUUUUUAUCUCCUUUUUCCUUUUCCUUAUUCCUAAUGUUGAGGUGUUUUUUCUUAUAUUAUUAUAAUUAUUUACUAAGCUCCACGUAGCUCAUUACAAUCUUUAUCUUCUCUCUCUCUCUACGUACAUAUAUUCCUCCUAUUAUUGAUAUAAACAUAUACGUUUGUCAUCGUUCUCACAAUUUUGGUGGGAUAGUGAAUGACAAAUUUGGAGGGACCGGAAUCUUAUCGAUUAAAAAGGUUACUAAAGCAUCAGAAUAACUUUUAAGAUGAAUCCAGAAAAAUAUUAUGUUAAACAAAUUAUGUUACAUCAUAUUUUUACUAAAGCUUAUUUAUUUAAUACAUGUUAGAUUAUGGAACACUUAUUAGGUAGAUGGUUGAAAAAAUAUAUGUUUGAUCUAAUAUGGCUUUAGAUAACUGUUUAGACAUCAUAAUUUGUUAUAUUUGUUGUUGGUAAUCUUUUUUAACUAAAAGAAUUAUAUUAAAAUUAAAUUUAUAUUAUGGAAGUGUGUUGGUCCAUCUGAAAAGAUGGUCUUAUGGAGAAAAUGAUCUUAAAAGAUUGGAGUGAACUAGAUCAUACAAAUUAGAUUUUUUAUUUUAUAGAGAUUGAACCAAAUGAUUUAAAAGAAAUAUGUUGAAAUAUCUUAUUUAUCCAAGACUUUAUUAGGAAAUUUGUAGUCUUGGUAUUACAAUUGGUUGGUAUUUUAGCAAGCCUCAAAUGCUAAUAUAUUGGGAGGCUUGUGUACGUAACUGAUAAGAGAGUUAGCACUUUAUUUUGUUUAAUUAAGAACUAUUAUAUUAAUGCAUUUUGUUCACUUGAUUUGAUAAUUGAGUUUUUAAGAGAAAAAUUUAAUGGCGUGAUUUAAAUUUUUAUGAGUGUGAAGUUGCUAUAUGGUGAGCGACUUAAAUCAUCAUUUCUAUAUACUUGAACUUAAUAUAUUAUCUCUCUAACUACACCUCGCAAACGUAAAUGAAAAUCAUGCCGUAUAACCAAUUUUUUUUGUAUUACUGUUUUUAUCGUUAAUUGAAAAUUUAUAACUAGCGAUACAUCAUAUCGUAAAAAUCAAUUGUUUCAUAAUUAAAAAUGCACAAACAAAGAAACAUCAAUGUCAACAUUAAACUUAUCUCUCCCGAAGAGCUAAGAUUAAGGUUACCACUUUAAACUGCAUAAUUCUAAAAGCAGAAGGUGAGCGGAUAGGAAUUUGUCCCCUAAUCAUACAUUCUGACUCAACAUGAAUUGAAUAUAUGCUCUUUUAUUUUUUAUAAAAAUUGAAUAUAUGCUUAUUAACUUUAAAAAAAAAAAGGAAUGUAUAUUAUACGUGUCUCCUUCCAAUAGUUUUAGCUUUAUUUUAUUCGUAACUAGUAUGGUUCCCAUUAGGUUUCAUGUUGAAUUAAUUGUUUUAAUCUUUUUCUUCUCAAUCGAGAAAAAUAAUGUAAAAUCGAGAAAGACAUAGGAAUCAUCAACAUCUUUCAAGGACAACAUGAAUACAACAGUAUUACUAUUGACAACCAAAGACAAAAUCCUCCAGGCAACUAGAACUAUAAUGCAUUAAACAAAAUUCACCACCGGGCUUUAAAAAAAAAAGGAAGAUCAUGAUAUACCAGCUUUUGCCAAAGCGUCCUCCAUACCAUUACCUUACUUGUGAAUAUCUUCGAACCGAAAUUGAGCCAAUUGGUUAGUGCCACAGUCGAUAUCCCCAAACAAUUUCCGUAACGAUCACAGUCUAUAAUUCCUAUUCAUCAACCAUUCCGAAGUUACACUCGAGCAAAAUUCGAUGACUAAAGGUAUAUGCGCCUUCCAACAUGACCCAAUAUACAUAUCCACAUAUGUUUUAAUUGCCCUUAUAUUUGUCAUUUCUGAUUCCCUAUCUUAAGUCCUCCCCGAGAAUAACACACAAGCCACUCCUUUAUCAUCUCUCAAAACCCCACCACAACCCGCUUCAUCCUCCAAAGCAAGAGCUACAUUUCGCAGGCCAAAACCACCAAUAGCCUGUUGAAAAUAGGCAAUCUUCAUGCACUGAUGGGCGUCGAAUCCACCAAUAUAAACCUACACCUAAUUUUGCAAUUUUAAGCAGUAUAGGGAGUAGGGUCAAUCCCUCAGAGACUGGGUUUACUGCAAAUUGUUGCUCUCUUGACCAGAUUUAAGUCGGGGCUGUUGUCGUGCCCAAGAAAUUUGGGAGGAGGAUAAAAUCGUAAACCUGGAACCUGAAAUAAAUAAAUAAAAUGUGUAAAAAGUAAAAGCUGAAAAUAAAUAAUAAAAAGCAGUUAAAUAAAUCUGAAGAAAAAUUAAUUAAAAUAAGCUCAGCUUUAGGCACGGAUUUUUCCUCGUCUUUGAACCAAUCCUCGAAAUUAGAUGAACUCCUCUUUUCCAAUAAGCUAGUUAUAGCUACCAAGGACGCCUCGGACACCAACUUUUCCUUGUGUAAAUUAGUUAUGGAACGUCCAAUAACUAACCCUUGUCGAUCGAACAACCACGAAACGUUUGUGAUUUAGAACUCCGGCAGCCUUGCGUUCUAGAAGAGCCUAGCUCGAACCAAUGUCCUCAACCGCGUGGGACAUUUAAAUCCGGUUACUACUUCCCUUGACAGAACCAAACAGCUAUCUCCACUUGGCACGCCAAUGUGUUCACAAAAAACCGAUUAGAAACGUUCCUUUCAGAAUUCCAACUGUACAUCUAACCACACUAACUCAAACGACAUCUUUUUUGACUUAGUGUUGAUCUGACUUUAUGAGCUGACAAAAUCAUAUUCUUAAUCCAGAGAAAUAAUAAGUAUUGGAGUUUUGGAAUUAAUUUGCUCGGGUUCGUAACUCACGGGUUUUGACGAGGCUAAUUUCGGCCUAAAGCUGAAAUGGAUACUUGAUAAUAAAAACUUGGUAAUUUAAAACUUGAUUAAUAACUUGAUUCAAGACUUGAGAUAAAAAUGAACAAAGUAGUCCACUAUUUAUACUAGUGGCUUUGCUAAAUUAAGAGCCAACUAGUAUAGAAAAUCAAGGAAUAAAAUAUUAAAAAUCCCUACAUAAUCUCCCACUAAGUCAACAAAAAUUUCAACUAAUUAAUCUUGGAAAAAUUCUGCUUUGGCCCUCCUUCUUUGCUCCUUUCUUCAAUCUAGCCCAAUUGUUUCAUUUUUCUUCUAUUUAGCCCCAAAUUGCACCCCUGCACAAAAUUCAACAAAAACAUGGAAAAAUUAGUGGUGCACUCUCAUAAAUUAACCAAUUUAAUUACAUAAAAUAUGUAACUUUAGCAUUUAAUCAUGCACCGCCUUUACCCACAUCAAAGACCUCAUUUUAGAGUGGUACAACGUUGAAACUAGAUUCAUCGAUGUUAUGUUGAAAACUUUAUUGUUCCGAACUAACCACAUGGUCCACCAUGACGCCGAAAUCGCAAUCAACCAUAAAAUUUUUUGAAACCCUUUCAAAAAAAAUUCCUCUCGUAAAGAUUUUUUUAUCUGAAAUCCCAUUAGGUGCAUAAACAUUAAUCAAGGUUCCAUCCAAAUCUUCUUCAAUCCAUUUUACUUCCCCAACAACAAAAUGUUAGAACAAAGAUAACAACCUGCUUGAAACCGAACCUUGUCCCAUAUUGUUAUUACCUCUCCAAAAUUUCCUACAACAGCCGAAAAUCAAAAUUCAAAAUAUCGUCACUCUCUACCUUCCUAAUUAUGUCCUCAAUACCCAUUACUAGCUUUGAUUCUUCAAUGAAACACAAAUCCACUCUACCUUUACAAAUUACUCUUUUCACGCAAUUUUUUUGAUAUCCGAACACAUGCCCCUAAUGUCCCACAACAAAACCCCUAUUCUUCCCCCCCCAGAAAACCUCCCAUACACAGUAUAAAAUUACAACUACAAUCGAUACUAACCUGCACAAUGGCCUACAGACCCCUGCUCUUUCCUUUGUUGCUCUGAUCUACCUCUCUUUUAGUUUUAUAAUGUCAUCCACAACUUCUCACCUGUCACCUCAAACACAGAACCGAAGUUUUUUUCCACUUCCCAUGCGUUCCUAGCCUCCCUAAGAAUCACUCUCUUUCUAUUGUUGCUGUUAGAGUCGAAGAGAGAGGCGUUAACAACAACCUCCUCUUUGGAUGUGGUUUUUUUUCCUUUUUUCUUUCUCAACGUCCGAUCUCACUUCUUCUCUGCUACAGAAAUGAUUCUAUCUUGAAUUUCAUACAUCGAUCUAAUCUUUCGACCAGGGUUUUUUUGCUUCUUAUGUUUAAGAAAAAUUAGAGAUUCCCCCUCUGAAACCUUUUUUUCUCUGUUUGUUUCUCCCCUACCAAAACUCUAAAUCUUUUAAUAAGAAUACUACAAUCUGGUUCCCCCUGACUCUUUGGAGUUGCCUAUCUGUAAGCCCAAAUCUACCAUUAAGCCCACACCCUACUCAAUUUCUCUUUACUCAUCUUUUUGCUCCCUCUAUAUUUUCCAAUCCUAAAAUAGCUACUAAAAAGCCCAUGUUACUCAUAUUUUCCAUGGCUCGAUUACUAUACCCGAUUUUAUCCUUCUCUCCUAAACUAGGUUCAACCCUCUUUCACUCAUCUGUUCCUCUUCCAACCUUAACAUAUUUUGUAAUGUAUUUUUACAUCCAUCGUUAUGGUUUGAUUUUUCGAGGAUAAACAUAUUAAUUGCUUCGUCUUCCCAACCUAGUCUCUCCUCCGAAGCCUUCUCUGAUCCAGGUCUCUUCACCGAUUCAGAUUAUGAUACGAUUUUGUCUUUCUUAUCUUGUACUGAUUUCUCAUUUUCUCUUCCCUUCACGCCAUGGUCUUUACUGUUAUCACCUAAAGAUUCCGAUAAACCCAUUUCAACAACUCUUAUAGGAAAUUUUAUCCUCCCUACCUCUAGAUAGAUUAGCUCGUCUAUUCUUUCUUGCUAAUUGAUUGAUACCAACAUUGACAUUUUAUUGUAACUUUUAACCGAUGUAGAAUUCUUACCAAGAGAGAUUAACUCUCCCUAUACACCAGCUAUCCUUCUGAAGGAAGUAUAGUUUCAACAGUGCAGGGGGAUGCCAAACGCUUCAAUCCACGACACUCUUUCCUUUACCAUUGUUUUCUCCAAUCAAGGCUCAAUUUUGAUCAAGGCUCAAUACAUCAAACAGUUCCAAGUCUGGUAUUUCAAUCAAAAAGUGUCUUCCUUGGAUUCUUCUAAUUUUAAUUUCCCCUAAUCCAUUCCUAACUAUUCUUUCAAAUAAGCUCUUUGAAUCACAACACGUUGCUAUUGUACCCACCAAGCAUCUUUGAAGCUUCCAAAGUUGCUCCUCUUCAACAUGUCCCUGAACUGUUAUAUUGUUAUUUUUCGCCUUACAAUCCUCUUUUCCAGUCUUAUUCAGAUUGUUGCUAUAUAUCAAAGAGUUUUCUCUUGCUUCCAUUCUGCUAUUUUUUUGUGACUUUUCAUACUCCUCCCUUUCAUUUUUUUUUUCAUUCUUCCGUUGUUCUAAAUUUCCUUCCACUAAAACUUUUUUCCAUAUUUGUCUUCUCCCCUUAAACUAGGAGAAGUCCAUCAAUAAUCUAUUCCCUAAAAGUUAAAAUAUAUUUAGUCAAAUUUAAUCAAAUUAUAGAAUAAAUUUUAAAAGUUAAAAUAUAUUUUAAGUGUAUGUACUUUCUUGGCAUUUAGAAUUUAAUCUUCAUAUUAUUAUUUUAAGAAUUUAGUCCUCUACACAGUGACGGAUCUUAACAUUAAGUUUUUUGGGUAGCUAAAAUUUUAAAAAAUUUCAGGGUUUCUGUGAAAAUUUAUAAAAAUUUUGGUAGGUCUAAUUAAAACUUUAAAAAUUUUUAGAGGUUUAAUGAAAAUUUAAAAAAAAAAGAAGAGUAAAGAGUCUAAUUGAAAUUUUUAAAAUUUUGUAAAGGUUAAUAAUAAUUUUCAAAAAUUUAGGGGGUCUAAUUAAAAAUUUUAGAAAAUUGUAAGGGUCUAACUAAAAUUUAAAAAACUUUGGCAGGCCAAGGUCCCCCUAGGGAGAAUCCACCUCUACCUCUACUUUCAAAUUUAAAACAUUCAACUCCAAUUGUUAAUACCAUUAAAUUCUUUUGUUAAAUUUGCUAGAGUGACCUUUUAAAUUUUUUUUAAAAAUACUCACAUGAUAUCAUUGUAAUAAAAAAAAUAUAUUGUAAUGGACGUGAAUUUUUAUAGAUAAUUUUAAUGGUGAUGACAACAUUUAAAAGUUACAUAAUAAAGUGUUUGGGCUAACCAAUGACGUUGUAAAAGUUGAGGUACCAAAAUAUGUCAAGAGGUUGAAGUAUAAAGAUUAAAUCUUAAAUUUGAGCGUAGUAUAGGGACCAAAAUUAAAACUUGACUAUUUUUAUAUAAUAUAUAGAAAAAAAUACAGUGUCAUACCACUUUGCCAUGUUCAUAGUUUUUUUUUUUACAUCAAGAUGUUUAUAAAUAGUUGAAAAUAAAUAUUUUUAACCUUUCAACUACAAAUAGUCUUUUUUAGUCUUGGACACUUAUUAGUAUACAAAGAAUAUGAUAGUAAAAUAAUAACAUAACUAUCACAGAGAAGUGUGUAAAUUAUUUGAAUUAAUUAAUAUCAUCGUUAAAGUAAUUGUCCAAAUAAUGUAAAAUUAAAAUAUUAAGAUUAACACUUUUAAUAAUUAUUGUAGCUAAUAUGGAUUUUUUUUUAAAACUUAUUUCAACUCAUUAUGUCAAAAUAAUUUUUUAGAAAGGUAUUUUUCUAAAAAAAAUAUUCACAUAAAAAAGUUCUGAGAGUAAUUAACAAUAUUAACUAUUUGGAUUAAAAAGUAUAAAAAAUGGGGAAUACAUUAUUUUAGAAAUUCAAGUAGAAAGAUUAAAUCUUAAUUUUAGAAAUCAUACAUUUGAAAUUUUGACCUUCUAUUUUAUUUUCAUAAAUUUAGUUCCUUUACUUUUCGACUUUAAAAAUUCAAGUCAGUUGUUAAAUAGCCCCUAAACCCUAAGACUCUUAGGGCAUCAAAUUAUAUAUAACAGUGUACUUUAUUUUAAAAAAAGUUGACAAUAUUAACUAUUUGGAUUAAUUAAUAACAUUAUAAAAAUAUAGAGACUGAAUUAUGUUAGAAAUUAAAGUAUAAGGAUUAAAUCUUAAUGUUAGGCAUAAUAAAGGUACCAAAACUAAAAUUUAACCAUUUUUCUGAAAUGUAGGAGAGAGAGAGAAAAGAUUUAUACAUUUGAAAUUUAGUCUCCUACUUUUAUUUUUUAGGAAUUUAAUCUCUCUAGUUUCCAAAUUUAAAAAUUCAAGUUCUUCUAUUCAAAUUAUCUAAUCACAUUUUGAAAAUUUUAAAAAAAUCUACACUUAGUAGUCAUGCAAUAAUAAAAAUAACAUUGAAAUUACUAGUUAGGACUUUUCUUAAAAAUAUAUAUUUAAACUCGUCAUGAUAAAAUAAUUUUUUAUUGGAAUAGUUGGAAUAUUUAACAAUAAUAGCUAUUUAAAUUAACUAAUGACACUAUAAAAAUAAAUAUAUAUAAAUUAUAUAUAACCACGUAAUAAUUUAAUAAAAAAAAGUUAAUGAUAUUAAUUAUAUAGACUACUUAAUAACAUUUUAUAUAAAAUAUUAAUAUGAGUCUAUUUAAUUACUAUUAAAAAUUUCUUCAACUGGAACCCUGUGUGUUCGCUUAAUGGCCAGGGUGUUCACCGCCCCAAGUGUGGUCUGGGUUCAAAUCGUGCUAGCCGCGUUAAUGGAAGUGCACAUCUUCCCCAAAUAUUUGGACCAAGUUCAUAUCUUGAGGUUGACAUUGUUAGGAAGGCUUUACCUGAAUCCAACCGGUCCGAAAAGAAUUAGACUCAAACCGUAAAACAAAUGAGGACAUUUGUAACUAUAAAAGAAAAAAAAACGUAUUUAUUUUUUAAACAAAUUGCUAUAAUAUAAGAAUAAGAAGAGAUUAUUGAUGUUCAAAUUUUAACCUAUAUAUACAACAUAAUUGAUAGAGGUGUAACCCAAAUUAAUGUUAAAAAUAAUGGCAAGAUAGGGGAAUCUACGAGGACAAAAGCCGAGGGCUGAAGGCCCAAAUGGAAGUAUAUUUCCUCUGUUUGAUAUUGUUUUGAAUAAAGUGUUUCAACCUUAUUGCGUUACUUCUAUUAGAUGUUGAUUAAAAUAUUUUUUUUUUGUAAACUAUAAAUAGAUAUGGUCUAUACUCCUAUUGUAUCAUUCGAACUCGACAUUGUGAGUUUUUUUCUCCUCUGCAAGUCUUUUUUCCCGAAAAGGUUUUUACGUAAAUUUUGUGUGUUCCUCUUCUUUCUUCUCUUUGCGAUUCUUUGCUAUUAUCGACAUUCUAUUUUAUAAUAAUUAAAUUGAAUGCUUUUAUUCUAAUAAUUAUAUUAGACCCAUAUGUAUAUCGUUGGUGCAAUUAAAAAAAAAUAGUUUUGAAUAUGGGUGGAUGCAGUGGCUGGAGAAAACAAGUUAAGUGAAAUAAUAAGCUAAUAAAGGGCCUUUUGUUUUUCCAUAAUAAUAUUAUACAAAUAGUCAGCCAUGCAAAUGCAUGGCAGUGACUUAAUAUUGCGAAGGCCUUAACACGAAGACACUCACACAUCUUCUACUGGGUAUCAUAUUUAGUAUAGUAGUGGUACAGACAAUGCACCCAGCAGGAAGCACAGUAUUAUUUAUUUUAGAUAGCCUUCAUUACCACCACAAUUUGAUCAGCAAGCAAAACCUAGUUAUGCCUCUGACUCAAAUGAUGCCUUCAGUUUCGGCAAACGUUUCUUGGGAUCAAUUUCUAUUGAUGCAACGUACCCAAACUUUCUAACUUUAGAUUUUGAGCUUCCUCUUGUGUCAAGAUCGGUUUUGAUUUGCUCCCAACAAAUAGGUUCUUUGUGGAUAUUAGUAUAGACUAUUUGAUUAUAUCUAUGUAUAUAUACCCACUUUGAUUAAUAGUAAGAUUGAAUUGAAUGCUGUUAAUAUCUACAGUAAGUUGAAAGAUACUAGAAUAUGUAUAGGAUGAUUUUUGUAUUGUUAUCUUCUUUAACCAGUAGAGCAAUAGUAUUUAUAAAGUGUGUAUGAGUAAUUGCUGCUAACAAUUUAACAACAUAACUUCUUUGUGUAACAGGCUAACAUUCACUCAUAUUCUCGACGGGCAAAACCCGAAGAAGACUGCGAAAUUGAGCAAAGGGCGAAACAGACAAUGGCUUGGUAAGAAUGUUGGCAACCUGAUCACAAGCAGGCAGCUCACCAACAACAACAGAACCAUCAGCUACCUUUUCACGAACAAAGAACAAGUCAAGCUCAACAUGUUUGAACUUAGAAUGUAAGACGUGACUAGCAUCAACUGCUACUGCACUAGAGUUGUCUCACCAAAUAGUAGGUGGAUCGUCAAAACAAAGUUGUAAUUCCUUUAGCAACGAGACUAACCAAGUAACAUCACUGGUAGCUGCAGUGAGGCUCCGAUAUUCUACCUCAACCGUAGACCGCGAAACAACUUGUUGUUUCUUAGAAUACCAGGAGAUGGGUGUGUGGCCAAAAUACACACAGUAGCCCAUUGUAGACCUGCAAUCAUCAAAAUCCAGUCCCAAGUUGGCAUCGACAUAAUUGACUAAAGAAAGCCUGUCAGAUGGACGAAAGACAUUCCCAUAAUCAAAAGUGCCACAUAAAUACCGCAAGAUUCAUUUUAAUGCAACCAAAUGUACAGUAGUAGGCGCAUGCAUGAACUGACAUAUAUGAUUUACCGCGUAUGCAAUAUCAAGUCGAGUUAGGACCACAUACUAUAAUGCACCAGCUAGACUCUUGUAUUCAGUAGGAUCACUAAGAUGAUCCCCAUCAUCUUUAGACAAGAUAGACAAGCUGAUCAUCGGAGUGUGAACACUCUCUGCAUUAGUCAUGGAACUCCUGUCCAGCAAAUCGUGGAUGUACUUUCGUUGGCAGAGACAAAGACAUCCGGUGGACGAACAAGUAACCUCAAUCCUUAGAAAAUCAUAAAGAUCACCCAUGUCUUUAAAGGAAAACUCAUUAUGCAACUGCUGAACAAAAUUACUUAUACAGUUAGGCAUACUCCCAGUAAUGAUAAUAUCAUCCGCAUAAACGAGAACAAAAAAAGUGGAGUCAGGCAUAACUCGAACAAACAGAGAUGCAUCAAAAUUUGAUAGGAGAAAACUGACAUAAAUGAGAAAACAUUUCAAUUUAUCAAACCAGUCACGCAGAGCCUGACGUAGCCCAUACAAAGUUUUCUUCAGACGACAUACCAAAGAUUUGCCAUUCGGACCAUACUGAACAUAUCCUGGAGGUUGUUGCAUGAACACUUCAUCAGCAAGAUCACCAUUGAAAAACGCCUCAUUCACGUCGGCUUGACGGAGCUGCCAACCCUUGGAAACAACAACAGAGAAUAUAGUUUGAAUAGUAGCAGGUUUUACUACUGGACUAAAUGUUUCCUUGAAAUCACACCCGGGUACCUAAGAAUAACCUUUCGCCACCAAUUGAGCUUUACGACGGGCGACAGUCCCAUCAGGAUUUUUCUUUAAUUUGAAAUAGAGUAAAAGAGAAAAAAAAAAUUAACAAAAGAAAAAGAAUGAAACAGUAGAAAAAUAGGAAAGGAAAAAAUUGGGUAACGUGAGAAAGAAAGGGAAUUUUUUUUGGGAAAAUAAAAUAAUAAAAAGAAAAAAAUAAACCUUUUGAUAAUGAUAUUAUUAAUUUUAUUUUUUAUUUAAAAAAACAGAAAUCUCAAUCAUAUCUAACCAACCCCAAUUUCCUCAUAUCUUAUUAGAUUAUCCAAAAAUUGCAUUUUACCCAACCAUCACCACUACAUGGGCGACACACUAGAAAAAAAAAACCAAAAAUAAGUUUAUGUUUACACACGUAAAUACUUGAAUACAGGACCAAAGGGUAAGCUAAAACCUUACCACUGAACUAACAAGCUCAUUAUUAUCAACAAAUGUGCACAAUUCACUUUUAACCUAGAUUCUCAAAGAUAGGGGUCUAGACCAAAAUUUCGCAAAAAUACAAGGAAGAGGAUUCAAACCCAGAACUUCUCUCACCCAAGCACAACACUUAACAACUGAACCAAAUUAAUUCACUUUACAAAAUUCUUACAAUCUUAACUCAAAAUCAAGACGUGACCAUUCUAGGUUUUACAAACCCAAUUUCUACUAACUCGAUUUUUGAGAUAUGACAACUCUCUCCUCCUUAAAAGAAAUUCAUCCUUGAAAUUCCAAAUGUCACACCAUAUACAUAACCACAAAUCUAGAAUUAUUUUUCUAAACUAACCACCGCACUAUUGAUCUCCAUGCAAACCCCAUCAAGACAAUGUUUCUGACGACUUUCCUAUUCACUACCUUGAAUUGCCUAAAGAAGCUUCCCACAAAAAUAUCACUAAUGAUCCUCUACUCAAAACUCCCAAAAACAUCACUUACCACAAACAUGUAGGUACAAACAAAUCUAAUCAAUGCAGAGUACAUUUGGAGCAUAUCGUAAGAGUACCUGUAUUGUUACUAGAUGCACCACGAUCCCUUGACACCUAAUGGCAUAUCCACGUCUCUGAUUUCGAUCCUAAGUCGAAGCUUGCAUCCUACUAAAAGACUGUCAUGGGAAAUCCCUAAUUUGAUGCUCAACGAACCCACAUCUGAAACACACCCCUAUUUUUCUCCAACAAUCAUCCGGAUGACACAUAUCACAGUAAGUACAAAUCGAAACUUGAUCCAUGUUCACAACUUCCUCAACCUAUUGAGGUCUAACUAUUCUAGCCCAUUUCCUUGGUCGUAGAUUGAAAUUAAGAGGACCAGAACUCCUCUUAUUUCUCACUUUAUUGAUUUCCUUAUUCUUGCCCUUUCAGAGAUUACAUUUUUUUUUGCUAACUUGACUUGAUACGUCUAAGGUUACUCAAUCAUAAAAUCUUGACCCACAUAUGCAAAUUGGGUCCCAUCAAUCCUUUGUAAAUCAAUAAAAACAUCUUGGAAUAUAGUAGAGUCCCCAGCUUUCUAAUUACCACCCUUAAAUCCGGGCAUCUUAGCAAACUCGCUAAUUUCCAAAUUGGGCUUACUGCCCUGAGAAUAGGACUCGGCCUGAGUCACUCAUCUAUGUCCAUCACACCCUCACACAACAUGACUUCGAGUACUCAUUAUACUAACCUACAGUUUCAAAAAUUUUAUGAGUUAGCUUAGGUUUAUUAAAAAUCCUAAAUUUAAAGUUUUAACAAAGAGUUUUUUUUUUCAUAAUUACUAAAGCUUUUGGCUGGAGUAGAGUAAUCCUAGCACUAAAGUUUGCUAGUUUAUCUAGUAUAGCUAAAGUAAGGAUACUUACAGGAUCGACUCUAGAGUCUCAAAUUUUCUUUUUAUAGACUCAAAUAAUUAAUCAAAAUAUGAAUACACAUUCUUUUUAUAAACCCUAGGUAUCAAAAUAAUCAGAAAUUCAAUUUAUUUAAAACAAAUCACAUGAAAAAUUUUGUACCUAAAAAUCACAGCCCGAGUUUUGGAACCUAACUCUGAUACCACUAAAUAUAACACCCCCAAACCUGGUGCAAAAGUUACGGUCGAGUCUGGGGAGAUUACAAUAGCUUGUUAAAGAACUUUUGAUUUAAUCAAAUUUGGUAUGUGCUUAGAAAAUAUAAAAUUCUCACAAACAUUUUAAAAAACUUAAGUCCAAAAAAAUACUGAGUCUAAACCAAAAUUUGUACUCCAAAUCAUGUGUUUUGAUAGUAUCUAUUUCGAAAAUCAUUUCUAGUUUUAAGGAGACCACCCUUUGAAGCCGUUUGUUUAUUUACAAAAGAAAAACUCUUUAGGGGUUUCUUAGUUUGCACCAGAAAACUUUCAAAGUUUUAAUUUUGAAAACCAAAUCAUAAAUUUUAACUGGUGAGGUUUUCCGGUAUCACGUUCAAAAAUAUCAAUACUGAAAAAUUAAACAGAAACCAAAACAAAACCUAAAAACAAAUUACAGUCGCCAAAAGUCCAAAAAAAAUAAUUAUGAAAAUUACCAUUUUUUAUAUAAUUGAUAAAACCAUCUGAGCUCCCACAGGCCAAUUGAUUCUAAUUGUACCGAUUACCUGAAACGUCAGAAAUAAAACAAAGGGGGUGAGUUAUAGAGCUCGGUGUAUAACUAAAUCUCAAAUUGAGAUCACACACAUUACAAUAUACUAAACAAAAAACCACAUAAAAUUUCAUGACGUUUAGUCAAACAGAAUUGAGUGUGCAUGAUUAGGUCAAUGCGGUAUUUUUCAAAAAAACAUAAUGGGGAUUUUUUAGAAAACGUCCUACCCAACUUUGCUACACACCAAAAUAGAGUUCUCCCCCAAACUCAUCCAUCCAAAGCACUCCAAUUAAGCCAUCUCGGGUUGCCAAACAAUGAUGACCCGCCACCUCGGGUUGCCCAGCAACAAUGGCUUAACAAUAUGCCGUUAAACUGUCACAUCAAAUAUCUGUGGUCAAGCCACUGAUUACACAGAUCAUUAAACUGCCAGUAUAGAAUCUUUCUCCUUUAACAUUAUCUCAAACCCCAUGCAACGUGGCAUGGCAUGGCAUGCACGUAUAGAAUCAGAAUGGUAAGCAUGUAGAACAUGCUGACGUACAAUAACAGAAACAGGAGGCAUGGAAGUCCAUGCUUUACAGAACAAAUUAAUCUAACCUUAUAGAAACACAUUAGUUUUUGCCAUGAAGUCACAUGUGCAUAGUUACAUAACAAAUUAAAAAAUACAAAUUAAAAAAAUCAUACAUUAUACAAACUUAUACAGACAUAGUGAAUACCAUCAGAACUACCAGUACUAGAUCAUGCAAGUGUAUAUAUUACAAAUACCCUAAACCCAUCAACACAGAAGCAUAUUCACCGAUACCAUGUUUUCAAGUCUUAACUAAGCGGUACAGACCCUAGAGAGAGGUAAAAUAUAGUUCACAAAUAAAAAAGGCCAAAAGGCCAACCUGUGUGGACCACACAGCCCAAAAGGCCCAGAUCUUGUGACACAUACAGUCUAACAUAUAGCCUGUCACACGGUCAUGUGUCACACACAGUCAUGUGUCACACACGGCCUACCACAUGACCAUGUGGCAUCGACAGUCUCAAUUUUGGCUUUCUUCGGUCAUUGUUUUUUCAAGUUUUUGUUACAAACCUGAUUAUUUCCGAACUCCAACACGAUAACACACUUCUAGACCUUGAAAUUAUCGUUUGUAAUGGGCUAAUUAGCAACAUUAAAUGCAUCUGAGUCAUAAUAUUUGGCCUCGAACAAUUGAACAUUAAGUCUAAACUUUAAGAACCCAUCACUUGACAAUUGAUUACAUACCCAACAAAUUAGCAACCCAAUAGUACUACAUCGUCAGAAGGACGUUCAUUUCAAAAUCCUCACCUAGAAAAUCAACACCAUAAAAACGAUGUUCAUAUCAAGUAUAAAACAUCGAAAACACGCAAAGAACUAUUAAACCUUAUUAAUGGAAAACAACAAUACACUCAAUCUUUUUGAAUUAUGCACACCAAAUAUCACCCAGAACGACAACCAUAAGACAAAACAAUUACAAAACAAACAGACUUGAAAGUGAAAGAAGAGAAAUAGUGUAAAAGAGAAAAAAGUUAACAAAAGAAAAAGAAUGAAACAAUAGAAAGAUGGGAGAGAAAAAACGUGGGUGACAUCAAAAAGAAAGGGAAAUUUCUUUUGGGAAAAUAAAAUAAUAAAAAGAAAAAAAUAUAAACCUUUUGAUAAUGAUAUUAUUAAUUUUAUUUUUUCUUUUUUAAGAAAAAUAUCAGAAAUCUCAAUCAUAUCUAACUAACCUCAAUUUCUUUAUAUCUUAUCAGAUUACCCAAAAAUUGCAUUUUACCCAACCACCACCACUACAUGGGCGACACACUAGAAAAAUUAGCAAAAGUAAAUUUCUAUUUGCACACACAGAUACUCAAACACGGGACUAAAGGGUAAGUUAGAGUCUUACCACUGAACCAAGAAACUCAUUCUUGUCAACAAAUGCGCACAAUUAACUUUUAACUCAAAUUCUCAAAUAUAGGGGUCUAGACCAAAAUUUCACAAAAAAUACAAGGGAGAGGAUUCAAACCCAUAACUUCUCACACUUAAGCACAACACUUAACCACUAAAUCAAAUUAAUUCACUUAACAAAAUUCUUACAAUCUUAACUCAAAAUCAAGACGUGACCACUUUGGGUUUCACUAACCCAGUUUUUAGGAUGUGACAUAAAGUACAUCGAAACUUAUCUUGAUCUUGAUGGGCAUCCACUUAAUAAGAUAUUCAUAAUACUCCCCAUUGGAUGCCCAUUGGUAGAUAAUAUGUCUCAUUAAAAUCUUUCUAAGGUAAAACCCUUGUGAGAAAAAAAAAUCUUAAUGAAGGAAAAAGAUUACACAUAUCUAUAAUACGCAUAAUAUGCUACCUCAUUAAAAACCUUACCAAGAAAAUCCACUGGGACAAAACCUCGAUUAAGGAAAAAGAGUACAACGCGUAUUUACUCCCCCUCAUGAAAACAUCACAUACUUUCUCAUAUUCUACGUAUUCCAUCUUGAAUACUAGUUUUUCAAAUGACUAUUUGAAUGUAUUUGCUAAGCAUUUAUAUUACCAUUCUUUUGAAAGUCAUGAGUGAGGGAAAAUUUGAGGGAAAUAUAUUUUGAUCUCUUUAAGAGUUUCAACAAUAAUCAUAGCAAACUUUAAUCACGAUUCUUCUAUAAAAACACAAAUAGGUAUUUUGGAUCAUUUUAUAAUCCUCCAACUACUAUUUACCACAUAUGUUCAAAUUAUUUCAAUUCAUAUAAAUGAAAAAUUUUCCAAGAAUUUCAAUAUGCUUUUAGCAUUCUAAAUCCUUCAAGGAUUUUAAUAUAAACUUUACUAUAUAGUGAUUCAUAAAAAGUUGUAACAACAAUCAUUAAACACAAAUUAAAUCUUUUUUGAACUAUCAGUUUAAUAAUAUAUCUAAAGUUUAUUGUAUCUAUCACAAAAGAAUAUUAUAUCUUUUCAUAAUCAAUGUCAGUACUUAGCGAAAAACUUCAUAUUUUUCAUUCCUCUUUUGCAAAACUACUUCAUUUGCACCCUCACUAGCUUUAUACCAUUAGAUAUUUGGACUAUUGGUCCAAAAACUCCACGAAUUUAAUUGCACUUGAGUUGUGUCUUUCUAUUUUGACCAAUUUAUUUCAUAUUUGUAUUUCUCAAUAGUUUUAUUCAAGGUCCUCCUAUUAUUUUAUUAUUUCAAUAAUAAUAUUACAUGUAUAAUCAUUGCCAAGUAAUUUUAUUAUUGGUUCGACAUUUUCUCGAAUUGACAUAACUUACCAAGAUCUCUUAUUUUCACUAUUUUAAUCUUCAGUUUCAAGUACCUGAGUCUCUUUUAGAGUUUUAGUUAUUAGUGAUGUCUUAGGUCUCUUCUAGAGCACACGCCUCUACUACAUAACCAUUUAGAAGAAUUAUUUUCUUUUAUGAGAAAUUUCAUAUUUAGAACCUGUAAUGAGUUAUUCUUAUUGAACUUCUGGUUCCCCCUAACUCAUUACAAGUUAUUAUUUCUCUUCCCCUAAUGUCGGGAAAACUAUCGAAUCAAAAUAGUAAUCACAAAUCAUGUCAUAAUUGAAUCUCUAAUACAUUUAAAACAUAUAAUAAUACAAGAAGAUUCGUAAUUAAUAUACAUUCUCAACUUUCUUUGAGGACUCUCUUAUCUUUGUGUUGUGGUGGAACAAUUAGAAUAUAUACGUACAUACAAAAGUUCAAAGAUGAGAAAUAUUUAGCUCUUGAUAAAAAAAACCCAAUUAUAAUGGGGAGUAUUUAUAACUUAUUAGCUUGAUGCGUACAACACGUAAAUCAACAUAAUCUCAUGUUGAAAUAGGAAGUUUAGUUCUCAUAACUAAUAGUUUAGUUAUUAAUUAGAUGUGUUCAAUAAAUAAUUUCUCUAAACCAUUAUGCGCAUAAAUAACAAACUUUUACAAAAAAAAAUUCAAACUCAUCAAUAUUAGCAAGAUUAAUUUUCUUAAUUGCAUGAUCUAAAAUUAAUUAUUUAAACAAGCAAUAUUGUAAACGACAGGUUGCAAGUUAAUAACAAAUACGUGAUUAUUUUGUAGACGCAUCUACCAAAAUCAUAUAAUAUUAAAACCAUCCACAUGGUGGAUGAAUGGGCCCAUAUUCAUUUCAGAAUUGCAAGACAUUAAAUCUCAAUUUUAGCUAGUGAGUUUCAAACAAUCAAUUUUUAUUGAGAACAAGUAACAAAUAAGAAUUCUUUAAAUUAAAGAAUCUUCUGGUUCUUUAAUGAAUGUUGAUAUGAAUUCUCAAUUAAUUUUCGCAUCAUAUAUGAUCCAGGAUGGUCUAACUGGUCACACCAAGUAGUAAAUGCAUUUGUAUCAUUAAACUUCUGGUUUACUUUAAUAUACAUUUCAAUUGUACUAAUAAUGUCAAUAUAAAUUAUGACAAUUUGAUACUUUUAUUGGCAUUCUUUUUACUUUGUAUCCACAUAUAAGUACUAUUAUGACAUUUACUACUAGAAAUGUCUAAACCAAUGUGAAGUUUUUAAUCUCACUAAGUCAACAAAAUAAAUAUAAUCUCCAAACAAUUAUAUGCAAUAUUCACUUUAGGGAAUAUGCCAAAAUCUUCAAAUAUUCAAAAACAAAAUGAUGCCGUAAAGAGAAUAUUAUAUAAUAUUUUUCUCAUUCACAAUUUCAAUAUGAGAUCCAUUACCAUGAAUAUCUUUUAAAACUAAUGCAUUAACCAUCACAAAUUUUGUGCUUUUUGGAUAUUGAUAUAUUAGCUCUUCUAUAACUCUUCUGGAGCUUUCAACUACUUUUGUACUAUCAAAUAUUGGAAUAAUAUUUGUUUGUUUCAUAAUCACCAUCGCAAACAUGUGUGGAUUUUAAAUCAAAAUCUAUUUAUUCAUGUUGUCAUGAUUAGUCUCCAAUUACAAUAAACAUGAUAUAAUAACUAAACUACAGUAAAAUAUAACUAAGAUUUUUUAACAUCAUCGUUAUCACCCUGGCUAUUAUUACAAGCAUUAUUACAAGUAGUAAAACAACAUUAUUUUUGUAAUAACAUUUAUAAUCUAAUUUGUAAAAAAAUCAUUUAAUAAACAAAAUUAAAAUCUUCGUGUAUGAUGCUUGAAAGUUAUCCGAUACACAUUGUAUUAAAUUUCAAUACCACAUAUAUGUUAUAAAAUCUUAUGAUGCUGUAAUAAAAUAUUUCUAAAUUCAAUUAAAAAUAUAUAAUAUAAUAAUUUCAAGCAUAUUUAAUAACAAUAAUUUAAUCAUCAAAAAUUUUAAUCAUCCAAAUAUCAUACAUACUAUAAUUUAAUAAAAGAAUCUUAUUUUAAAAGAAACCUUAAAGUAAUAAUAUUUUUCAUAAAAUAAUUUUACCAAAAAUCAAUCAACAAAAGAGAAAAACAUACCACGUAAGGAUUAUAUAAAUUUCUUUGCAUAAUGAUUACCCAUAAUGUGCACGCCUCAAUUGAAGACUGAAAUAACAGUAACUCUAGAAGGAAAUUGACAACAACUUGAGUAGCAAAUUUGAGUGAUCAACUAUUACAUUAGUUGUUGCUUGAUGAAAGGGAAAAAUUUUUGUGACUUAUGAAGAAAAACAAUUAAAAGAGAACCAUGCUGAUAACGUGUUAUAAAAUAAAAGACCAAGAGUAAAGAACAAAGAAAAUAGGAGAGCAAAGAGAUAAGAAUAUCUACAAAGCUUUUCCAAAGUCUCUAUUUAUAGGCAUAAGAAGUAUAAAUGAAGUAGAAAUCAACAUCUAAUGACUAUAAGAAUUUAAAGUACAUCAAAACUUAUCUUAAACUUGAUGAGCAUUCACUUAAUAAGAUAUUCAUAACAAGUGAUAAUUAAUCGAUGUUUUAUUUUAUUUUAUGCUUAAAAUUUUAUUCUAAUUAAAACUCAAUUUUACAUCAAUAUUUUCUUUUAAUUGAGUUGUACUUUAAAACAAUAAAGUUUUAUGUAGUCUUUUUUUUAACUAAUAAUUAUAAACAAAUUAUCACAAUAUAAAUUAAAUUAUAAUUAUUUUUAGAUAUUAAUUUAGUAAUAUUAUGAGGAAAAAGUAUUUUUUCACCAAUUUAAGAUUUUUUUCAAACUCGUGCUUUUUUAUAUAUUAUAGAUAAUAUAUAUGAUUUAAAUUUAAUUAUAAAAAGUUAUAAAUAUUAAUAUAAAAAUAUUUUAUCUUUUUAUUAUUUUUUGAAUGUUAUAGGGGUUUUUGGUUAGGCCAUGCGCAAUUCAAUUUCAUUCUAACUUUAAUAAGGAUUUCAAAUUGUUUUGGGCCACAACCCAACCCGACCUAUAAAUAUUUUUAUUGGCUUCUUUAAACAAAAUGAUUCAUUUUGAUUUUGUUUCCAAUGUGAGUUGUGGCUUGUUUGAGGUGUUUAUAGGUUGAGGUUUUUUUAUCAUAAUAUUAUACUAUAUUUAUUAAUUAUAUGGUGCAAACCAUAUGAUACACAGGUUAAUCAUGUUUGUCAAUAUAACUAAUUUUAAAAAGAAUAAAAAAUAAUAUAAAUUUAAUUUUAACAUACAAAUCAGUAGUGUAUAAAUAAAAUAUAUGUUUUAUUAUGAAGUUUGAAAAUAUUAUCUUAAAAUUAUUAUGAUAAAUAGAAAUGUCAAUUGUUAAAAUAAAUCAAAAAAAUUUUGAAUUUUAAACAUUAUAUUAAAAUGAUUAUAAUAAAUAGAUAUGUCAAUUUUUUAUUAUAAAAUUUUAUAGUAACAGACAAACUAAUUUAUGAAAAAACUAUUAUAAUUAACAGUAACAUAAAGAAUUUUAUUUAUAAAAAAACAAUAAUAAUAAGAUUAAUUUAAAAAGAGUCUUAUAAAUUAAUAUAAUAAUUAAGUUAUACUUAAAGUAUAUUAUUUAAUAUGAUUUAAAAAGGUAAGAAGUAAAAAUAUAAUUUAUCCAAAGUGAAAAUAAAUAUUUUAAAUGGGAAGGAGUGUUACGUGUUAACAACCCAUAAUAUGAGCAAUAUAUAAUAUAUAUUAGAUAUGAGAAAAAGAGAGAAAGGACGGUAUAAAAUACAUACGUUGUUCAUUUCUAUUAGUUUAAUGUCACAUCAAUACUUUUUCUUUAAAUCUAAGAUUUUCAUUUGGAAUUAGAUUUUUUUUUCUACUUAUUUUAAAUGAAAACAGUAUUUAAAAUUUUGUGCUUUUGAAAAAAAUAGUAUAUAUGUAGUAAAUACAAAUUGGACUUCUUCUUCCCUUUUCUAUCCAUAAUUAUAUUUAGAAUAUAUAAUAAGAAGAUGAUUUUUAAUUUUGUAAUUUAUAAUAAUUUUAUUUGAUAAUUUUCUUUUAAAGAAAUCAGCAUUGAUGUCAUGAUAUCAUAAUAUCCCCUAAACUUUUUGUAAAUGUGCAAUAUGGUACAUACCUAGUUUGAUUCAAUGAUACAUUUCACCCCCAGCCUUUAACAUGACAUUAUCCAAUACGUGGAUGAUUAUUUGAUGUCAUUCUCAGUUACAUGCCAUGUGGACAAAUUUGAUUGGAUGUUUUACUUGCACUUAUUCCAUUAUCUUCUCUCCCACACCUUUCUAUUCAGUUUUGAGAUAGAAAUUUCUCUUCUUCCAUGUGGACAAAUUUGACCUAAUGGGCGACCUCAAACUUUCUUUUCUACGCAUUAAUUAGAUUUUAGAUAGAAAUUUCUAUGUUCAUUUAUUUCACAUGCAUAUGAAUACCCUUUUCUCUACGUCGUCCGAUUUUACCAUUAGUCGGUGGUGAUUCUUUUGUCUUCAUCGUGGCCACAAAUAUCUACCUCCCAUCUGUCUCGAUGCUCUAUUUUUUAGGCUUUGUCUUCCUCCUCUCCUCGUGACUCUCGUUGUACUGCGUCUGGAACUACAACUGCCCUUAUCAAAUUAUUAUAUUUGUAGUAUAUAAAUAAAUACAACAAUAAUAUACUUAGUAUUAUUUUUUAAUUUAAAUUAAUAAUUAAAAAUAAAAAUAAGGUUAUUGAUAUAACAUAUUUUAAAAAACACUGUGUCCUUAUUAUGCUGGAAAAGACAUUAUAUAGUGUCCAUGCAAGCACAACACAAUACAAGCAAAUCUCAUUGAAUAGCUAAAAUUUGGUUGAAGCUUAGCUAACAAUGGCUACUCUCACCCAAUGCACGCUUUGGAAUGGAACAGAGAGCUCUGCAAACUUGGAAUUCUCGAUCUACGAAGGUGCUAAGGAAGACAUUACAAUGACCACACUCAGUUCAUUUGAGCAGUCUAUCAAUUCCAUGGCCGGAGGUUUGGUUUAUAAUGUCGGAACUAAGAUUAAGUGGAUUGUUGCUUGGACCAAUGAUGGAAAGGUACAAAUCUCUUCUUCUUUUUUACAUUCAUCUUAACUAAUUCCUUUUUCCUAAAUUAAUUUAUUUAUCAAUUGUAUUUGAAGGUGUGUACUACUAUCAAGAAAUGUGACGAGUCGGUUACCUGGUCUAAAAUCAUAACCCAACUUCAGCCCCACGAUAGCACCCACACUUAUCAGGGAUACACAUCGAAGGUUAAUGUUGAGAUGAAUUCUAAUGGUUCAUUAACCUUGGAGGCCAAACUCCUUGUCUAAUUUUAACCUGCAUGCUUGGUGUGGUGUGUCAGGCUGUCGAAAUUAAAUAAAAAAUAUUGUAGUUGUUUACACAUUAACUGCACUACUAUUUUAUUUUAGAUUUGUAUGUAAUGUAUUUAAAUAAAUUUGAAAAGCCAGGGCUGCUUUUCCUACUAGCUUUAGCUAAUGAAUAAUGCUUGCACAGUUUGUUGGUUUCUUGUUUGUCAUAAAAAAUGUUAAAAAAAAAAAAAGUAUAUGCAUCCUUUCUUAAUAGAUAUAAUUAUUUGUGUGUAUUUAAAUAAGUGAUGGUUGCCGAUUGAGUUUUAACUCGAUUAGUAUUAGUAUUGUUUUCAAUGUAGAAGGACGUGAAUUUGAGUGCGUUGAAGCGCGUUAUCCUUCUAUUUAAGGAUUGGGAGGGGAUAUGAAUUGUUUUAAGUUUUGCAUAAAAAAAAUAGAUAUAAAAACUUAUAAUGAAAUUAAUAUUUACACUUAUAUCAUCACCCAUCACAACUAAACAUAUUGGUUCAUGCAUGGCAUUUAUGCUUAUUUCCAUUGCCCAAGCCCAAUCCAAAUGCGCUUAAUUUUCUAGCCAAGUUCAAACCAAAUAGAAAACUAAAAGUUUGAGCCAAUUCAGCCGGCUCAUAUUUAAUUUUUUUAAUUAUUAUUAUUUUUUAUGGAAACAAAAUAGAAGAAUCAUUGAAUAUUCUAAAAAUCACUAAAAUAAAUAUUUUUCAAUACAUUGAAAAUACAUCAAAAUAAAGUAUUGAAAAUUUAAAAAACACCAUAACACUAGCAAAAUAACAAAAUAAUAGCAAUGAUAACAAUAACACAAAAAACAACAACAAAAGUAGUAACAAAUUACAUUAACAAAUCAACAUUAAAAUAGUAGUAUAAAAUCAACAAAGCAACACUAAAAUAGCAACAAAUUAGCACUUGAAUAGAAGCAAAUCAACACUAGAUCAGCACUAGAAUAGCAAAACAACAGCAGCAAAACAACGCUAGAAUAGCAGUAGCACAACAAAACUAAAACAACAAAAUAGCACUACAGUAAUAGCACAUCAACAAGGAAGUAGUAAGACAAUGACAAUAACAACAACAACCACAACCUAAAAAGCAACCUAAGUAGCAUCGUUGUCAUUAUCCUCACCAUUCACGUCUUAGUAGUCAUAAACUUCACUAACUCAGCCUAGACAUCAUGACAGGAUCUUGAAGGUUACAUUGUCUACUAAAAAAUUUGAUUGUUUUCUUUCUAAAACUUUACUGGUUUUCUGUUUCAACGAAUUUUGAAAAACUCGUUUCUACUUGUUAGCUAUAAAACUUAAUUGCUGUCAAUUAGAUGUUUUCUAAAUCAUUUGUUCAUUACCACUGAGUUGAUUUAAAAAAUAAUUUAAUCAUUUUUCAAAAACCUAGUUGCUCAUUUUGUUUUGCAGCAGAAAAAUCCAUAACCGAUUAAUUUGAAAACCCAACAUCCUAUUUACUUAACAGAAAAUCAUGUAGAUUAUUUAGGCUACUUAGCUAAAGCCCAUCAAAUCCCAAAACCAGAAAUAUAAAGUCCGAAAAUUCAUCCAACAGCCCAAAAAGUACAAAACUUUAAUUUGAAAAUUUCCUUAAUAACCGUCUUAUUAAGAAUAUCUAAUUCGAGCUCCCGAGUGCCGCCCAAUCCUCUGUCUAUGGAUUACUUGAGAUGAUAAAAUAAUUGGGUGAGCUAGAAGCCCAGUGUGCGACUUGGCCCACAUACAUAUCAAAUAGCAUAUUAAUACACAAAUGCAUAUGUCAAAACAAAAUAAUCAGAUAGCAGACAUGCUCAAAAUUGCAAUGUCGUACAAAAUAAUUCCUACCCCCAAUCGUUACACACCAUCUCCAUCCCACCCAACACACCAAUUAGGGUUACUAAUAACCCAUCCAACCUGCACACCAAAUAGUGGUCGUAUGCCACUCAAUUAGUAUGCACCCAAGUUGCCAAAAAUUAAUGUGGAAGAUCGCCAGAAAUAAUUAAUGUAGUUUAACUACCAGGAUUAGACUUUGAGGGUAAACAACUAGAAUUGUAGAUCGAAUCUGCCAAAAAUUCCUCCAUAUCAUAUUCAUAUCCCACACUAAUGCAUAUCCAAACAUAAAUUAUAUGUUUAAAAAAAACUCAUUUUAAACAUGUCACAUGUAACAUAACAUAUCAGAAACAUUAUGACAUUACAUACAAGAUAACAGAUCAUGAACAUACUGAUUAUCUAAUUCAGAAUUCCAUACAGAAACAUGCUCACAGAUUUACACAUACAAACAAACCUACGUAUUUAUCAAAUCUAACAUGCUCAUAAAAUAUUUGCAUAUAAGGGCAUGCAUAACAAUUAAUCUUAUCAGAUGACAAUCAUAAUCAAAUAACCAAUUACAGAAUUUAGCUAAAUUGCACAACUGACACAACUAAAUCGUUUGAAAUGGGCCUACACACCUUACCUAACCAGCUUGUGUGGCCCACAUGGUCAGGCACAUGCCCGUGUGGCAUUGACUGCCAUUUUCGAUUUCACACAAUUCCACUGAUUUUUGGGUUUGAGUCACACACCUGAUCAUUUUUAGGGAUGUCAACACUACAGCAGCAACCAAACUCUGCAUACGAUACCUAAAACUUAACAUAUUAGCAACCAUUCACAAAGAAUAGGCCUUUACUCAUUCAAAACAUUCAGCUAAAAGUAUGACCAUUACGAACCAACCACUAAACUAAAACACACGAACCUGGCCCUUAGAGAAAAGGUAUCUAACACACUUAAGUUGUUGGAGGAAUGUGCACCUCACGAUCUUCACCUAACAAAAUUGCAAACAAAUAGAACAAUGUCAUUAAAACAACAAUCCUCUCAACUUAAACCAAACCAACCUUCUUAAAAUUAAAAUUAAUGAAUGGAUUAUACUUACUUAAGAACCAAAUUAUGAUACUACCCUAAUUUGAACUGUGUCAUUGAGAGAUGAGUAGUUCUUGCCGACUAGUUAGGUUAGUAGAAGGCUGAGAAACCCUCCUAGGUUAAUUAGUAAUCAACUAUUUAAAACUCUACAUCAAUAAUUAAUCAGGUAAAAUAAUCGGAUCUAGGCUAAAGGAACUCGCAUAGUAGAAACAAGGGAUAGGAGAAGUCGAUACAUGAACUUAGAAAUAGAUUUAGGUUUAAUUCAAUUUAUUUGGUUAUUUUUAUCAUCUUACUUCUAAAUUAACACUAUUAAUUCAUGACUUGAGUAGAUUAGUAGUUAUUUUCAAUAAUUGGCUUAAUGGUAGUUUUUCCUAAACUACAAUCCCUAGGGAACAACCUUUGGAAUACUUAUUAAAUGUUCUGUUGUAAACAAACUAUAUUACAAUCUGGCUCGUAUACUUGCGGACACCAUGUAAUGCCCCAAUUUUCUUGUUUUUAGACCGUUAAAUUAUGUCAAGUAAUUUGAUUUGGUGUGUUGGUUGCGUGCCUUGAAUGUCUACUUUAGGUCCUGAGUUCGAUUAUCUCAUUUUGGAUUUUUCCUAUUAAUUUUGGCAUUAUGUUAAGCUUGAGCUUUUGGGCUUAUCCUUUAUUUUUAUUGAAUUGUUGAUAAGAAUGAACCUGUUGGUUCAGUGGUAAGGCUUGAACUUACCUAUAAAUAUUAUGUUCAAAUCUCGUUGUGCGCAAAUGUGAAAUGUUUUUUUUAUUUUGGCUAUUCUUUUGAAGUAAAGUUCAAAUUAAAUUCCAUAAAAUCUAGUGCGUUAAGAUUUGGUUAAAAUUGAAUUCCUUUAAUUUUUUUGAGUUAUCACCCUUAAUUUUACUCCCACUUCCAACCGUCCAACUUCUCUAAUACCUCUUUCACGUUUCUUUUUCUUCCCAUUUUGGUUUUCUUCUUUCUUUUUCUUUCACUUUCCUUUGAGUUUUCUUUCUUUUCUUUUUUGUUAAUUUUUUAUUUCGGUCAUCCUAUCUUUUUCGGUGUUUGUGUGUGUUACUCGCAAUUCGAUCGUUGUUCAAAGCAUAGUGUAAGUUUUAUCAAGAUAUUUUUCUAUUAUUUUAGCCUUAAUUUGUUCUUGAACAAGAUUAAAUUUGUUGAUGUUUAAUUUCCUUUCCAUGUUAUGUUAAGUGUUUUCGUGAUUUUGAUUAGGCGAAGGGUGUGAAAAUCAAAUUCCUCUAGCGAAGUAGUUCUCGUUUGGACGUUGUUUUCUGAGUAGUAAGUACUCAAACCUCACUUUAGGGACUAAACUUUUGAUAAAAGAAUGUGAUUUUGGAUGGACCUUUGAUAGAUAAUUGGUAUGAUUUGAUGAUUGAUUGUAUGAUUCAUGAGCUCCCAGUUGUGUGGCUAAUCAAAAAUAUUGUUAGGUGUGUGAAUUAACCCGAAAAACUUGACUAAAACUCGAAAAAACCCAAAAAUAAGGGUUGUUUUCAAAACUAUGUAGCAUCAUACAGUUGUGUGACAGGCCAUGUGAUAGACCUUGUGCACCACACGAUCGUAUGGUAGGCCAUGUGCUAGUCCUUGUGUGAUUACACAACUUGAACAAGAAGGUCGUGUGGACCACACGGGCUAGCUUAUUGGGCCGUGUAGGCCACACGACUGUAUGGGUUCUUUAGGCCAAUUUUAAAGGCCCGAUUAGGGGUCGAUUAAGUGACUCAAAAAUUGUAUUCAUGGGCAUUUUGGUAGGCCUAUAAAAGCAGAAAAUUUAGCAUGUUAAACAUGAGUAAGGUUAGAAAGCAUGUUAAGUAAGAUUCACUUUGUCUAAGUUAUGUGUUAUGUUACGCUCUGUAAAUAUAUGUUUAGAAAUGCAUGCCAUGCAACCUAUAUGAUACGUAUGUAUGUUAACAUGAUUAUGUAUAUGCAUUGGGGUGGGUUUUGGUAUGGUGGAGGAAGUGUAUUCUGGCAGUUUUACUAUAAUUCUAGCGGUUAAACCGCAAUUACUGUCUGACAGCUUAGCUAUAUAUUUUGAGUGGCAUACCGCCAUGUACUGGUAUGAUUGGAUGGAUGGACUUAUGUAUUCCAAAUUGGUGUGAUUGGUUGGACGAAGAUUGUAACACCCCAAAAUAGGGCCUAGAAGUUUUAGGGGUAAUUUAGGAAUUUUAGCCUUAGAGUGUUCAGAAUUUUACAACAUGGUAUACCGAUAAUGUUUUUUACAAUGGUUUUUAGAAAAUUAAAUCAAUUUCUAAAAAUGACUUUUAAAUAUCUUUAAUUUUGAUAAUAGGACUGAUUUGUAAAAGAGUCAAAACUUAAAGUUUUUAAGAGGCAAUUAGACCAAAUUUUAAAAUCCAACCUAAAACCCCUAUUUGUAGUUUUUUUUUCACAUUAGUCUUCUCCUUCUCUCAUACUUGUGACGUCUAUAGUUCUCCCAACUUUCUCAAUCAAUUUUGAAAUCCAAAUCCUAAUUCCUUUUGAUUUUUAUCACCUCUUAAGUUAUAAAUCUCUAUAGAAGUUAAGAAAAACACUCAAAAAUACUAUUGAUUUCUCCAUUGUCAAGCUUGUGAGUUUUUCAAGUUUUUGAUCAAACGUUUGGAUUUUCGUUAAUUAAGGUAACAAUUCAUCUUUCUAUUAGUUUUUAAUGUUAUCUAGUCUUUUACACGAAAAUUUUAGCCUUUAAAUCGCAUAAUUUUAAUAAAAAUCGAAAAUUGGGUUGUUAAUGGUGAAUUUCGGGAUUUUGGUUAAUAACAUGGUUUCAAAGUAUUUUUCAAUUAGUUUUGAUGUAACUAGAAGCUUUUUAAACUUACUUUUAAGUUUCAUUAAAGAAAUCUUGAGUUUUUAUGAAUUUUUGGAAAAUAGCCGUAAAAUAUGUCGAAAAAGUCGAUACUAUGAAUUGAGUAUUUUAUUAUAAUUUAAAGGUUGGGAAUUAGUCGUAGGUGAAUUAUAAGAUUUAUAAGAUGAACUGAAUUAGUUUUAGGUGAAAAUAUUGAGUAUAGACCGAGAUAUUUGAGUUUUAAGUUUGUUAUGUUAAAGGUUUCGGUUACAUGAUAAGGUUUAGGCUUAUAUUUUUUAUUACUUGUGGUGAGUUCUUAGCCGAUUAUUGAAUGCAUUGUUGUGGAAGUUGUCGUGUUGAAGUUCCAGAUUGGAUAGGACGUUCUAUGAAUAGAGAUAAAGGCAAGAAAAAGAAAGUUUGAGAUUUCGGCUUUUCGACGAAAGCGUAAUUGGUGAGUGUUUGGAACAAUUGCUUCUGAACAUGAUUCAAUGUAUUAUUUGGGAAUUUAGUAGCAGCUUAAACCCCUCCUCUAAACUCCAAGUGUAAGCUUUCUCAUACCUAUGUUAUCUUAUGAACUAUGUGUUUAUGUAUUUGUGAAUAUGUGAUUUAAGAUGAGAUUCUAUAACAUGUGAUAUGUGGUUAUGAUAACUGUUAUGAAAGUGCAAACAUGUACAUGUUAUGUAUAUGUUAAAUGUUAGUGACAAUGUUUUGCUAAAAAAGCAAAUAUGCAGUUAUACUGCAUAGAUAAUCGGUAAGUGAUAUGUGUUUGUUUCGGAUAUUUUGAUCUUUUGAUCUUGAAACCAUUGGAUAAAGUUGGCAUGCCAUAGGAUUAUGAGUACUCACCUAUAUGUACAGUGAUUUGGGGCGUUGAGGCCCUGGGGCAUGUUGGAAGGAUAAGGGAAUGGGAGCUAAGCUCCAUUCAACGACACAAGCGAGGGGACAUAAGGAAAGUGUUAGCUAUAUGCUUCACUUCUGGGACAUGUUUGACUCUAUGAGUCUAUGUGGCGUGUUGGAGAUCCGUGUAUCCGAUGAGUGAUGAUAGAGCUCACUUAUAUGUUUCAUAGCUCAAGUGUCAAAUUAUCUUAAAUUAUGAAUGUUAUGUGAUUAUAAGAGUAUUGUGAUAUAUGCUUAAAUGUUAUGUGAUUAUUUGAAUAUUGCGAUAUAUGCUUAAAAGUGAAUGUGAUUACCAUGUAAAUGAACUAGUAAAUAAUGCAUGAGUGAGUAUAAUGUAAAACUAGUGUUGGAACUGUUGAGGUUGUGAUAUAUGGUUGCUUCAUUUAUGCUUGAUGAAUUGUUUGCAUGGUAGUUAUUCUAGGCAUUCACUGAGCUUGUUAAGCUCACCCACUCCCUUCUUAAACUAUUGCAAAUUAGUUGUGUGCUGGUAUGAGUAGUGUGGUUUUCGAGGGGUGAUUCCAAGCAAGUCAUUUUCUGUUAUUUCGUAAGUGUUAUUGUUAUUUUUUUUCAUUUUGGGAAUAAGGCAAUAUGGUAGACUUUUUGUUGGUAUUUUCCAUGAUGUUUUGGAUGCUUCCAUUGACUAUAUGCUUCCAACUUUAUGAUAUUUGUUUCGUAUUAUGUUAAUUAUAGCUCGGACUUACUUUUGAUGUUUGAGACUAGUAUUGCAGCCAUUUCAACAUUUAUUUGAUGAUGAUAUGAUAGCAUGAGGAAUUGGUACAAGCUGGAAUGACUUAUAUGCUUAAAAAUGUUGUAUUUUUCUAGUAUGGAGCAGAGGUAUCAAUAUUCAUGUUGUAAAAACAAUAUCUCUGUAAUUUGAAAUGUGUAGGAAGUCAGAAUUGUAAAUUGGUAUCAAUACCAUAACACGAGUAUCGAUACUCGAGGUAGUUUUAUUGAUACUUUUACAAAGGUACCAAUAUUUUUCGAGACUUUGAUUUUAGACCAGAAAUAGAAUGUUGAUUUGGUAUUGAUUUUCCAUACGGUAUCAACACCGUACCACGAAAAUAUCGAUACCCUUAUCUUAGUAUCGAUAUCUACGUGAUUUUCUUGAAAAUUUUGCUAAGUGGUCCUAAUGCAUGUUUAAUUAUUAUUAUUAUAAGUUUAUUUAAAGUAUGUUUGGCAUGUUCUAAUGAUGAUUGAUAAAUGUUUGACUAAAAAUUUAUAAGAUCACUGAUAAAGAAGAUGAUUUCUUAAUACUGACAAUUUACUAUGAGUGUGAUAUGAGACGAUGGUGUGGCAUCUUAAUAUUCGGGCUUGGCAACUAGGCUGAGUAUAGGGUGUUACAGAGGUGGUGUGUAGCAAAUGGGGGUAGGAUUUGUUUUGAUAUGCUAUAUGUUCUGAAAUUUGAAAAAAAAACAUAUGUUCUGAAAAUUUUGAUCUGACAUUUGCAUAUGUGUAUGUUAUGAGUAAGAAAAUUCUGUAUGUGGGUCAAGUCACACAUUGGGCUUCUAGCUCAUUCAUUUUUGUUUCAUUUCAGGUGACCCUGAUGCAUAGGUUUGGGCAGCGAUUCUGGAGCUCUAUUUGCACAUUUUGGUUUAAGUAUGAUUUAGAUUAAAUUUCAGACUUUAUGAACUUUCUGAUUUUAACUUUGUUUUGGGACGUUAAAUUUGGUUUUGGUAAUUAUUUCAAAAAUGUACUAUUUAUAAUUCGUAAUUAUAUCCAAGACGACAUAACUAAUGGUAUUUAUGGUUUUAAAAGUUAAGGAUUUAUAAUGUAUUUUUCCGCUGGAAGGUUUUGAAACGAAAUGUGAUGUUUUACAACUCAAUUGCUUGAGCUUAUGGGAUUGGUUUAAUAAAAUUAACAAAACAAGUUUUUCGUCAAAGUACUCACACACGAUCUUCUGAUUACUCGUGUUUUGAUAAAUUAAAUAACUUAAUUACUCGGAUGAUAAAACUAAGUUUUCACGUAAAUUAAUCGACAAUGUUUUUUACGUAAUAAUGUAACCUUCAUAAUCCAACCGUAACUUCUAGGUCGGGUUUGGGGUGUUACACACCUUCUUAACUCAUAUAUUUAGUUGCAAUAUUCUCACUUCCAAUGUUGGUACGUCGAAAGGCAGUCAACCAUUGAUCCCUUUUAUUUCCCCUUUAAUUUCAGCCAAAAUGAUGGGUUAAUUGCCCAAACAGCCCUUAGGGUUCCCAAAACCUAAACAAUUUACCCCACCUUCUCCCAAUUGAAUUAGAAUUUCCCCUAAUCAAAUCCUAACAAGACUUCUGUCAACUUUUACUAUAUCUUCUCCUAUUUCUUUUCUUUUCUCUUCUUUACAUGAAUUUUUUACAUCAUCUAGCUACCAAAUAUUUUUGCUUUUCAACAGUAGAUCGUUCUCCAUUGGUUGAUUUUCCACCAGAAUCCUAAUUACUAUCAAAUCACAACCCUAGUCUUCGCCAAAGAAUCGAUAAGAACAUUCCAAUCCCAAUGUUUAAUUCUUAAAUUCCUGUAGAAUUUCUAUACACACUAAUUUUAAGAUCGAUUAAAUAAUCUUUUAUUAAUCUUGUCGAAAUUUUCGAUAAUCUUGAUAAAUCUUGAAAUUCAUUAUUAAUUCUAGUGUAAAUAUCGUUUGAAGGACUCGAUUUAGGUACCUCAUACCAAAUUUAAGCACAAAGAAAAACGUUCGAGAUCUUGGAGAUAGGUGUGUGUUCUUUUAGAAGCGAAUUGGGGCAAACCAUGCCUCAAAAUAGAGCCACACAGGCUUUUGGACCACACGGCCUGCCACAGGGUCGUGUCUCCCUUAUACCUUGAUUUUGCAAUUUCCACACAGCUCGGCCACAUGACCGUGUAACCCAUCCACACAACUUAAGGCAUUGCACACGACCUGGCCACAUAGACUUGUGUCCUUAUUUUAUAGUUUUGCCCAAAAAUUUUAUAAAUUGUUCAAUUUUGUCCCUGUAUGAUUUGUAAACUAUUUUUAGGGUUUUAUCUCUUAUAAUUAGGUCCCUAAUACUUUUAAUAAUGUGAAAUAUAUUAUUUGAUUGGUUAGAUUAUUACUCUUUAUGCAUGAUAUGCGAUUGAAACUUGUUUACUAUCAUCGAAUUAUUGAUGUAUUGUCACUAAUACCUGCACUAUAGUAUUUUUAAUUGCAUGAACAACAUGCCUAUUGUUAUUAAUAAACUGAAAUUAUGACAUUCAUGUCCACUGCUACUGUUAAAAUGAGUACAAGUUAUGCAUGUCCACUGUUUCUGUACUGUACAGUGAAUAACAUGUCGCAUUGCAUUGCAUGGGACGAGAUGCUGUGAAAGGAGGAAGUACUGACAGUUUUAACUAUAAACACUGGUGGUUUAUCCACAAAUUAUUGGUAGCUUUUAUCUGCAAACCCGUUGUUUAUUUACAACUACUGGCAUUGUAUUAACCUGCAAGCACUCGUGGUUUAUCCAUAAUUUAUACUGGCAGCUAUUAUCUAUAAAAUCAUUGUGUAUCCACAAUUACUGGUAGCAUAUUAACCUCCAAGACUGGUGGUUUAUCCAUUUACUGGAGUGUCCGAGAUGUAAGAAUUCUGAGAAACUCUUACUAAGGAGUGUAGCGGUGGGGUAAGACCUAUUUAUAUUGUUAAACUUAAAUUUCUAUGUAUUGCAUCAUCAUGUACAAGCAUGCUCGAAUGAACUGUCAAUUUAUGCUAUGCUAUAUGAUUGCUAAUGUAUGGUAAACUAUUGUUACAUACGCUUGGAUUACUAUUUGACACUAAUUUACUUGUGAUGGAACUCACAUUGAGCGUCAUAGCUCACUCCCCCAUAAUAUUCAUCCUUAUAGAUAACCCACUAGGCUAGGACACAGGUGCGACAUUCGGACGAUCUCGACUUCGUUGUUUUUAUCAAGUUAUUUUAGGCUCACUAUUUUAUCAUUAUUAUUCAAGACUAUACUAUUUUAUUUCAAACUAUGGCAUGGAACUUAAGAAUUGAAUUUUUAUAUUGCAUGAUACUUAAUUUAAGUUUUAAGAUAACUAGAUAUGAUUAUAAAUGAGUUAUGCAUGAAUCCCUAGUUUUUAUUAAACAACCACAUAUCAAAUGUUUAAAAAUGUUUUUUUUUUCAAAACAACCACUUAAUUAAAGUUUUGAGGAAUAAAAUGUUGAUAUUUAACUAAUUCUUUUACUUUAACAACUGUUUAAAAAUAUUUGUUUUCAAAACUUCAAUAGUCCACUGGGUCACUUCGGUGGCUAAUGCAAUCUUUCGAAUUUGGGUCUAAUAUCUAGACUGGGUUGGGGAGGUUACAGCUUCAUAGCUCACCCUUUUUUAUUUUCCAUUUCUACAGACAACUCAUCAGGUUAGGACGUGGACAAGGGAUCCGGAGGGUCUCGACACAAUUUUUUUAUUAAAAUAUUUUAAAAUUAUCAUUUGAUAUUUUUAUUAGUUAGAGACUGUAUUAAAAUAUUUUGAACUGUGGCAUGAGUUUGAUGACUUGUUUUCUUUUAGCAUGCAUAACAUUUAAUCUAAUUUUAGGAUGUCAAAGCAUGAACAUUAAUUAAUUAUGCAUGAACUUCGGUUCUUAUUAAAAAAUGUAAACUGUUAUAAAUUUUUUCGUUGCUAAAUUUUAAUUGAAGAUUUUGAGUAACAGGUAAAUAGGAAAUUAACUAAGUUUUUAAAAGAAAAGUAGACAUCAUUACAUAAAUAAUCUAAAUUGGUUUCUUGAUAACUCAUGAGCUUUUAUGAAAAAAAAGAACAAGUUUUCUAAUGUUUAAAUAUGUCAGAUUUAAAAAAUUCGAUAACUUAUUGGGUCACCUCAGUGGUUAAUGUAAUCUCUCGAAUUCGGGUCUAACGUCUAGGUCGGGUUGGGGAUAGGAGCGAAGGCAGAAAAUUUUUUUAAGGGGCAGAAUUAAAUUUUAAUUUUUACUAUAGUAAAAUGCAGUUUCACCAUUUGAAUAGCCUAUAUCUUUUAUAAUUUUUAAAGGAUUAAAUCAAUUUUUUAAUCAUUUUUAGGGGGACCAAAGUGAAAUUUUACCUUUACUAAUUUAAAUUUUUUAAAAAUUAAAGGUCCUAAAUAAAAAAAAUUCAUUUUAGGGGGGCCAGGGCCCCUGCUAGCCCCCUAGCUACACCCCUGGUUGGGAAGGUUACAAGAAUUGCCAAAAGAUCACAAGCCAAUAGUGAAAACCCAUUAAAUUCUUAAAAGAGUUUAAAUUAAAUUGUUAAUUUUUAAAGGGACAAAAAUGAAAAUUUUCCAUUAAACAAAGGGAUAAAAAUUCUUAAAUUAAAUAGUUAAUUUUUAGAAGUACAUAAAAUUGCAGUUAUCCCAUUUAGUCAAGAGAGGGCCUUACAUGCACCUCAGCUUCACCCCUAUGCAAUUUAUAUUAUCUAUAAUAUAUACAAAAUCACAAAAGCUUUUAUUUGGGAACUAGCUAGAAGCUUAAUUGCUUAAGCAAUGUCCUUUUCUUUUUCUUAUCACGAAGAUCUAUGCAUAUGCAAAAUAUGUGCAUGAAAUUAGUUGUACCUAACUGUACUUUAGAACUACCAUGCAUAUAUUAAACAUUAUGAAAAUGUUGUACCUACCUCAAUUGUCAUCUUAUGCCUAAUGAAAAAAUUUAUCACGCUUAAUAUUAUAAAAAUAAUAAUAUAGUUAAAAAUGUGUCUAGUUAAAAAUUGAAUAUAGUUUUUGUUAAAAUUUUAUUAGGUAGUAGUUAGAGAUUUUGUUUAACAUCUUGCUGAUACGGGUUUAAACUAAUAUUUUUGGAAUUAGAUCGGUGAUUAAAUUGAUUAGGUCACUGGUUCGUUGGUCUGAUCAAUUCGAUUCAAAAAUCAUUAAAAAUUUAUAAAAAAAUAAAAAAAAUCCAAUAACAUCUCAAAUAAUAGAAGUAAGAAGUUAGUACGAUAUACCAAUUCAUCUAAACCCCAAUCAUAAUUAGAUACGUGAUGUCUUAGGAUUAAGACAACUUACGUAUAUAAGCUAAGGCCCCAUUGAGAGAAGUAAGCAAGAGCGUUCCCACCAAAAUCAAGUGGCUCCCAUCUCUUUACAUAUGACCUUUGACUAUCAUAUAGCUCUUCACCUUUCUUCACCUUACAAUCUUUUUUGUGUAUCAACAAUGUAUUAUUAUUUAGAUCACUAAUAGUGAAUAGAACUAUACAUUAUAGGUAUAUGUGUAUACAUUAUAGGUAUAUAUCAUUGAACUAUGUAUCAUAAAUUGUAAUAAAAAAAUAAGAAUCUUGUAUCAUAAUUUUAUCGAAUAGGGACUAAAAAAUAUUAAAUGAAUUAAACUUAUUUUAAAAAUAAAUACCAUAAUAAUGACAAUUUAAUCAAAUGUAUUUAUAAAUAAUUUUACAUUUCAUCUAACAAACGCUUAAAUUUUAUAUCCAACCAAAUGGAACAAAUAAGAGAACGAAACGUAUCAUUAAAACAGAUGUAGUUAAGUAAUUUACGCAACACUAGCCCUUGCAUGUUCCGAGCAAGAGCAAGAAGUAGGUUUAGGAGAGUGGAGACGAAGGCCAACGAGAGUCACGAGGAGGAUAAUGUGAGAGGGAGAUUUGACAUUCCAAGUUUUGUUCUUUUCUCUAUUAAAGUAAUCUAAUCAGCUUUCAUAAUAUGAACUAAGGUCGCAUUUGGUAUGAAGUUAAUUUUAAACAAUCAUAUCACUAUGAUGGCUUUUUAACCAAUAUAUUAUACAAAAAAAAUGUACUACUUUUUUUUAGGAUAUCUUGAUAUUUAUGAACAUUAGGUUUGUGACAUUUAAAUUCUUCAUAGAUUUCGUGCUCAACUAGGCAAAUAUAGGUGAAGUAGAGCUCCACACUCUUUUAUCAAAUUCAUUUGAUUUUUACUAGGAUUAAUAAAUUUAUUCAAUAUGCUAUAUCGGAUACUAAAAAAGAGUGUGUAACAAACUUUAUUUUUUAUUAAAAUCACAUCUAAUUUACAUCGUUAAACACCAUGACUUCAAAAUUUUAAUUAAAAGUAAUAUAUAUAUUUAAAUAAAAUUACAUUGAAAAGAUACUUAUAUAAUAACAUAGUCAAAAACCCUAUACUAAACUCAACACCCAUAACUUCCAAGUUAAUCAGAAAUAAAUUUCUCAUAUUCCUAUUGUCAAAAAUAGUAAUAAAAUAUUUAUUAUAUAUGUCAAAAACUGAACAAAGAUAUAUAUAUUGACCUUGAAGAGUUUUUUUUUAUAAUUUUUGGAACUCUAAAUUUGAUUUAUGAUUUAUUUGAAAUUUUUUAUUUUGGAUAUUUUUUACAUUAUUUUUUGACAUGACAUAGAUGAUAAAAUACUAUCAUGUUGGUAAUGAAAAGUUGAAGAUUAAUUUGCUCCAAAUAAAUGAGUGGGGCAAAAUUGAAUAAAUAUGUAGAGAUGAAGGACUAAAUUUAUUAUAAUGCUCUCUCCCUCUAUAUAUAACACCAAAAUAAGCAUUUUACAGAAAACUUUUAUGAAAGGACCAUUUUUCUUCUUCAUCUAACAUGUAAGGACCAAUUUGCUCAUUUUUCUAUAGAUGCAUCAAAAUGCAAUUUAAAAUAUAGUAUAGAGACUGCAAUUUAAAAGUACUAAACUUAAUUAACUUAUUUAUACUAAUAUUUAUAUUCUAAUUAAAUUGGAGUCACGAGUCAAUCGGGAUAAUUCGGAGAUUACCAACAAAAAUAUUUUUUUAUCUUUUUAUAUUUUAUAUAAAAUUUAAAAAUCUAAACAUGACAAUAGUUAGCCUAACAUACCACAAUUCUAUAAUCUUAACUUUACAUUUUGAACCAAAGUCUCAUUUAUUUUCAAAUAUAAUUUUUUAAAAUUAUUUACAUAAUUUUUUUCACUCAUGUAAUUUAAUAUAUUUUAUAUAAGCAUUUAUAAUUAUAUCUUAUUACUUUAGACAACUAAAUCUAAAAUUAAAAAUAGAUACAAUUUAAUUUUAAUAUUUUUAAGAUCCAAAUUCACUCUACUUAAACUCGAACCGAACCACCAAUAUCAUCCAUCAAUAUAGAAAUCACAAACUGAAAAGAAAAAAAAAAAAAGCAUCACCCAAAUACAACCUCCCAAAGAGGGAAUAAGAUUAGAUUUGGUGGCAGUGAAAAACAGAUAGAAAUUUCCAUGCACCAACGUUUACGUUGUCCCCCACCUUAUCCGGUUCACAAUCACUUUUUGUUUGUUCUCUUAGCUGUGUUCUAUGAAAAAUACCCAAAUUAGAUUUUAUCCUAGCUCAGUUGAUAUAGUUGCUAUUGCAAUAAUCAAAAUAAUGUGGGCUUAAACACAUUUAAGUGCAUAUUUACCUUCGAUUUAAGAGUUGAGAGGAGUUAGGAGCAGGAGUAGGUAUUAUAUCAAAAAAUACUUUGUUUUCCCCACUUCACUUUAGGUAAACAAAUAAUUAUUUGUACCAAUUAAAAUUUUAAAAAAACUUUUUAAAAGAAUAUAUCAAAAAAAAUUAUAUUUUAGGUCAAAUUAUGGUUAUAGUCUCUCUAUUAUGUAUAAAUAUAGGAUUUAAUAUCUCUACUUUUUUUUAUUAAAUUUUGUGUGUUAUAAAUUUUAAGAGAAUUUUACGUCAUCAUUUAACUCAAAAUGGUUAAGGAUGUUUUUUUUUAUCUCAAAAGCCAACCUCUUUAUUGAUGAAUUAAACAAAGUAAAAAGACAAUUAAAUGAACCAAAAAUCAAAAGGAAAAUACGAAAAGGAAACCCUCAGCCAUGGGAUUUCGACCAGCGGCUACUCAAACAAAACAUUAACUGAUACGAGUCACAAAGGCCCAACCCAAGCCCAAGAACGUGAUGGGCUCAAAUUACCACAAGGCCUAAUAACAAGAUCAAAGGCCCGACAAAUGCGUUCCAAAAUAAACGGGACCAUUCAGGAGUUUGUUAGCAAGGCCUUAGAUGCGUACAUGAAAGAAAGAGAAAAUCAAUAUUCACUUUCUUGAUUUCAAGAAAAUCUAGAAACCGAAUCUUGGCCCAAUCUUGCUGUUUGGAGCGAUUUCAAGAAUCAAGAAAAUCAAGAUUUCAAAUCUUGGAAAACUUCGUCCAAGAAACUAAACCUUGCAGCCAAAGCGCAUUGGAUCUCCGUUACGAGCAUCAACGAACCAAUUUCGGUAGGAGAUGGAAUACAAGCCCCAAGUUCUUGAAGGCAAGGCCCAAUAAGAUGAUUCCAAGCCCAACCAAGAAGACAAACCAUACUUACUUGAAAAUCUGGCCAAAUUGUCAAAGUGGCCCAAUUUGUAAAGUUUUAUUUUUUUUAAAUACUUAGUUUAAAUUUUUAUGUAAAUAUUCAGUCCAAGAGGCCCAAUUAACAGGCCUUGGCUGAAUUUCCAUUUAAAAUUAAAAUAAUUAGGAGUAUUUUUAGUUUUAGUUUUCUAAACAGAUUAGGAAAACAUUUGAAAAGCCUAUAUAAAGGCUUGGCCGGCCACCUUGUUAGACACUUUCUCAAUUAUAUUAAAAAUUUCAGAUUUGUUUAAGUGCAGAAUUCUCCUUGAGUUUUUCUCCAAGAAUUCUCUCUUGAGUUUUCUUUAGAAGUUGUUUUAACAAUCUUUUGAUUGUGGGAGCCAUCUUCAGCCUUCUUCUUGCCAUUGAUAUUCUUUGGAGGGGAGAUUAGAGCCGUUUGAAGGGAGUUGUGAGAUCUUUCGGGAUUUCAAGGCUUCUUAGGACUUAUCUUUUAAUUUCUUGCUGUCAAUUUUUUCUUUUAAAAUCUUCUUGUGUCGAUUUUAUUUAAUCACUUUGUUUGCUGUUCUUGUUGCGUUUUAGGCGUUCCAAAGCAUUCCAAAUCUGAUUCGCCCUCUUCUUUACUAAAGAUCGGAUCGCCCCUUUUGUUCUUGGCAGUAAAAAUUCGUUCAAAAUCCCUAAAUUCCUUAUUCUUGCCGAUUUCUUCUUUUCAGAUUUGGGUUGUUUUGAUUGCUGGAAUUUUGGGGAAAUUUAACUUGCUGUUUGUCAUUCUUUUCAGAUUCGGCAGAUUGGAGUAUUCUUUGGGGUUCAAUUACAUGUUCUUGAUUCCCCAAGAACCCUUAUUAACAUUUAAACCUAUUCUCAAUUUGAUUCUUUGCUGAUUUGGGGAUUUUUAUUUCAGAUCUGGAAAUUCAAAGUUUUAAUCUUUUAAUUUCUGUUUCGUUUCAGAUCUGUUCGUUUAGAGCCUCGUAGGAGUUUUCCGUGACUUGGCAACUUGAUCUUGGUCCGCGCACAACCCGCUAUCAUUUGGUAUCAGAUUUUGGGCGUUUUGGGUGUUCUUGGUUGAUUUCUAAACUGAUCUCUAUUUUUUAAACUACAAACAACAGUUUUACCCAGAAAAAUUUUUGAAAAAAAUUCAUUUGAGUGGGUAAACGUUGUCUGAUUGAUCUAAAAUUUUACAAACAUAUUUUUGGCACUGUGAUUAAAUAUAAAAAAAUAUUUCCCGCAAAAAAGUCUGUCGAAAAAGUCAAAAAAAUUGAAAAAGAUGAAAUCUAAUAAAAAAUUAAAAAAAGAUUCAGAGGGUUGAGUUUGGUGCCCAAACUUUCCAGAUCAAAAAUUCAAUAUUUAAGGACAUUCCAGAUUUAAUUUUGUGAUUUUUGGAGAUCGGGAACACCUCAAACAAAGUUGUCAAGUUACUCCACAGUUUUUCGAGUUUUCUUGUUUCAGCAAUUUUUAUUGAUUCUUAGCUAUAGGUUUUCAUUUGUUUGUCUUUAUUCUCCCUUUACACUAUCUAACACCUUAUUGUUUCUUGUGUUAGUAGGAUUUUUAAAGUGUGCACAAUUCUUCCUCAGUGCGACACAAAUUAGUUGGUGUCACGUCAGUUUUUUGGCAUCCUAGUGCAAAUUAGGAUUCUUUGGUAGUUCGGUUCAUACACUUUCUAAUUGGUUGAUAUAGACUCUACUAAAGAACUCACAAGACAGAAUUCUACCUCAUUGAGAAUUUGAUUUUUUCUUUUUGAGUGAUUAACGGUGAGGUUUGCUAACUUUUCUUUUUGAGUGUUGAGUGUUUAUUUUGCAGGUUUUUGAAAAUGUCUAAGGUUGGUCAAGGUGAUAAUGAUCAUAAUGAUGUCUACGACACAUUUACAAAAUUCCAACAACAGUUAGACGAACAAGCUGCCUUACUCAGAACUUUGAGUGCUACUUUAAAUGAGGUACGAUUGAAUCAAGAGCCUCAAUAUCGAGAUCCAAUUAAAGAAGAUAUGGAUAACCAGCCUCCUGCUCAUCGGUGCGGUCCUCGACGUGUCCCUAGAACUGACUCUGAUUUUCAUGAUCGUGGGCAGCCCUCUUUGGCAAAACCGAAGUUCACAAUUCCCCAAUUUCGUGGUAAGAAUGAUCCAGAAGCUUAUUGUGAAUGGGAAUCUAAAAUUGAACUUAUGUUUCGAUAUUAUAAAUGUCCGGAUGAUGAAAAGGUAGCGUUAGCAACGCUGGAAUUUUUAGAUUAUGCAUUAAGUUGGUGGACUCAAUUUAGGGUGAAUCGUCAUCGGAAUUAUGAAGGUGAGAUUUCGACAUGGGAGGAGUUGAAAUAGAUUAUACGUAAAAGAUUUAUUCCACCUCACUACUAUAGAGAGAUUAAAACAAAGCUGAGACGACUUGUUCAAGGUAGUAGGACGAUGGAUGAAUAUUUUAAGGAGAUGGAGACGCUCGUUCAGAGAGCUAAUGUGGAGAAGGAUGAGGAAACAACUAUGGUUCGAUUUAUUGAUGGUUUGAAUAGGCCGAUAGGUAAUACAUUGAGGCUACAAACUUACAUUGAUUUGGAAGAAGCAGUUCAUAAAACCAUUGAGAUCGAGCAACAACUAAAGGAACAAAGGUUUGGUUCCUUCUCUACUUCACAAUAUUACCUAGGUAACAAUUCCAAUUCUGAUUUUAAGAGUUCAAAAUCACCUUUUGUUACUAAUAAGUCUUCUUUGAGUAAUGGAAGUAAGCAAUCAGAUUGGAAAAAAGGGGCUCCUGUUAAAACGCAAACACCUUCUAAGCAGCCCAAUUUACGUGAUUCGAGUGUGAAGAGGACUCGUGAGAUUGAAUGCUUUAAGUCCAAAGGGCGUGGUCAUUAUAGUAGGGAAUGCCCUAACACGAGAUUACUUCUUCUGAAAGAUAAUGGUAAGUACACUUCCGACUCUGAUAAAACAGAUCCAGAUAUGCCAGAACUUGUGGAUGACAGUGAUAAUGGCGAAGAGUUGGUUGAACCACCAAAAGAAGGGGACUUUGCUGAUUUUCAAUGCCUUGUAGUUCGCCGAACCCUUAACAUCCAGAUGAAAGAUGAUGACAACCAAAGGACCAAUAUUUUCCAUUCUCGGUGUUUUAUUAAAGGUAACUUAUGUUCACUCAUUAUUGAUAGUGGGAGUUGCUCGAAUGUAGUGAGUAGCUAUUUGGUAGAUUCUUUAAAGUUGCCUUGUACCAAACACCCUAAGCCAUAUCACCUUCAGUGGCUUAACGAAUGUUCCGAAGUUAAAGUUACGAAACAGUCCUUGGUCACUUUUAAGCUCGAGAAUUAUGAUGAUGAAAUAUGGUGUGAUGUGGCCCCAAUGCAUGCGGCACACUUGCUCCUUGGACGGCCUUGGCAAUUUGAUCACGAUGUUACACACCAAGGUAAGCUUAAUCGAUACUCCUUUGUGUUUAAAGGUAGAAAAUUUAUUUUUGCUCCUUUAAAUCCCACUGAUGUAUAUAAAGAUCAAUUGAAGAUGAUGAAAUUUUGUGAGGGGGUAAGGGAGAAAGGACAAGUACAAAAGACAGAGAGAAAAGAGGCUAGUAGUGGAAAAAGUCAAAAUUUAAAAAGCCCAAAAGUGAGUGAAUCCACAAGUGGUAAAAUGAGCGGAAAAAAUUUUUUGCCAACAAAAAAAAUGUGAGGAGACCCCUACUCAAUAAACAGCCUUGUAUCCUUGUGAGGUUUAGGCAAAAUUAUUUAUCUUUAUCUAACAUUAACGAAAAUUUACCUAGUGUGUUUAAGUCUCUUUUGCAGGAUUAUGAGGAUGUUUUUAGUGAGGCCCCUAAAGGUUUACCACAUUUACGAGGGAUAGAGCAUCAAAUUGACUUAGUACCCAGAGCUUCAAUACCAAAUCGACCAACCUAUAGAUGCAAUCUCGAGGAGACAAAGGAAUUGCAAAGGCAAGUUGAGGAAUUACUAGACAAAGGGCACAUUCGUGAGAGCCUAAGUCCUUGUGCCAUUCCUGUCUUAUUGGUACCAAAGAAAGAUGGUACUAUCGAAUUUGUGUUGAUUGCCAUCCAAUCAACAAAAUAACGGUAAAGUAUCGACACCCAAUUCCUUUCAGUCAUAUUUACUAAAAUUGAUUUGAAAAACGGUUAUCAUCAAAUUCGAAUGAGGGAAGGGGAUGAAUGGAAAACAGCCUUUAAAACAAAAUUUGGAUUGUAUUAAUGGUUAGUUAUGUCUUUCGGCCUUACUAAUGCACCUAGUACAUUUAUGAGAUUAAUGAACCAUGUUUUAAGGCUUCACUUAGGUAAAUUCGUAGUAGUUUACUUUGAUGAUAUUUUCAUUUACUCCAAGACAUUAUAUGAUCAUGUUUUCCAUGUUAGAACCGUUUUGGAUAUUCUGCAAGCUGAAAAAUUAUUUGCCAACCUUGAUAAAUGCACAUUCUGUUGUGAUAAACUAAUAUUCUUAGGUUUCAUAGUUAGUGCACAAGGUAUUCAUGUCGAUGAGGACAAAGUCAAGGCAAUCAAGGAGUGGCCCUAAAUCGGUAACUGAGGUGAGAUCUUUCCAUGGUUUAGCUAGCUUUUAUAGACGAUUUGUGAAAGAUUUCUCUACUAUUGUUGCCCCAUUAACAGAGGUUAUAAAGAAAUCAGUGGGUUUCAAAUGGGGUGAAACCCAAGAAAAGGCUUUUUAGACCCUAAAAGCUAAGUUAUGUUUGCUCCUCUUCUUAAAUUACCUGAUUUUUCUAAUACUUUUGAACUUGAGUGUGAUGCUUCAGGAAUUGGAAUCGGUGCCGUUUUAAUGCAAGAUAAGCAACCUAUUACUUAUUUUAGUGAAAAUUGAAUGGUGCACAAUUAAACUACUCGACUUAUGACAAAGAACUAUUGGCAUUGGUUCGUGCACUUCAAGUAUGGCAACGUUACUUGCUGCCUAAUGAAUUUGUCAUACAUACAGAUCCUGAAUCCCUUAAAUGGUUAAAGGGACAAGGUAAGUUGGGUAAACGUCAUGCCCGAUGGGUAGAAUUCAUUGAAACAUUUCCUUAUGUGAUAAAAUAUAAAACAGGUAAAGAUAAUGUAGUUGCAGAUGCUUUGUCUAGACGAUAUGCUUUAAUAACUACAUUGAAUGCUAAAGUCUUAGGGUUUGAACACAUCAAGGAGUUAUAUGAUGAUGAUGCUAAUUUCGGCCAUAUCUAUAAGAAUUGUGGACUUACUACUUUUGAAAAGUUUUAUCUUGUAGAUGGCUUUCUUUUCGUAUAAACAGGUUGUACAUACCAAAGUGUUCCAUGAGAGACUUAUUGAUUCAUGAGGCCCAUAGUGGGGGUUUAAUGGGACAUUUUGGAGUGGCCAAAACACUAGACAUUUUGCAAGAACACUUCCAUUGGCCACAUAUGAAGAAAGAUGUCGAAAAGGUAUGUUCCAAGUGCAUUACAUGUAAACAAGCAAAAUCUAAGGUAAUGCCUCAUGGCCUUUACACUCCUUUACCGAUUCUUACUUCACCUUGGGUAGAUUUAUCCAUGGAUUUUAUUCUAGGUUUGCCUCGAACUAAGAAAGGAAGAGAUAGUAUAUUUGUUGUUGUUGACAAGUUUUCAAAGAUGGCACAUUUUAUUCCUUGUCACAAAACAAAUGAUGCUACACAUGUGGCAGACUUAUUCUUUAAAGAGGUGGUAAGACUUCAUGGCAUCCCUAAAACAAUUGUUUCUGACAGAGAUGUCAAAUUCUUUAGCCACUUUUGGAAGGUCUUGUAGGGUAAGCUUGGUACUAAAUUACUUUAUUCCACUACAUGUCACCCUCAAACUGAUGGCCAAACUGAAGUAGUUAAUCGGAUCUUAGGGACAUUAUUACGAUCUGUUGUGGGAAAGAACAUUAGAAAUUGGGAAGAAUGCCUACCAUUUGUUGAAUUUGAAUAUAAUAGAUCUAUUCAUUCUACAACUGGUUAUUCUCCAUUUGAACUUGUUUAUGGCUUUAACCCACUAACAGUACUUGAUCUUGCGCCAUUACCACUUGAACACAUUGUUAAUUUAGAUGGCGAACAGAAAGCUGAGUUGGUGAAAUCCUUACAUGAGAAGGCUAGGCAACGAAUAGCCAAAACUAAUGAUGCCAACACCAACAAAGCAAACAAGGGGCGCAAACGGGUUCUCCUAGAACCUGGAGAUUAGGUUUGGGUCCAUUUGAGGAAAGAACGAUUUCCCACAAAAAGAAAGACCAAGUUGGACCCAAUGGGUGAUAGGCCUUUCCAAGUACUCGAGCGGAUCAAUGACAAUGCCUAUAAAAUUGAUCUACCUGGUAAGUACAAUGUAAGUUCUACUUUUAAUGUGGCUGACUUGUCCCCAUUUGAUUUUUCAGAUUCGAGGCCGAAUCAUUUUGAGAAAUGGGGGAAUGAUACGAGUCACAAAGGUCCAACCCAAGACCAAGAACGUGAUGGGCUCAAAUUACCACAAGGUCCAAUAACGAGAUCAAAGGCACGACAAAUACGUUUCAAACUAAACGGGACCAUUCAGGAGUUUGUUAGCAAGGCCUUAGAUGCGUACAUGAAAGAAAGAGAAAAUCAAGAUUCACUUUCUUGAUUUCAAGAAAAUCUAGAAACCGAAUCUUGGCCCAAUCUUGCUGUUUGGAGCGAUUUCAAGAAUCAAGAAAAUCAAGAUUUCAAAUCUUGGAAAACUUCGUCCAAGAAACUAAAUCUUGCAGCCAAAGCGCAUUGGAUCUCCGUUACGAGCAUCAACGAACCAAUUUCGGUAGGAGAUGGAAUACAAGCCCAAGUUCUUGAAGGCAAGGCCCAAUAAGAUUAUUCCAAGCCCAACCAAGAAGACAAACCAUACUUACUUGAAAAUCAGGCCAAAUUGUCAAAGUGGCCCAAUUUGUAAAGUUUUAUUUUUUAAAAAUACUUAGUUUAAAUUGUUAUGUAAAUAUUCAGUCCAAGAGGCCCAAUUAACAGGCCUUGGCUGAAUUUCCAUUUAAAAUUAAAAUAAUUAGGAGUGUUUUUAGUUUUAGUUUUCUAUUCAGAUUAGGAAAACAUUUGAAAGGCCUAUAUAAAGGCUUGGCCGGCCACCUUGUUAGACACUUUCUCAAUUAUAUUAAAAAUUUCAGAUUUGUUUAAGUGCAGAAUUCUCCUUGAGUUUUUCUCCAAGAAUUCUCUCUUGAGUUUUCUUUUGAAGUUGUUUUAACAAUCUUUUGAUUGUGGGAGCCAUCUUCAGUCUUCUUCUUGCCAUUGAUAUUCUUUGGAAGGGAGAUUAGAGCCGUUUGAAGGGAGUUGUGAGAUCUUUCGGGAUUUCAAAGCUUCUUAGGACUUAUCUUUUAAUUUCUUGCUGUCAAUUUUUUCUUUUAAAAUCUUCUUGUGUCGAUUUUAUUUAAUCACUUUGUUUGCUGUUCUUGUUGCGUUUCAGGCGUUCCAAAGCAUUCCAAAUCUGAUUCGCCUUCUUCUUUACUAAAGAUCGGAUCGCCUUAUUUGUUCUUGGCAGCAAAAAUUCGUUCAAAAUCCCUAAAUUCCUUGUUCUUGCCGAUUUCUUCUUUUCAGAUUUGGGUUGUUUUAAUUGCUGGAAUUUUGGGGAAAUUUAAGUUGUUGUUUGUCUUUCUUUUCAGAUUCGGCAGAUUGGAGUAUUCUUUGGGGUUCAAUUACAUGUUCUUGAUUCCCCAAGAACCCUUAUUAACAUUUAUUCCUAUUCUCAAUUUGAUUCUUUGCUGAUUUGGGGAUUUUUAUUUCAGAUCUGGAAAUUCAAAGUUCUAAUCUUUUAAUUUCUGUUUCGUUUCAGAUCUGUUCGUUUAGAGCCUCGUAGGAGUUUUUCGUGACUUGGCAACUCGAUCUUGGUCCGCGCACAACCCCCUAUCAUUAACAAUACUGACUAGAGAGUAACCAAAACCAAAAAUGGGGUCUUCAAAUAGCAAAUCCCCACUAUAUUUCGAAGAGAAUCAACAGUUCUAUGGUGGGCAUGAAAGCGACAGUCUUCUGCAGCCGCCGCUUCUACCAACGCCGGAGCUUCUCAACCCAGAAGCCAUCCUCUUCUCGAUUUGAACCCUCUUGCACCAUUGCUUGCGAUGUUUUGUUACCAAAUUAGCCAAUGAAGUGUAAGGCGCCAUAUGCAUGAAACUCCUUCGCUAUCUCUUUUGCAGACCAAGUAAGGGCACUUAUAUCUGAGAAAUCUUGUUCGUGGUUGUUAAUAUUCCUGAUAAAAGAUCUUGAAUCUCCCUCGACUAUUAUUGACAGAAAACCUAAAUAUUUAGCAAAUCGAAGUACAUGUAUCACCGCAACUGCUUCUGCUGCAAAGACUAAAAGAAUAGGGUAAGUGAUUUUGCAACAAGCCUCCAUAAUCUCCCCAUUUUCAUCUCAAAUUACAACCCCUACUGCAGCCUUCUUUUGAUUUAAUCUAAACCCAGCAUCAUGUUUAGUUUAACCAAACCUGUAGGUGGUGGAGACUACCGAGCUUGAAAUUGGAGGCUACACCACUGUCCGUAAGGAUCACAAAGACCAACUCCACACAAUAGUUGCGGAUGGAGCUGACAAUCUCACCUACACUCUAGUGUUCCCUUGUGCACCAUAUGAUUCCGAGCAAACUAUAUAGCCCACAUUGUACCACAAAUUUCAUUAUGUUUUGUUGUAUGAUACAUCUUUAGUAUCCAUGAAAGCCACUCAUGGAAAUCCAUUUGAGUACUAGCCACAUGCAAUGGGUAACCCAACAUUACCCACACAUUUCUCGCACUAGCACAAAAUCUUAGCACAUGGUUCACUGUCUCGUGAUCAACAUUACACCUCGAAUAGAUUGGAUUAUUUGUAACACUUCUAUUGUAUAGGCAUGAUCUAGUGGCUACAAAACCAUGAACAAAUUUCCACAAAACUAUUUUGAUUUUUGAGGGACAUCUAGUUGCCCAAAUUUGCUUGAAAAUUUCAUGCCCAAAUGAUAAGGGAGUCGGUGGCUAGAGUAAUAAAUGAUAUCCGCUAUGAACAGAGUAUAUACCCGAGCGUUCAUCACCCCAAAUGAGACAAUCCUCUUGAUGAAUAGACAGUAAAGGAAUACCCUGGAUAAGGAUUGCAUCAUCAUCUACAAAAAGCAAGUUAAUCAAAUCCUGGUUCCAACCUAUUCCAUUCAGAAAAAAAAAGCUUAGACACCCUAUCAAUGUUACCCGAUCUGGGGGUUUGACCUCUUCUAGGCAAAGACCUUGGCACUCAACAACCUCCUAAAUGUUAAUUCUAUCGCCCAUCCCCACAUUCCAUUUAAGCCCUAUCUCAACUAAUUUCCUAGCACUCUAGAUGCUCUUCCAAACGGGUGAUGGAUUGGAGCCCAACUAAGCAAUAAGAGACCUUGUAUUGGGAAAGUAUUUGGCCCUUAGGAUACGCGCCAUCAACAACGUAGGAUGCAUUAAGAUUCUCUACAUCUUCUUUGCUAGUAGGGCUACAUUAAACUUCGUAAGAUCCCUAGACCCCAACCCUCCAUCAUCCUUUAGUUUGCUAAAAAACAACUAACUACAUCAAUGGAUGCCUCUCUUGUUAGCCGCCUUCUGCCACCAAAACUGAGCUAGGGCGCCUUUAAUUUCUUUAUAGAAAGUUUGUGGCAAGAGGAAACACAUCAUUGCGGAAUGUUGGGAUUGCUUGGAGAAUGGAUUAUAUGAAUACCUCUCUUCUACCUAUUAAUAACAGCCUCGUACUCCAAGAAGAUAUUCGACUUCGAAUUUUAUCCCUUAGGUUAGCAAAGGCCCGCUUCUUGUUCCAACCUACCAUACAUGGUAAACCUAAAUAUUUCUCUAAGUUGUCAGCAUGAUGAACCCCCAGAAUUCUCUCCACAUCCAACCUAUUCCUCAUGUCAACAUUUGAACUAAAGAAAACACUGGAUUUUUCAAAAUUGACUAGCUAACCUGAACACUUGGCGUAUGAUUGAAACACCUUUAAGACAUUUGUACGGAUGGAUGAGUUCAUGGGAACUCCUAGUGAUGUGUGUAGCAAAAUUAGGAAAGAUUUUUCUUUUGAUAUAUUGAAAUUGCAUUGUCAUUUAUAAACAUGUGCAUACAAAAUUGUGAAUUCCAAAAUAUUAUAAUGAUGUGUUGAUCUAUAAAAUUGUUACUAUGACUUGCUAUAUGAAUGUGAUUGUUCUAAAGAACUGUCAGUUCGCAUGCUUUAUUACACCGAUUUUCUUGUGAUUUGACUCACACUGAGCUUCUUAAGUUCACCCCCUUUAAUUUCCAUAUUUAUAGAUAACCCACCAGGUUAGGACACGAACACGGCAUCUAGUCGGCUUGGCUCGGAUAGUUUUUAUUUUAUUUAUUUAAAAAUAUUUCAGUUUUACAUUAUAAUUUAUGUUAUCUGGAACUGUAUUGAUUUAUUUGAACUGUAGCAUGGGACUUUAGUUUUGGGUUUAUUUGGCAUGCAUGACAUUUAAUUUGAUUUUAGGAUAUUGAAAUAUGGAUUUUGAAUUAAUUAUGCAUGAAAUGUGGUUUUCCUUAAAACUAUGAUAAAAAUCAUUUUUCCACUGCAUGACUAUGUAGAAGAGGUUUGAAAGAUAUAUAUAACUGGAAUUCAACUUUUGCAAAACAAUCAUUAAAAUUGAUCUGUUUUGAAAUUAAAUUGUACAUUUUGAAAACAAGCAAAUUUUUUCUUCAAAAAUUGAAAGAAAUGUUUUAAACAAACUGUUUUUAAACUCCGAUAAUGUUUCUAGGCCAUUUCAGUGGCCAAUAUAAUCUUUCGAAUUCAGACCUAACGUCUGACCGGGUUGGGGAGGUUACAUAGAUCUAACAAUAAAGAGGGUUUUUUUUUCCUUCUAACAAACAAUGAGAAAAAAAAAGAAAAGAAAGAAGGAUUGAUGGAUUAUCUAAGCAAUAAAAACUUUAUCCUCUACAAAGUUAUCAAUUAUAAUUAGAUUAUGACACGUUCACGAUGUGGAUGAAAAAUAAAAUUAUAUAAAAAUAUAUAUUUAUAAAAAUAUUGAUAUAUAUAUAUAUAAUAAAGUUUUAGUUGAAUGGUAAAGUACAAAUGUGAAAUUUAAAAUGUAUGAAUUUGAAUCCUUUUAUAUGUGUUUUUUUCCUAUCUUUUUAUAUAAAAAUAUAAAAUAACAAAAACAAUCUAAAAAUAAUAUAAUUUAGUUUGUAAAUUGAAGGCAUUUCAUCUUUUUUUUUCAUUUAAGUUGGUAUUCGAUUAACUUGUAAAACCAACUCCAUCAAGAACUUUGUAAUAAGUAUAGUUAAAAGAAUUUAACAAAACAUUCCCCAAUGCUAUAUAAUUUUGACAUUCAAACUAAUAUUAAACUUUUUUUAUUGAUCGAAUCUUAAUUCAGUUGAUAUAAUUUUAUUGAAAUUUUUUGAAGGUUAUAGGUUUGAGUGGAUUUAGGUGUAAAAUGUUUUAAUGUUAUUAUUUAUACUAUUAUUUAAGUAUUUGAUUGAAUUGGUGUCACGAGUCAACUUGGCACCAAUUUGAUUAGAAAAUUAUGAAAAUGUCCUUAUAUAAUUAAACUAAGUUAUAUUAUUUGAGGGUACUUUAGUAAUUUAUUUUUAACAAAAACCAAUGAAAAAUAUGCAUCUUGUGGGAUUUGAAUCCCCGCCAAUUAAAUUUGUAAACUUUAAACUUACCACAUAACCAAAGUUUCAUUUUGAUAAUUUUAUACAUUUUUAUUUUAAUAUGCACAAUUUAUUACCUCCAUCAAUUGUAUAUUUAGUAUUUUUAAUUUAAUGGAUUUAUGUUUUAAAAAUUCGUUUUACUCACAAUUUAAUAUAAUUUUUCAUUUUAAUAUCGUACAUAUUUCAUGUGUUAUUACUUAAUUUGUUUCAAAUCCUACGUUUCAUUAUUUAUUGUAUGUUAUUUUUAAACAUUUUUUUGUCUUCUAAAUACGUGAUUUCCAUAGGCAUACGCGUGUGAUAAAAUUUCUAAUAAUCAAUUAGGAAUUUGAGAUUAACCUUAGAUUAAAAAUGUAUAAACAAAUUGGGAUAAGGUAAUAUUUAGUCCCUGAACUUUUUUUUUGUCCAUAUUAAUCCUUAAACUUGGCAACUUUUCUCGUUUUUGGUUCAUAUGAUGAUGUCACACUUUAAUAUUAUGUCAUGUCAUCAUCUAAAAUUUUUUUGUAAAAAAUUAUAACUUUUUAAUUGAUGAUGUAGCGUAAUAUUAAAGUAUCAAAAUCGACAUUUUUCAAAACUAACAUGGAUUAAAAAAAAUUUCAAAGGCUAAAUUAAAAAAAAUUGAAAAGUUUCUACCUAAUUUAACUUUUUUAGGAAAGCUAUGCUAUUUUCCUAUACAUUGAUUCAAGAAAAACUAAUAUAAUAUGUAUAAAUAGAUUGUAAUUUUUUUCUAAUCCAUAUUUUUUUAUAAUGAAAAUAUCAUUUUUAAUUUUAUAUUUAAUAAUAAUUUUUGUUUAUUUAUUUUAAAAAAUCAGUAUUCAUGCAAUAGCAAUUUAAUCGAAUAUUUUAUUUAGAAUAUUGAUAAUGUCGAGCAAAAUUCUAAAGAUAUACCACAAAUGACUAUAGUGGUAAAGUAAGAAGAAGCAAGAAAAACUGCCCCACGUUUUGGGUGACCUCAAACUUUCUUUUCAGAUAUUGUUAGAUGGGAACAUAGAUAUAAUUUGUUGUAGAUGGUUACAUUCCACAAUUAUGGGGGGUGACACACCACAGCACUAGUGAUUCUUUUGUCUUUAUCAACACGUGAAGACGGGGCUUGUUAAGGUUUUAUCUUUAUGUAUUAUUCUUUUCUCUUCCUUUUCUCCUCGCGAAUCUCGUUGCCCUUUGUCCUCAACUACAACUGCGCCUAUCAAGCUGCUUUUCUUGCCUUUUGUCCUGCUUUAUCUCGCCUCCCAGAUUUUCUCUUCGCAUAUUGGAAUACCUCCUUACAUUCUCUUGUGCAUGAGCACUAUAUUUUGCUCGAUAAAAUAUCCCUAGUGAGCCUUAGACAUAGAUAUCUUAGUUCAAUUCAAGGAGUUAGAUGCCAUAAUGUUGCCUUACCUACACCAAUUCGUACGAUAUACCAAUUCAUCUAAACCUCAAUCAUAAUCUUAGGAUUAAGACAACUUACGUAUAUGAGCUAAGGCCCCAUUGAGAGAAGUAAGCAAGAGCGUUCCCACCAAAAUCAAGUGACUCCCAUCUCUUUACAUAUGACCUUUGACUAUCAUAUAGCUCUUCACCUUGCAAUAUUUUUUUGUGUAUCAACAAUGUAUUAUUAUUUAGUUCACUAAUAGUGAAUAGAACUAUACAUUAUAGGUAUACAUUCUGUGUAUCAACAAUGUAUCAUAUAAAUCCUUACAGAAAUAUGUUAUUUUUACUUCUAAACAAAAUUUUAGAAUAAAAUCAUCUUUAAUAGUUUAAUUUAAAAUUUAAGAGAUUAUCCACAUUUAUUUAUUUAUUUAUUUAUUUUUAAGAAAAAGGAAAAACAUAAAAGUAAUAUAUAUAUAUAUAUAUGUAAGUUCUACACCAGAUACUUUCAUAUCUGUAUCUUCUAUUCUCUCUCAUCUUAGAGUAAAAGUAACGUAUUCAACUCCAAAACUGAACACAUGACUACUUGAGAAAGAAAAGAAAAAAAAAACACAAAGAAUAAGAAAUGUGUAGAAAGAUUGGCAAUUGGCACAAAAUGGUUUAAAUGAAAACUUGGUCCCCACUUUUAAGUAUUUAAUUUCCCCCCUUAUCAAAUAUUUUCUUCCUUUCUCUUGCAUCAUGUACCAUGUCUUUUUUAACCCUAAAUUAAUAUCAAAUAGUUUCAUAAAAAAAAAAGACAUGGGGGAGUUUUAAUUGAUUUAAAAGUUUUGUCUUUUAAAUUUAUUUAAUUAAAUAAAACUAUUUUUGUAUUUUUUUUAUUUAUGAUUAAAUGAUGUGUUUUAAUUUGAUUGGCUCAAAAUUUUUGUAAUAGAGUAAAUGGUUGGACAAAAAUGAUAAGGAGACCAAAGUUUAAGUACUGCUUUUAAUAAAUAAAUAAAAAUGCUUAAAUACUUGAAGCUUUAAAUUGUCAAUUCUCAUAGUCCGAGUGAAUGUGGCCAAAAUUAAUUGCACCAACCUAUUUUAAUUUCUCCUCAAACUUUAAAAUAUUUUAAUUAUAUAUUUAAACUAUCCAUGCUCCGUUUUUAAAUUAAUUAAUUUAACCGUUACAUAGAACGUUAAUCUUAGUCAACAUAAUUUAAAAUAAAAAAAAUUUAAAAAUAAAUAGUGUAAAGUUGGAUGUUGUAAAAGACAACAAAUCUUACUAUAUUAAAUAUAAAAAUUUUGAUUUUGAGGUUUUCCAAGUUUUUACAAAGAGUAUCAUUCACUCUUUCUCUCUUUUUGUUUUACUUUAUUUUUAGUUUUAAAUAUUAAAAGUUAUAUGGAAAAAUUUUGCUUUUCUUUAAAAAUUUUAUAUUAAAUUAUAUGACACAUAAGAUUUUACGUGUCAUUUAAUAGUUAAAUUAACGGUUUCAAUAAUGGAAGUACCCAAUUAAUAUAAUAUUGAUAAUUUAAAGACUAAUUUAAAAUGAGUCAUAAUUUAGGGAUGUUUGAUGCAACUAACUAAUAAGUUCCACAUUUUUAAUUUUUAUAAUUAAGAUAAAUUACUAUAUUAACGUGGCAAAUGUUUUCUAGUGGCCUUCAAUUCUUUUUUUCUUUUUUUUAAGUCUAUUUGCUUUAGUUUUUUAAAAAUUAAAAUUUUUAUUAUGUAUUUCCAUAUAUAGAUAAUUUCUACUCGAAGUAAUAAUUUUAAAAAAUAAAAUAAAUGAUUUUACAUAAAAACCAUUUUUUAUGGAAAAAUAUUAAGAAUGCUUUAGUACUAAACUAUAUAUGGUUUUCUUCCCUUUUUUUUAAUUUUUUAAAAUUUUUCUAAUAAUCGAGUCAAGUGGUUUCAUGUAUUCAAUUAAGAGUUACUUUGAUUCGCGUUAGGGGUGUGCAUAAUUCGGGUAAAACCGAAAAAAUUCGGUUAAUCAACCGAAUUCAAUUAAUCGGUCGGUUAACCGAAUUUUUUCGGUCGGGAGUCGGUUAAUUUUUUUAUGAUUUUUCGGUUAACGGUUAAUUCGGUUCGAAACCGGUCGGUUAACCGAAAAUUUUCGGUUAACCGAAAAAUUAAUAAAUAAAAUUAUCCAACCCAGCCCAAACUCAAUUACCCAACCCAAUUACCCAACCCAAUAAAACUAAAACUAAAGUUUACCCAAUUACCCAAUCCAAUAAAACUAAAACUAAAAGACAACCCAAUUUACUAAAGUCUAAAACUCAAUUUACUUUAAUAAUUUAUAAAUUUUUUAAAUUUUAAAAAUAAAAAAUAAAAACAAUUUGGGUAAUUCGGGUAUUUUUCGGUAAUUCGGUUAAUUCGGGUAAUUCGGGUAAUUUUUAACCAAAAAUAAAAAAUACAUAAUUUUCGGUUAAUUCGGUUAACCGACCUUAUUAACCGAAAAAAUUUCGGUUCGGUUAAUUUUUUUUAAAAAAAAUCGGUUCGGUUAACGGUUAAAAUUUUUGGAAGGUCGGUUAACCGAAUGAACACCCCUAAUUCGCAUUCUUUCUAAAUUUAAAAUUGAGUUUUUCUACUUUUAUUCCAAAAAAAAUUAUUUUUUUAUUUUUAAAAUUUAAAAUUUUAAAUUCAAUUGUUAAUCUGUAAAAAAAAGUUAUUAAAUUUAAAUUUAUUAUAAAAUCAUUUUUUAAUUGUAUGGCUAUGAAGUGAAUUUUUUUAUUAUUUAAAAAUUUUAUAUCCAUAAAUUUAAAAAAAUUAAUAAUGUUAAUAAUUUGAAUUGAAUUUUAAAAUAGAAAUAAAUUAUUUAUGAUAUUUUAAAAUAUUAUUUCAACUUAUUUGUCUUGUUUAGGGGUGUAAACUAGUAUAUAAUGGAGGUGCGUAUUGCAAUAUCAGAACAACGACACAACACAAAACAAACCGAAACACACAAAGCUUAGCUACGUACGUACACCAUCACCAUGACUGCCAAUUCAACCCUGCUAGCAACACAAUGCGCGGCUGUUGUGGCCGUCCCACAGCGGUGCCAUCCCCCCUCUAGAUUUGCCACUGGGUACCAGCAGCUUCGUACAAAUUUGGUAACCACCAAAACAUACAAACCUACAAUCAUGGCUGCCGGUGCCUUGGUCUCCAAACCAUCCCAACUUCAUGCAAAUUUGGUACCCAAAAGAAACAAAAUGGUGGUAUUUGCCUAUCCAGAAACAAAAACAAUAGAAAUCUCAACCAAUGGCUUUCCAGAAUUCAUUAAAUGCAUAAUUAAUAACGAAAGUAAGAAAACGCUAGAACUGGAUUCGACUGAACCAUUUCUGGGGUCUGAGGAAUUUGAGAAGAUCG
Molecule: long non-coding RNA, 92622 nt
Filed under: Gossypium barbadense (sea-island cotton)
Lineage: Eukaryota; Viridiplantae; Streptophyta; Magnoliopsida; Malvales; Malvaceae
Description: long non-coding RNA (GBAR_LNC016353)
Source: RNAcentral